RNAcentral lists this long non-coding RNA (134426 nucleotides) under Olea europaea (common olive). RNAcentral describes it as "long non-coding RNA (OEUR_LNC014836)". The record is from RNAcentral. Lineage: Eukaryota; Viridiplantae; Streptophyta; Magnoliopsida; Lamiales; Oleaceae.
GAUUUUAACCGAGUUGUAAACGAAGAUGAAGUUUUGAAAAGGAAAAUGGUAAUAGUUGGCUUAUGGUGCAUACAAACUGAUCCCACAACUAGACCAUCAAUGAGCAGGGUUAUAGAAAUGUUAGAAGGGAACGUGGAAUCUCUUCAAAUCCCACCAAAACCCUACUUACAGCCAAGAGCAGCAGAAAAUUUUUCAACUAUUGAGUCGUCAGUCACUCUCUUCUAAGUUCAUGAAGUUUAGCUUCCUGGAAUCCCAUGGUGUUUAGUAGCUCCUAGUCACCAAGCUAUAUAGGCAGUUACCUAUGUUGUUUUUGCUAUUGUAAUUUUUAUGCUCUAACACCUCCACUACAUUGCUUUAUUCAAUAUAAAACCAAGUCAAACACAAUCUAAUCACAAAUUUUCUGAUGAUACAAAAUACAAUGAAGAUACUCUAUUCUUGUAUUAUAAAUUUGUUGACUCCACUUAAUGGCAUUCUUCAUUUUCCUGUUCACUACACAAGUUUUUUAGAACAAAAUAUCUUUCGUAUAGAAUAUGGCAACCACAGCUCCAGCUCCUAAGAACUUGGCUGUUGGUAGACGAAGUUUUUUUGAGGAUACAGCAGUACAUAGAUAUGCCCAAACCCAUCGGGAAAGGAAAUGUAGCUUGCAAGUCGACUGAAACUUUUGUGGGGAAAAUUCCUAUACAUGGCAAAGCAGAGUGGAGAUCGAGGUCAAUUGCACAGAGAUAAAGGAAACUAGUCAAGCUGAAAGUAAGCACACGCAAUAAAAUAUAAAACCAUAGUUAGUAGUAAGCAGUGCAAUUGCUGGUACAUUUCUCUAUGUAGGAUUUCAAUACAAACAAUCACAGGGAAGUCGUCCAACCUAAGGUAGUUUUUGGUAAGUUCUUAAAGGAGAAGCUUUCCUCAUGGGCUCAUAUUUUAGCCACAUUUCCAGCAAACUCAGCAAGACUGCUAUUGAAAUUUUCUAGAGAGAAAUCCUGCAUGGUUCAGAGGAAAGAUUGGAUUUCUACUGUAAUAAGCCCAGUAACAGUGCAAAGACAGCAGAUUUUUGGAUUUUCUGCCAUUAUGAUUUACAUAGAACAAAAGCGUACACGUACAAAAAUGUAAAAUAGGACAUGAGAAUUAACAAAUGCAAAACAGGAAAUGCAAAAAAUUCGAGAAGAAAGGCAGAUGAAUGCUACCUUUGGUAAUUUAUCCUGCUGAGCUAGAUGAUCCACAUGGAGUCUCACAUUUGAUGAGGCAGGAAGCCAGAGACUGCGAUCAACAUCAGCUUACGUAAAUGCAACAAUGUCAAAUAACGUCUCAAGGUUUGUUAAAUUUCUUCUUGGAGAUCAAGCUUGGCAUUCAUGAGUUUAAUGUUUUUUUUUCUGUCCUAUUGAGCUUGAUUACGGAUAUCAUUCCAAUUCCCAGGUACACCAUGACUUCCACCCCUGGGUCUAUAGGAAAUAAAGUUUCCCCCAUGGAAGAUCUUGUAGGUUUCUGGCUUUAAGAAUGAGGCUGUGAAGAAGUUGAAGCUUUUCUCUAAAGUUCAGUUUUUUGACUUUUCUCCAUGUUUUGCCACUGUUUGGCUUACAAUAAAAUCAAAUUUUUAGUAUAUUUUGAUAAAAAUUGAUGGAACGAGUUAAUUAAAAAAUUAUCCACUCUUUCAUCUGAUCAUCCCUUAGCAAUUUCCUCUUCUUGAUUUUUCAUAUAAUCUUCAAUCGCCACAGAAUCAUUCGAUUUAAUAUUGGUCAGAUUGCAUGUGCAUGUUUGUAAAAUAUUUAAUUACCUCGACAGUGAAAUCCAAGGUCCCUAAUUAAGUAUGAAUAAUCUAAAUAAACCGUCACCUUAUACCAAUAAGUUAAUUAAAUUAAUGAUUAACCAACAUAAGUAGCCAAUCAAUGACUAGAAAUAUGCCAUUUGUCCCCAACGACCUGUUUCAAAUUGGCACACCCGACUCCAUGUUCUAGAAGGUUAGGUGGGUGGAGUCGAGUUAGAUGUAACUAUCCAAUAGACUAUACACCACUAGUCUAUAUAGAUAAAAGGUCAAUAUGCCCCUUCAUAUGAACCUUCAGGUGAUUUAUCCUCCGUCAAUCUAUGCCAAUAUUUUGAACAAGUUCAUUCCCAUCACAAAAGAAGCAAAACCAGAUUUUGCAAUAUAACUACAUUGCUUUAUUCAAUAUAAAACCAANNNNNNNNNNNNNNNNNNNNNNNNNNNNNNNNNNNNNNNNNNNNNNNNNNNNNNNNNNNNNNNNNNNNNNNNNNNNNNNNNNNNNNNNNNNNNNNNNNNNNNNNNNNNNNNNNNNNNNNNNNNNNNNNNNNNNNNNNNNNNNNNNNNNNNNNNNNNNNNNNNNNNNNNNNNNNNNNNNNNNNNNNNNNNNNNNNNNNNNNNNNNNNNNNNNNNNNNNNNNNNNNNNNNNNNNNNNNNNNNNNNNNNNNNNNNNNNNNNNNNNNNNNNNNNNNNNNNNNNNNNNNNNNNNNNNNNNNNNNNNNNNNNNNNNNNNNNNNNNNNNNNNNNNNNNNNNNNNNNNNNNNNNNNNNNNNNNNNNNNNNNNNNNNNNNNNNNNNNNNNNNNNNNNNNNNNNNNNNNNNNNNNNNNNNNNNNNNNNNNNNNNNNNNNNNNNNNNNNNNNNNNNNNNNNNNNNNNNNNNNNNNNNNNNNNNNNNNNNNNNNNNNNNNNNNNNNNNNNNNNNNNNNNNNNNNNNNNNNNNNNNNNNNNNNNNNNNNNNNNNNNNNNNNNNNNNNNNNNNNNNNNNNNNNNNNNNNNNNNNNNNNNNNNNNNNNNNNNNNNNNNNNNNNNNNNNNNNNNNNNNNNNNNNNNNNNNNNNNNNNNNNNNNNNNNNNNNNNNNNNNNNNNNNNNNNNNNNNNNNNNNNNNNNNNNNNNNNNNNNNNNNNNNNNNNNNNNNNNNNNNNNNNNNNNNNNNNNNNNNNNNNNNNNNNNNNNNNNNNNNNNNNNNNNNNNNNNNNNNNNNNNNNNNNNNNNNNNNNNNNNNNNNNNNNNNNNNNNNNNNNNNNNNNNNNNNNNNNNNNNNNNNNNNNNNNNNNNNNNNNNNNNNNNNNNNNNNNNNNNNNNNNNNNNNNNNNNNNNNNNNNNNNNNNNNNNNNNNNNNNNNNNNNNNNNNNNNNNNNNNNNNNNNNNNNNNNNNNNNNNNNNNNNNNNNNNNNNNNNNNNNNNNNNNNNNNNNNNNNNNNNNNNNNNNNNNNNNNNNNNNNNNNNNNNNNNNNNNNNNNNNNNNNNNNNNNNNNNNNNNNNNNNNNNNNNNNNNNNNNNNNNNNNNNNNNNNNNNNNNNNNNNNNNNNNNNNNNNNNNNNNNNNNNNNNNNNNNNNNNNNNNNNNNNNNNNNNNNNNNNNNNNNNNNNNNNNNNNNNNNNNNNNNNNNNNNNNNNNNNNNNNNNNNNNNNNNNNNNNNNNNNNNNNNNNNNNNNNNNNNNNNNNNNNNNNNNNNNNNNNNNNNNNNNNNNNNNNNNNNNNNNNNNNNNNNNNNNNNNNNNNNNNNNNNNNNNNNNNNNNNNNNNNNNNNNNNNNNNNNNNNNNNNNNNNNNNNNNNNNNNNNNNNNNNNNNNNNNNNNNNNNNNNNNNNNNNNNNNNNNNNNNNNNNNNNNNNNNNNNNNNNNNNNNNNNNNNNNNNNNNNNNNNNNNNNNNNNNNNNNNNNNNNNNNNNNNNNNNNNNNNNNNNNNNNNNNNNNNNNNNNNNNNNNNNNNNNNNNNNNNNNNNNNNNNNNNNNNNNNNNNNNNNNNNNNNNNNNNNNNNNNNNNNNNNNNNNNNNNNNNNNNNNNNNNNNNNNNNNNNNNNNNNNNNNNNNNNNNNNNNNNNNNNNNNNNNNNNNNNNNNNNNNNNNNNNNNNNNNNNNNNNNNNNNNNNNNNNNNNNNNNNNNNNNNNNNNNNNNNNNNNNNNNNNNNNNNNNNNNNNNNNNNNNNNNNNNNNNNNNNNNNNNNNNNNNNNNNNNNNNNNNNNNNNNNNNNNNNNNNNNNNNNNNNNNNNNNNNNNNNNNNNNNNNNNNNNNNNNNNNNNNNNNNNNNNNNNNNNNNNNNNNNNNNNNNNNNNNNNNNNNNNNNNNNNNNNNNNNNNNNNNNNNNNNNNNNNNNNNNNNNNNNNNNNNNNNNNNNNNNNNNNNNNNNNNNNNNNNNNNNNNNNNNNNNNNNNNNNNNNNNNNNNNNNNNNNNNNNNNNNNNNNNNNNNNNNNNNNNNNNNNNNNNNNNNNNNNNNNNNNNNNNNNNNNNNNNNNNNNNNNNNNNNNNNNNNNNNNNNNNNNNNNNNNNNNNNNNNNNNNNNNNNNNNNNNNNNNNNNNNNNNNNNNNNNNNNNNNNNNNNNNNNNNNNNNNNNNNNNNNNNNNNNNNNNNNNNNNNNNNNNNNNNNNNNNNNNNNNNNNNNNNNNNNNNNNNNNNNNNNNNNNNNNNNNNNNNNNNNNNNNNNNNNNNNNNNNNNNNNNNNNNNNNNNNNNNNNNNNNNNNNNNNNNNNNNNNNNNNNNNNNNNNNNNNNNNNNNNNNNNNNNNNNNNNNNNNNNNNNNNNNNNNNNNNNNNNNNNNNNNNNNNNNNNNNNNNNNNNNNNNNNNNNNNNNNNNNNNNNNNNNNNNNNNNNNNNNNNNNNNNNNNNNNNNNNNNNNNNNNNNNNNNNNNNNNNNNNNNNNNNNNNNNNNNNNNNNNNNNNNNNNNNNNNNNNNNNNNNNNNNNNNNNNNNNNNNNNNNNNNNNNNNNNNNNNNNNNNNNNNNNNNNNNNNNNNNNNNNNNNNNNNNNNNNNNNNNNNNNNNNNNNNNNNNNNNNNNNNNNNNNNNNNNNNNNNNNNNNNNNNNNNNNNNNNNNNNNNNNNNNNNNNNNNNNNNNNNNNNNNNNNNNNNNNNNNNNNNNNNNNNNNNNNNNNNNNNNNNNNNNNNNNNNNNNNNNNNNNNNNNNNNNNNNNNNNNNNNNNNNNNNNNNNNNNNNNNNNNNNNNNNNNNNNNNNNNNNNNNNNNNNNNNNNNNNNNNNNNNNNNNNNNNNNNNNNNNNNNNNNNNNNNNNNNNNNNNNNNNNNNNNNNNNNNNNNNNNNNNNNNNNNNNNNNNNNNNNNNNNNNNNNNNNNNNNNNNNNNNNNNNNNNNNNNNNNNNNNNNNNNNNNNNNNNNNNNNNNNNNNNNNNNNNNNNNNNNNNNNNNNNNNNCCAAUACUAACCCGAUUUUGGAUCUUGAACCCCAAGAAUUGAACCAAGAAACCCUAGAUUAGCGAAGAACCUAAAACCCCUUGAUUACAAUUGAAAGAACCCACAAUCCGAUUGAUAGAACGCCACAAGAAGUUGAAUCUUGAUAAGUUCCAAGAUUGUUCAAGAAGAACAAUAAAUUGAAAGAAGAAAUUUCUCUCUCUAUAAUAUUAAUUCAAAAGUCAAAAGUUCAAAGGUUUUUUUACAAUCAAAAGUAAUCUCCUAUUUAUACUAAUGAAUAAAAAUGCCCAAAACCAUCAAAUUAUGGUAAUAAUUUGAUUCCAUAAGAAUUCUAUCGAAACUAGGAAAUUCGGCCAAAAAUAAAAAAAUCACCAAUUUUUUUGGCCCAUGCCGCCACAUGGUAUAAAUCCAUGUGGUCGCAUGGUUUAACUUGAGUUGGAGUUUUGGUUUUUGGGAACCAUGGGUGCGGCCGCAUGUAAUUUUGCCUGGGAGGCCGCAUGGUCUUGAUUUCUUCCUCCGCUUUCGUCACUUGAUAACAAAUUGAUCCAAGUCGAUUCGGCUUUCGACCCGAACAUGAAAGUUGCUCCAUUUUGAGUCCCGAACAUGGUUCCAUCCAUGGUUUCUUGAACGAGCAAUCCCAUCGCUUGUUUCACUUGCUUUGCCCUUGAUAUCGUCAUUGGUCGACCAUCAACUAUCAACGGGUCUUGUCUCGCACUUGCCUGGAUCAUAUCAUCCCCUCCUCUUCAAAAGGAUUUGUCCUCGAAUCUGAACCUACAUCAAACAGAGAGAGAUCAGAUACAUUAAAAGUAGCUGAAACAUUAUACUCACCUGGUAAAUCCACUUUGUAUGCAUUGUCAUUGAUCCUCUCGAUGAUUUUGACUUCCUCUGUUAUGGAAAACGCUCUUUUCUGAAAUGCACCCAGACCCAAUCUCCAGGCUCAAAUGUAACGCGUCUUCUUCUUUUAUUUGCUUUUGAUGCAAUCAGCUUUCCUUUCUCUUCGAUCUGCAUCCUGACCUUUUCAUGGAGUGUUUUCACCAUCUCGAAUUUUCGUUUCCCAUCCAAGCUACCUCGUUCAUGCACAGGGAAAGACAUUAAAUCCAUAGGUGUUAGUGGAUUAAAACCAUAAACAAUUUCAAAAGGAGAAAACGAAGUAGUAGAAUGUGUAGCUCGAUUAUAUGCAAACUCUAUAAACGGUAAACACUCUUCCCAUGAUUUCAGAUUUUUAUUGAUUAUUGUCCUAAGUAGUUGAGUCAUAGUUCGAUUAACUACCUCAGUUUGUCCAUCUGUUUGUGAGUGACAAGUUGUAGAAAAUAAUAACUUAGUUCCUAACUUACUCCACAGAACACGCCAAAAAUGACUCAAAAACUUCACGUCCCUAUCAGACACUAUACGUUUAGGUACUCCAUGUAAACGUACUAUUUUCCUAAAGAAUAAGUCUGCAAUAUUAGUAGCAUCGUCAGUUUUAUGACAUGGUAUGAAGUGCGCCAUCUUACUAAACCUAUCGACCACUACAAAUAUUGAAUUCCGACCCCCUUUUGUCUUAGGUAAACCUAACACAAAGUCCAUAGAUAUGUCUACCCAAGGUUCACUAGGUACAGGCAAAGGAGUAUACAAACCAUGGGGUUGAACCUUAGACUUAGCCUUUUUACAAGUUAUGCACUUUCCACAUAUUUGUUCUACGUCAUGUCACAUUUUAGGCCAAUAAAAAUGUUCCCCUAACAUGUCUAAAGUCUUUUGAACCCCUAAGUGUCCUACUAAACUUCCCCCAUGUGCUUCCCUUACCAAUAAUUCACACAAGGAACAAUUAGAAAUGCACAACUUAUUUUCCCUAAACAAAUAUCCUUCAUGCCUAUAGAAUUUAUCAAAUGCACCUUUAUCACAUGAAGCAUAAAUACUAGAAAAAUCACAAUCAGAUUCAUACAUGCCCUUAAUAUGCUCGAAACUAAGUAAUUUAGUACUUAAUAAAUUUAAAAGCACAUACCUUGGAGACAACGCAUCAGCAACUAUAUUUUCGUUACCUUGUUUGUACUUGAUGACGUAGAAAAAUGUCUCGAUAAACUCCACCCAUCUAGCAUGUCUUUUGUUCAACUUACCUUGACCUCGCAAAUGCUUCAAAGAUUCAUGAUCGGUGUGUAUCACGAAUUCCUUUGGCCAUAAGUAGUGCUGCCAAGUCUCUAAUGCUCGAACAAGUGAAUAUAGCUCCUUGUCAUAUGUCGGAUAAUUCAAUGCUGCCCCACUCAACUUUUCGCUAAAGUAAGCAAUAGGUCUCCUUUCCUGCAUUAACACUGCUCCUAUACCUAUUUCUGAUGCAUCACACUCAACCUCGAAUGUUUUAUCAAAAUUUGGUAAUGCCAAAACAGGUGCUUUACAUAGCUUAUCCUUAAUUGUGUUAAAUGCAAUUUCUUGAGAUUCUCUCCAACGAAAACCUACACUCUUUUUUACUAUUUCAGUCAACGGUGUGGUGAUGGUGCUAAAAUCUCUUACAAAUCGCCUAUAAAAACUAGCCAAUCCAUGAAAACUCCUAACUUCAGUUAUAGUCUUAGGUGUUGGCCAUUCUUUAAUAGCUUUUAUCUUUUCUUCAUCGACUUCCACCCCGUUAGCACUAACCACAAAUCCUUGGAAAACAACUCUAUCCAUGCAAAAUGUGCACUUUUUGAAAUUAGCAUAUAGUUGUUCCUUUCGCAACACAACAAGCACACAAUUUAAAUGUUCUAAAUGCUCAUCUAGGUUUUUGCUAUAGAUUAAGAUGUCAUCAAAAUAAACUACAAAAAAUUUCCCAAUAAAAGCACGCAAAAGAUGGUUCAUUAAACGCAUAAAAGUGCUCGGUGCAUUAGUGAGUCCAAACGGCAUAACUAACCAUUCAUACAAUCCAUACUUAGUUUUAAACGCCAUUUUCCAUUCAUCACCCUCCUGCAUGCGUAUUUGAUGAUACCCACUUUUAAGAUCAAUCUUACUAAAAAUGCAAGCACCAUGCAACUCAUCAAGCGUAUCAUCUAGCUUAGGUAUGGGGUGACGAUACUUUACCGUGAUAUUGUUAAUAGCUCGGUAAUCCACGCACAUUCUCCAAGUCCCGUCCUUCUUAGGCACCAACAAAACAGGUAUAGCACAUGGACUCAUGCUCUCCCUGACAUAACCUUUGCUCAUCAACUCCUCCACUUGCUUUUGAAGCUCCUUCGUCUCCUCAGGAUUGUUUCGGUAAGCUGGUCGAUUUGGUAUGAUAGCUCCGGGUACAAAGUCAAUCUGGUGCUCGAUGCCUCUGAUUGGUGGCAAUCCACUUGGCAUCUCCUCAGGAAACACAUCGUCGAACUCUUGCAAUAAAGACUUAAUCAAACUAGGGAGGGAUGUGUUAGAAUCCUCAAAAUUGAGGAGGGACUCCUUGUACACUAACAAUAUCAUUUGCCUAUUAUCGCUCAUAGCCUUUUUCAACUCACUCUCUUUUGCAUAGAAGUUGACCCUUGGCUUUUCUCUCCGCUCAGCUGACUCUUUUUCUCUCCUCUCAACUGACUCUUUUUCUCUUCGCUCAUGUGGCUUCUCUCUCUUUUCUCCACUCUCAGCCACCUCACUAUUUUCUCUCUUAUUGAUGAUUUCACUAUUGCCUCUCCUUUUUCCUGACUCUCUUAUUCUCUCGUCUUCCUCACUUUUUAGCUUAAUUUGAUCUCCAUACACUUGUACCGGUGUUAAUGGUGCAAGAGUAAUAGUCUUCCCAUCUUUGACAAAGCUAUAACGAUUCCUAUAUCCAUCAUGUGUGACCCUUCUAUCAUAUUGCCAUGCCCUUCCUAAUAAGAUAUGACCCAAAUGCAUAGGCACCACAUCACAUACUACUUUGUCACUAUAACUCCCAAUUGAGAAAUUAAUUAAAACUCUCUAACUUCCCCACUUUCAUUCAACCAUUGCAACUUAUAAGGCCUAGGGUGCCUUAACAAUGCUAGUCCUAAUUUCUCAACUAAAGUUGUACUAGCUACAUUCGUGCAACUCCCACAAUCAAUAAUCAUACUACAUACCUUAUCGUUGACGUAACAACGUGUGUGGAAUAUAUUUUAUCGCUGCUACUUCGAAUCAUCCACUUUGACUUGAGUGUUAAGAGCUCUCCUUGACACCAACGAUUCCCCAACAGCAAACUCCAAUUUUUCUUCUUCUUCAACGUCCUCCAAUGCAGGCAUGCCCUCAAACUCUCCUUCACUUUCACUCACCACUUUUCCUUAUCCAACAAAAUCAUUACCCGUUUAUUUGGGCAUUGAGAAGCAAUGUGCCCUGACCCCAAGCAUCUGAAACACUUGAUGUCUCGAUUCCUUGAUGGUUGUGAAUCUGUUUUGGGUGCUGUUUUGCUAGCACUUUCUUCUUUCCCUUUCUGCCACUCAUUCCUACCUUUAGGUACAGCUUUAUCACCUUUGUUGUUGUUGUUGUUCCACCCUGGCUUCCAAGAUGGAUUAACACUUGAAGUUCCUAACGGCUGCCUAGCUGCCCCUUUCCUCUUCAGUUGUCUCUCUACCUUCAUAGCCACAUGCAACAUGUCUUCCAACUCCACAUAAUGUUGCAACUCCACUACAUUAGCAAUUUCCCUAUUCAACCCAUUCAAGAAUCGUGCCAUUGGUAGCCUCCCGAUCCUCCACCACAUUGGCCAUAAUCAUGAGUAUUUCUAUCUCCUUAUGAUAGUCCUCUACACUUUUCGACCCUUGAUAUAGACCUUGCAGUUUUUGAUGGAUCUCUCGGUAAUAGUGGCUAGGAACAAACCUCUUUCUCAUCAACGACUUCAAUUCCUCCCAAGUGCUGAUUGGUCUUCCCCCACUCCUAUGUUGUGAAGUAAUCACUUGAUCCCACCAUGAAAUUGUAUAGUCACUGAACUCCAAAACUGCUAACUUCACCUUUUUCUCCUCCGAAUAGUUAUAACACUCGAAGAUCAUUUCAACCUUCCUUUCCCACUCUAGGUAUGCCUCGGGAUCACUCCUUUUUGAAUGAAGGAACUGUCAUUUUUAUAUUUUCCAAGUUUCCAUCCAACUUCUCCCCGCGAUCAUUCCGAUCUCGUCUGUCGAACCUAUUGCCUCUAUUCCUCACCUUUCCCAUCUCAAUACCGUGAAAUUCAUCUUCGCCCAUGUCACUCCCAUAUCCAUACUCCUCUCGCCUUUCCCUCCUAGGCUCCCAUCUAUCCGGUCCUCUGACAUUGGAUACAUCCACUCGAUGCCCCCGACUAAGAUUAGCCACCGAUGUAUCUAAUCUAUUCAUCUAAGCCUCCUGCUUCUCCAACCUAUCUCUCACAUCUCCAAACGCCCUCUCAAACCUUUGCACUAAAUCCUCCGUUGCAUUGCUAUUAUUGCCUUGUCAGCUUGAGUUUGAUUCUGCCAUUUCUGACAUCCUAACAUUAAAAUUUUAUUUUACUGCCUCACCAAAAGUCACUCAGAAACACACACACAUGGCUUUUACCCUCCAUUAAGCUCACCUCUCUGCCUUUUACCACUCAAUUCUUUCAACAAUUGCUUCUAGGAACAAUCAAUGAACUCAAUCAAUCAAUCAAUUCGUGUAGAAUUUCCCAAACCGGAUGUGACUCAAUAAUUGUAACAAAGGACUCAAAGAAAACUUUUACAACUUGAUUUAAAUCGAAGAAAUGGAAUGAUUCAAUGUGUCCAAUUAAUUUAGAAACGAUAAUGAAUAAUAAAAAGUUGGUAUUUGACGGAUCAAUAAUAUUUAACAAGGUUUUUUUUUAGAUCCGGAAAUCAAUAACAAAACCAACAAAGAAAACGAAAACUGAUUUGGGUGAAAAUUGAACCCAAAAAUAGAAUUUGAAGAUUUUUGAUGAAACUUUUGGAUCAAGGAUCAAGAAAAAACCUUUUGGACACAAGAACACAAGAAAUUGAAAAAAUUUAGAAAACAAAGGAUAUAACCUGAUUAAAUUGGAGCCAAAGCUCUGAUACCAACUGAUGCGAACCUCGUAGCAAUGAAAACUACGAAAUCCACAAUGAGAUUGAUGCGGAACCCAAGAAUGCCAAUACUAACCCGGUUUUGGAUCUUGAACCCAAGAAUUGAACCGAGAAACCCUAGAUUAGCGAAGACCUAAAACCCCUUGAUUACAAUUGAAAGAACCCACAAUCCGAUUGAUAGAACGCCACAAGAAGUUGAAUCUUGAUAAGUUCCAAGAUUGUUCAAGAAGAACAAUAAAUUGAAAGAAGAAAUUUCUCUCUCUAUAAUAUUAAUUCAAAAGUCAAAAGUUCAAAGGUUUUUUUAAAAUCAAAAGUAAUCUCCUAUUUAUACUAAUGAAUAAAAAUGCCCAAAACCAUCAAAUUAUGGUAAUAAUUUGAUUCCAUAAGAAUUCUAUCGAAACUAGAAAAUUCGGCCAAAAAUAGAAAAAUUGCCAAUUUUUUUGGCCCAUGCGAUCGCAUGGUUUAACUUGAGUUGGAGUUUAGGUUUUCGAGAGCCAUGUGUGCGGCCGCAUGGUCUUGAUUUCUGCCUCCGCUUUCGUUACUUGAUAACAAAUUGAUCCAAGUCGAUUUGGCCUUUGACCCGAACAUGAAAGUUGCUCCAUUUUGAGUCCCGAACAUGGUUCCAUCCAUGGUUUCUUGAACAAGAAAUCCCAUUGCUUGUUUCACUUGCUUUGCCCUUGAUCGCGUCAUUGGUCUGCCAUCAACUAUCAACGGGUCUCGUCUCGCACUUGCCUUCGUCGGGCUCGACUCCUGGAUCAUAUCACUUAGGACUGGUAAUGGUCUAGAGUUUUGCAAUGCUAAAUUUGAUCAGUUGUGCAAAGAGGCUGGUAUUAAAAGGCAUAAAACCCCCUAUACACCUCAGCAGAAUGGAGUGGCUGAGAGGAUGAAUAGAACCUUACUAGAUAAGGUUAGGUGCAUGUUGAUAGGUUCACGUGUUCCUAAGGUUUUAUGGGGUGAAGCGAUAAUAACAGCUUCAUAUAUUGUUAAUAGGACCCCCUCAAGUGCUCUAGGUGAUAAGACCCCUGAAGAGUUAUGGACAGGACAUGUGCCUGAUUAUUCCCACUUAAGAUUUUUUGGUUCUGCUGCCUAUUCCCAUUAGAGUAUAGGAAAACUAGAACCUAGGGCCUAAAAAUGUGUUUUCUUGGGAUAUCCUGAUAGGGUUAAAGGUUAUAGACUAUGGAGUAAAGAGUCUAAAGGUUUCAAAAUCAUUUCCAGCAGAGAUGUUACUUUUGAUGAAUAAAAAAUGCAUUGUUUAGAAAAUAAGGAGCCAAGAGGGUUAUCUGGUGAUGAAAAGUGUGAUAGUAUCAAACUGUAGGUGGAGCUUAGCUUACCUACUGAACCUAUUGAUCAUGAACAGGUAGAGAAAGAAGCUGAAACAGCUUCUGGUCCUCAAGGUAAUGAAGAGGAAAGUGUUCAAGAAAAUCUGGAAAAUCAACCUGAUAAAUUGGGGAAUUACCAAUUAGCUAGAGAUAGGACUAGGAGAGAAGUAAGAGAGCAUGUUAGGUAUGAGGAUUACCUUUCACUUGCUGUUUUGUCCUAUCAAGACUUAGUGUUUAAAGAACCAAAAUCUUAUGAAGAGGUUAUGAGCAACAAGCAAUAUGAAAAUUGGCAUGCUGCUAUGAUAGAUGAAAUGUACUCCUUAAUGAAAAAUAAGACCUGGACUUUAGUUCCUAAACCUUCUGGUAAGACCCUUGUUGAUUGCAAAUGGAUCUUUAGUAUUAAGGAGGGAAACACUAAAAAGAUGCCCAUAAGAUUUAAGGCUAGACUUGUAGCGAAGGACACAAAAAGAGGGCAUAUACUACAAUGAGAUUUUUUCUCCUGUGAUUAAAUAUAUUACAAUUAGAGUUAUGCUUGUUCUUGUUGCUCAUUAUGAUUUUGAACUUGAACAAAUGGACGUGAAAACUGCCUUCUUGCAUGGUGACCUUGAUGAAGUGAUUUAUAUGAGACAACCACUUGGUUUUAUUAAUGAAUCUAAAUCUGAUCAUGUAUGUUUGUUAAAAAGAUCAUUAUAUGACUUAAAGCAAUCUCCACGAUAAUGAUACAAAAGGUUUGAUAAUUUUGUAUCUACUAUUAAUCUUAUAAAAAGUGAAUUUUAUCAUUGUCUUUAUUUUGAAAGAAAUGAUGAAAAUGUUAUUGUUGCCUUUGUACUUCUUUAUGUGGAUGAUAUGUUGCUGAUUGGUCAGAAUAUGCAUGUUGUUAAUCAAAUAAAAAGAUCUUUAAGUACUGAAUUUGAAAUGAAAGACCUAGGACAUGCAAAGAGAAUUUUAGAGAUCGAAAUCACUAGGAAAAGGCACCAUAGGUUACUGAACUAGAGGCAAACUUUAUAUGUGGAAAAAACGUUGACUAAGUUUGCCAUGCAUAACUCUAAAUCAGUUUCACUUCCCUUGGCCAGCCAUUUUGAACUUAGUAAAGAGAAAUUUCCUGUAGAAGAAUCUGACAUUAGACAAAUAGAAAAAAUACCCUAUGCUAAUGCAGUAGGAUGUGUCAUGUACACCAUGGUUUGUACUAGGCCUGAUGUAGCUCAUUCUAUUAGCACACUUAGUAGAUUUAUGGCCAAUUCAGGACUAGAACAUUGGGUUGCUCUAAAAUGGCUAUUGAGAUAUUUGAAAGGAUCUUCACAUCUUGGUUUGACUUUUAGUGCCUAUAAUGAAGGUGUUGUACUUAAGGGUUUCAUAGAUUCAGAUUUUGUCAGAGAUAGAGACAAUAAAAAAUCUACUGCUGCUUAUAUGUUUACUUUGUGUAAUACAUGUAUUAAUUGAAAAUCACAACUUCAACCUAUUGUUGCUUUAUCUACUACUGAAGUUGAGUAUGUUGCUGCAACUGAAGCAAUAAAAGAAGCCUUAUGGCUUAAGGGCUUGUUAUCUGAAAUAAAUGAAUUAAGGAACCCUAUUGUUCUAUAUUCAGACAAUCGAAGUGCAAUUCACCUAUGUAAGAACCCUAUUUUUCAUGAAAGAACCAAACAUAUUGACGUUAAGUUGCAUUUUAUUAGAGAUGUUAUUUCUAAAGAAAGAGUGUUACUUGAAAAAAUUGCAACUCAGUUUAAUCCAGCUGAUUUAGAGACUAAGGUAAUACCUCUUAACAAGUUUAAGUCCUGUUUACAAAUUUUGAACAUUAAUGCUGGUUAAUUUUUUUAAAUCUGUAUAGGUGCUAAACCUGAUGCCUGUUGGAAAUAUUGGGAAGCUGCAUUCUUGGGAAUAAAGAUAUAAAUUACAUUUAUUAGGCUUCUUGUAUGACCAUUGGUAUCAAGGUGGAAAUUUGUUGGGCUGUGAUGCCAAUGUCCUAUCCAACAUAGGCUGUGAUGAUAAAGAAUGCCCAAUAUGGAGUGAGAUGGCCCACUUAACCAAGCCCAAUAAUUCAGUCCACUCUUAGUCGCUCUGGAGUCGUUGGAUUAAAAUACUGAUCAAUGGCUGAUGGUUUUAACUAUAAAUAAGACCAUUUUCUUUGACCUAGAGAUUGAAUCAUCAUUUUUCUUCUCUUUCUGGAACCUUCAAGGGCUUUCUGUCACUGUGAUUUUUCAUCUUCUCUUUGUGAGAUUAUCUAGUGUUUAUCUUUGUGAUAAUCGAGUCCUUGAUCUGAGAACUCUCUGUGUGAGUAAACUGUUGAGAAGUGGUCUAUCAAUUUUCAUGUUCCAUUGUAGCGACUAUGAAGUUGGGAUUGUGAGGGUCUAUGGUUGAAUUUGGUGCCUCUGUGAUGCUCCUUAGAGGUUUAUGGUCUGAGACUAUGAAAGAUCAAAACUAGAUGCAGUGGUUUUAGAUUUUUAUGUAAAGUUCUCUAUUAUAUUUGUUGUACAGUUUGGAUCUUGAAUUUAUAUUCUUCUAUGGUAUCUUACCCUACACAAUGAUCACCCCCUAUCAGUGAGUGAGUACUAACGUGAAGCAAUAACAUGUGACAAUCUGUAUGCCCCUGAUAAGAUUUCCCAAAAGCAUAAAUUGUUGCAUAUAUCAACAGAAAGGAAACAAAAAUAGAACAUAUCAUAUAUCUCAAAUUUGCAGAUUUCAAAAGAAGCACGGAAGAAAGGAUUAAGUAGCUUGAACAAACAGCCAAAGCAAUAUGCAGGACAAGGACUUGAAAUGAUGUAGGAGGUUCAAGCCCAAGACCAAAGAUAUGAGCCAAGAUUGGCCUGCUGAAGCUCAAUUUAUUUAAACUGGUUAAGCGUCUGGCAGAUAUCAAGAGGCAGAAAUAUUGAGGAAGAGAAAUAAUUGAAAAUUGAACACCGAUUAGAGGAAAAAGGUUUGUCCAUAAAAAUUACAGAAACUGAAAUGAUUCUCAACUGUUGACCACCAUUGCAAAUUUCUUUAGAUCCCAAAACUGGAACGUAGUCAAGUGACCAAUCAUCCUGUAGGAAACGAAUUAUAUUGAUUUUUGAUUAAUUGAUACAAUUUAUAAUAUACAGGCCUUUGUAAAUAAGGAAAAAACUAAUCUCCUAAAAACAGUAGGAAAUAAGUACAUAUUCUAUACUACAAUAAUUAUGGAAUGUAAAAUAUUCUUCAAUCAAUUUUGGCUUCCAUCCUUAUUUGGUAGGAUCCGAUUUUCACACUCCUCCUCAAGUUGGAUCGUAGAUGUUAAUCAUAUCCAACUUGCAUAUGAAAUCAUUCUUGCUUGGUUGAGGUAGUCCCUUGGUAAAUAUAUCUACAACUUGCUCUUGAGUAGGAACAUAAGUCAUGCAAAUGGUUCCUUCCUCAACCUUUUCUAUUAUGAAGUGCUUCUAUAUGCUUGGUACGAUCAUGUUGGACUGGAUUAAGUGAGAUAUUGAUCGCUGCCUCGUUAUUACAAUAAAAAUUUUGAUAGAGACUAUAUUUUGACAUGCAAUUCUUCCAAAAGUUUUCUCAGCCACAACCCUUCACAUAUUCCUUGUGCUAUGGCUUUGAACUCGGCCUCAGCGCUGCUUCUAGCAACAACACUUUGUUUCUUAUUUUUCCCAUACAUAGGUACAGUAACCAGUAGUUGGUCUUCUAUCUUCGAUUGAAAUUAUCCAAUCUGCAUCAGUGAACACUUCAAUCUCUUUCCUCUCACUCUUCUUGAAAAAUAGUCCUUUUCCUGGGAAACCCUUGAGAUAUCUUAAUAUCUUGUAGAUCGCUUCUAGGUGACUUUCCUUUGGAGAAUACAUAUGUUGACUUGCACGGCCCACUGCGGUCUAGUAUGUGACAAGUAUUAACUUCCCAACUAAUCUUUGGUAUCCAUCUCUUUCCACAUCAUUUCCAACCUCUUCAGGUUUCUUUUCGAUUUCGACAGGCAUGUCAUUUGGCUUGCAACCUAGCAUGCCGAUUUCGGUUAAAAGUUCAAUAACAUAUUUUCUUUGUGAAACACAUAUUUCAUUUUUUGAUCUGGCCAACUCUAUUCCCAAGAAGUAUCGCGUUUGUCCUAGAUCCUUCACCUUGAAUUCUGUGGCAAAACACUUUUUUAAUCUUUCAGUCUCUGCUGCAUUGUUUCCUAUCAAAAUGAUAUCAUCAACAUAUACAAUUAGGAUUGUAGUCCCAUCAUUAAAUUAGUAUGAUCUGAUUGUCCUUGUUUACAUCCUUGACUUUUCAACACCUUUGCGAAUCUAUCAAACCAUGCCCUCGGUAACUGUUUGAGCCCAUAUAGAGAUUUUUUGAGUUUGCAUACUCUAUUUCCAUCAGUUACCUUGCUGAACCUGGUGGUAAAGUCAUAAAAACUUCAUUUUCUAGUUUUCCAUUCAAGAAGGCAUUUUUAAUGUCGAGUUGUUGUAGUGGCCAGUCUAAAUUGGCCGCUAAAGGUAGAAAAACCCAAAUUGUAUUCAAUUUUGCAAUUGGUGUAAACGUUUUAGUGUAGUCGAUGCCAUAUGUUUGUGUGUAUCAUUUUGCAACUAACCGAGCGUUGUAUCGUUCUAUUAUCCCAUCAGCUCUGUAUUUCAAAUUGAAAAUCCAUUUGCAUCCCACUGGUUUCUUUCCUUUCGGUAGGUCCAAAAUCUCCCAAAUCUCUUUUUUUUUUCUAAUGCUCUCAUUUCCUCCAGUAUAGCUUCCCUCCAUUUAGGAAUUUUCAAAGCUUCUUCGAUGUUCUUUGGGAUCUUUGUGCUGUUAAAGAGAGAUAUAAAAGUACGGAAUCUAUAGAGCAUUAUAAGACAUAAAUUUUGAAAUAGGAUGGAGAGUACAUGAACUAGUUGGUUUUCUGAGAGCAAUGGGUAAGUUAGGAAUUUCUGAGGCUUCAUGAAGAGGCAUCAUUUGUUCUGACUCUUUUGAUACCUCGGAUAUGAUGGUCCUUGUACUUUGAUUUUAGCUUUCGUGAGUAAACUAGUAUCUCUUCAUUACUUUGUUUUUCUAUAUCUCCUCAUGGUUGUAAGUUUUUCUUUGUUAAUGACAAACUGGAUGGUAACAUGGAGUUAUUGGUGGGUGUAGACUCAAAGGAAUUGAGAUUCAAAUCUAGGAAUCGAUCUUCAUGUAGUGUCUCUCCCUGAAGAGAGGUUUUUUUGGAAAUAUGGUGUAUUUUCGAAGAAAGUGACAUCAAGACUUACGAAUUUUCUUUUUGUUGAGGGCUCGAAGCAUUUGUAACCUUUUUGAGUAGGAGAGUAUCCGAUCAAAAUACAUUUAACAGCUUGGGGAUCAAGUUUAGCUCUGCAAUGAGAAUGAAUCUAAACAAAGGCAAUACAACCAAACACUUGUAACGAUAGGUUGGAGUUGAGGCGGGAGGUAGGAAAGAAUUUUUGAAGUUUUUGGAGUGGAGAUUCGAAGUUUAAGACAUUUUGUUGAUCAGGUAAUUGGAUGUUAGGAUUGCUUUUCCCCAGAACAUUUUAGGCAUAUUCGUCGUGGAUAACAAAGCACGCGCCACUUCUAGAAGGUGCCUAUUCGUACGUUCAGCAAUCCCAUUUUGUUGGGGAGAAUCGACGCAAGAACUUUGAUGAAUUAUUCCACCGGUUUGAAGAAAAUCCCCCAUGUAAAAAUUGAAUUUGGGUUUUAUCUUUUAGUAGGUAUACCCAGUAAACUCAAGUGUGAUCGUCAAUAUACAUCACAAACCAUUUUGCAUGAGUUCAAUUGGCAAUUCGUGAAGGAUCCCAUAAGUCGCUAUGUAUCAUAGAGAAUGGUUUAGAUGGUUUGUAUGUGGACAUCGGGAAUGAUGUACGUUGAUGUUUUGCAAACUCACAUUUCACAUUGAAUAUCAACGAAUUUUUUAUUCAUAAAAAUUGAUGGAACUACAUGUUUUAGGUACUGAAAGUUUGGAUGACCCAUUCUAAUAUGCCAUAGCAAAAUAUCGCAAUUUUUAGGAACAUAUGCAAAAUCACAGAUUGUAUUAUGACGCUGUUUACUCACAUCAGUCUCGUCAGAAUAGUAGAGUCCUUCACGUUCCUUAGCACUGUCAAUCGUCUUCUCCGAUGAUAAUUCCUGAAAAACACAGUAGGAUGGAAAAAAUUUAGCAGAGCAAUUUGAUUUUUUUGUCAAUUGGCUUAUAGAGAUAAAUUACACGACAAUUUUGGAAAUGAAGGACAAAUUCUAAAGUUAUGGAAUUAGAAAUUUUGACACUCCAUUUUCCUGCAACCGAUAAUAGUGAUCUAUCUGUAAUUUUAAUUUCAGAUUCCAGGCACAGGUGGAAUAUGUAGAGACCAUAUGGUAAGAGUUUGUCAUGUGAUCAGAUGCUCCUGAGUCAAUGACCCGGGGGGUUUUAGAUUGAGAAAUGGAUUGUAAAGCUCUUAAAAAAUCACCUUUAUUCGCUAGCGAGCUAGUGAGAAUUUUUAUGGAUGUUUGACUUGACGACUGGAGGCUAUUUUGUAAUGUUGCUCCAUCUGUUUCGGAUUGAAUGCACCACCAGACUUGGAUUUUCCCAUUUGGUAAUCGACAGAUGCUUGAUAACCUCAAUUUUAUUUAUUUUGUCUUAACUUCCAAUUACUUGGUUUUCCAUGUAGAUCCCAACAUGUAUUUUCUUUCUCCUGGUUUUCGACAAUGCUCACACCAUAAUCUACCUCAUUGUUAUUUUGAACCCGGCCCGACUGUAGCUCCUUUAGAAUAUAGGCUCGUCAUCCAAAGCCCAUCACCCAAAUUAUUUGUGCCAUUAUUUAAGCCCACUUCAUUAUUAAACCUAGCUAGCCCAUUACUUUCAUUUACUGGCCCAUUAUUAGGAACUCCAGAUUGUUCAGACCUCAGCCUAUAAUUAGAUAACCCGUAUUUAUUGGAGAUCAGUCCAGACGCUUCUUUCGCUGAUGACCGAUACACACCAGAGUCGCCCAACAUGAUUUUCCUCUGAUCUUCUUCCCGUCUCACUUCUGCAAAUACUUCUCGGGACGAGGGAAGAGGACGCCUUCCAAAGAUCCUGCCACGAACCUCGUCAAGGUCGCGAUGGAGACCUACAAGGAAUUCAAACACCCUUUUGAUUUCUAAUUUCUUCAUGUAACGUACGCUGUCCUCUGAACACUUCCAUUCCUCUGUCGAACUCAGGUCCAGUUCUUGCCCUAGUCCGAUCAUCUCCAGGUAGUAAUCCGCCACUUCACGGUCCCCUUGCUUUGUUUGCCAUAACUUCAACUUGAUUUCAAAAAAUUUCGAGAAGUUCUCUGAGUUAGAAUACAUUUCUAUGACCGCCUCCUAGAUGUCAUUUGCAAAUGGAAGAAAUAUGUAUGUUUUCUCGAUAACAGGCUUCAUAGAGUUGACAAGCCAGGUACUCACCAUCGAAUUCUCCGACUUCCACUUUUAAAGGAAAGCAGCGUUGGUUGAGGUCUGUUACAUAUCCAAGUUUCCCUUUUCUGUUGAUUAUUAGUUUUAUCGACUACGCCCAUUCUCUGCAGUUUCUUCCAUUCAGUUUCUCUAUCGAUAGUUGGAGAACUGAAUUUUCAAUUCCUCAUGUAUUCAUGGCAGAGGUGGCUUUUACCUCUGAAUAAGAGAUUAUACAGUCCUUGUCUAUCGUGGCUGAUUUAGCCAUGUAUUGGUUAGGUUAGAAACAAAACUGCUCUUAUACCAUGUAGGAAACGAAUUAUAUUGAUUUCCAAUUAAUUGAUACAAUGAAAGGAAUACAAUUUUUAAUAUACAGAACUUUGUAAGUAAGGAAAAAAAUUAAUCUCCUAAAAACAGUAGGAAAUAAAUACAUAUUCUAUUCUACAAUAAUUUUGGAAUGUAAAAUAUUCUUCAAUCAAUUUUGGCUCCCAUCCUUAUUUGGUAGGAACCGAUUUCCACACAUCUACAUUUGAAAAAGAGGAAAUUUUAUUGGGUGUCAAAAUUUGGGUGUGCAUUAUAAAAACUAUCACCUUUUAAAUUUUCUAUAAAAAAGCCGUCAAAUGAAAACAAAACGAAGGAAGGAAAAUCGACACACAAAAUCACUAAACUCAUUCCUCUCUCUCCCACUCUGAAAUCAACCAUCGGCCAUUGAGGAGGAAGAGAAACCGACACACAAAAUCCCUAAACUCACUCUUCUCUCUAACUGAAAUCAACCACUGACCGUCGAUGAGGAAGAGAAACCGACACACACAAAAUCCCUAAACUCACUCCUCUUUCUCACUGAAAUCAACCACCACCCAGCUGUGGACGAAAUUGGAAGUGUUGGUGGAAUCGCCCACCGCCUUACCGUGAAAGCUUAUUUUUCCAAUCCCGUAGAGGGGCCUAGAAAUUUUUUUGGAGAAUAAGCCCUUUUGUUCUUCUUCUGUAACGAGUCCUUUGAACGUCCGUUAUUUGGAGAUUUUCUGAGAAAAUGUCGGAGCAUGAAUUGAAAGUUUGCAUGAAGCGAAGAUAAUUUUGUAAGUUUCACUCUUGUAUCUUGGUUUGUUUAAAUACUUUUUAUGAACCAUUUGUAAAUCUCUAUUUUUAUUCUUAAUUUGCACAAAUUGUUGUCUCCUUAUUUUUUACAAUUUCAUGAUUUCGAGUUGUUAUAACUGAUGUUUUGUAAAAUUAAUUUUAUGCUUUAUCAUUAAAUAAUCAUACUACAGAAGAGUUCGUUGGCUUGGGUGAUACCAAGAUUGCUGUGGUUUGGGUAGUCUCUUCCCAUCAUCAUAGGGUACUAAAUUAUUUGUUUGAUUUAUUUAUGUGUUUUAUUGAUGGGGGAGAGAAAAUGAGGUAGUGGGGUUGUUUGGUGGUUGCAGAGGAAGAACAUGGUGGAGGAGAUAAAAGAAAAUAGAAAAGAAAAAGGAUGACAAUGAUAGAGACAAAAGGUGGGUAAAGGAACCGAAAAUUAUGGUAUGGGGUUUUGAUGAUCUUUUAUUACUAUUACUAUACCUAUUAUAUUUACUUCUCUCUCCCUUUUCUUGUUUUACUGAAAUAUAUCUACAAGAACUAUUCUCACUCUUGUUUUCAAUCCUGCGUGGGCUCGCACUUCUGCUUCAUAUAGUAUUAUGGUCUAUUAUCAAUGCCUAAAUAUGUUCAUUUAUGUAAACAUGUCACGUGCUCUUUGAUUUCCUAGAUAAGAAUUUUUGUAAUUCAACGCACUAGAAAAGAAAAGAGAAUGCUUCUAAUAUCCAUAUAAAAAUGUCAUUUAUAAUGAUUACAUUUUAUUUGAAUAUUUGUGUCUCAUAAUGGUUAAAGAGAGAAAGCUCUGCUUAUUUAUGUUCCAAAUCAUUAGCAUGCCCCUGAAUUCCAGUAACUGUAUUAUUUUUGGAAGAUUUUAUGACGAACAACUUUUUACUUAACUUGAAAACUGUUGUUUAGGAUUUCCAAUGUAACCUUGCCAUUAGGGAGAGAUGAACUAUUCAAACCUGAAUGGAAGCUCAACAUUCAUGUGAAUACUUAAACCAACUUGUUUCUUUACAAGUAAAAACAACAAUGGUAGUGAUAAUAGUAUGUGUGAAAGACUGAACAAACAAUUUGAUAUAAAAGACAUGGUGUAAUUCAGCUUAAACCUUAUUACUUAUCUUUCACUGAACUCUAUUAUCUAUGCAACGAACUUAAUCAUUUUAAAGCUAAAAUGCUUAAAAUUUCCUAACGGAGUUCGAUAUGGGAAAUUUAGAAUACCCUCAAGCUACUGAUACCAGUACUCAAUGCAUAUAAAAUCGAAAUACUUUAGGUAUAACAUAGUCACUAAAAAGAAAAGAGAAAAAUGAAAGAAAGUAAUCAUAAAUUUACAGAAAAGAGCAUGAGGCAUUAUCUGGGCAAAUUAGGGGAUUUGAAAUACCUUACUUGGUAGAAAUUUCAUCAUUGCAGUCUUCGAUUCCACGAGGUAAGUAACACAAUAAAACCCCAUACACAUAAGAAGUAAAAGAAAAAAGGAAUGGUUCAAAUAUACAAAAAAAUACAUGAUGAAAUUGUCCAAAAAUUAUAUAUAUAUAUAUUAGGUAUAUCUCCGAAGAAGUUAAACAUCAAAUUGUUCAGAUUCUAUGAAUUGAAUUUUUAUUUUUAUUUAUUAAUUUUUUUCUUAGUAAAACAAAGAAAACAAUAUCGCCAUAGAUGAAACAAACUGAAACAUAUACUGUAAAAUACAAAUGUCAAAUUUGAGCACUACUUCUAAAGUAUUUCUGAUUCACAAAAACAAAGAAGAGGAGAAUUACAGAAUGCUUACGUGAUCUAUAUACAUGUACAAAAGAAGAGGAGAAUGAAUGAAAUUUGAAAAAGAGAAAUCUGAUAUAAGAUGAAUUGAAAAUUGGCACUUAAAACUUGGUCUCACAGGAAAUUAAUCAAAGGACAAAAACUCUGUAUCUAUAUAAAGGCAACGACGUUUACACAAAUCGAAGAUAAUUUUGUAAGUUCCGUUUUUGUAUCCUGGUUUGUUUAAAAACUUUUUAUGAACGCUUUGUAAAUCUCUAUUUUUUGUUUUUCAUUUGCAUAAAUCUUUGUCUCCUUAUUUUUUACAAUUUCAUAUUUUUGAGUUGUUUCUUAAAAUUAAUAUUAUCAAUUUGAGAAUUAUUGGCGUUCUUUGUCAAUGGUUUACUUAAACAGGCAAGUUCUGAGCACGAGGCUAUGGGUCUUUGCAUACAAGUUAGACAACUUUGAGAUGUAAGGUGUUUUAGUAGUGUUAAACUUUUUUCUCUAUGAAUGCAUGUUGCAAAUUAUGAAUUUAUAUGCAUAUUUGUCUGAUUGAUUGGGAUAAAGACAUAAAUAUAUUAAUCGGGUUCAAUUGAUAGAAUGCUGAAAGUCGUUACAAAGUACACUAAUGAAUUUUUAACAAUAAUGAUUUACCUUAGUUUGGCCAUGGUAAGAAGACACUAAUAUUUCCUAUGGGCUUAUAUUUUUGCACUAACUACUUCGGACAUGUUCCCUUUGUUGGCCACACCUCUCGUUCUGCGCCUUUUGUUGCUUGAGGGAGCUCGUAAUAGAAAAAAAGACCAUUCGAUUUUUGGGACUGUCGCCAUAAACAUGUAUCCACAAUAAGUGUGAAACUGUUGAUUAGUGACAGAUGUCAUUAGUUCAGAUUUCAUGCUUCAUAUGCGGAAAACCCGUUCAGGAGUGACUAACUUUUGUUGUUUGUUAUGUGAAGCAAACUAUACCUAUUCUCCUUAUAAGGAUAGGAUUUAUGCUUAGGUUUUGACGGUAUUAAUUGGAGCACAUGCUUGAGUGACUUCUUCCGAUUGGAUUUGAGUAGCUAGAGUUGAUUUGCUUCCUAGUGUAGAAGUGCAAAUCAUUGGUAAGAAAUUCAUUUUACAUAGUCCGGAUACGAAGCUGAUGUGGUAUACUCUUUUGCACAUAUACUAGUAUUAUAUUUUAGUCCGUAGCACUCUUUCAUGAAAUUAUUUUUCUAGUUUGACAAGAUGUUGAAGUUUUGAACGGGUCAUAGGCUAGAAGUAAAAUCAAAUUCUUCUCUAUUCAAUGUAAAUUCAAUAAAAUCAAAUUCUAUAACUAAAGAUUAAGGUUAACAAAAGACUCGAUUUCUGAAAACGAAUUGAUAUCCAUUGAUUAGGGCUUAUGAGCCUAGGAGACUAGAUAUUUGUCUGAAUGUCUAUUUCAAGGUUUUGUCAGAUAAGUAACAAUAAAGAGCUUUGCAUACAAGCAAUUUUUAUAUGCCCAUCUUUAUUUUUGUUAACAUCUGUACGGAAUUAGGAACUAGCCAUAGAUUUAUAAAGAUUUCGAAAUUUGAAAAAUACGUACUUGCAUCUUAUUUCGAGAUCUGCUAUUUUUAAAGCCUGUUACAAGUUGAUUCAUAAUACUAGUUAAAUAAAAAUGAAUGCACUAUGGGACUGUUAGCUUGCCAAUAUUCUCUGUAAAUACAACUCAAAAUAAGUUAUGUCCAAUAAAUUUAAGAUUGUGUGCAUAAAUCCGUUUUUACCACUCUCGUUCUUUAAUUGUUACUUUUAUUUCUGUUUGAUCAUUAAUAACCAAAAAACACUUGUAAAAAAUGUAUUCAAUGGUAACUACCCUAGGAUUCUUAUAUGGUCUUAUAUAUUGUAAUAGUCCAAUCCCAUAUAAUGGUGAAAUUGGUGUGAAUUUAAAUUAAUUAACACAUAAGUUUUUGUUUUGCUCAAUAACGUGAUUGUUAAAAAAUUUUGUGUUCUAUUCUUAUCUACAGGCAAUCUGGUUUAAUUGUUGAGGAUAUUUAUCCAUUCGAUAAAAAGCCAUAGCACAUUAUCCUAAUUAGCAAGUGUACUGGGUGUGAGAAUACCAAGGGAUUCUGAAUGACAACUUGACAUUGCAAAAGUGAGCAAGUCUGUGCACCCCCGGCGUGAUUAAACGCCGGCCUUUCUCCAGCCAUGCCAGUUAUCGCUACUGCCACCAAGUCAUCGAGGCUCGACCUCUGUCAUCCCCCACUACCAUUGCUGUAAGCUUCUCUCUCUUCCUCCCCGCUUAGUUUUCUAUUUUUCAGUUCUUUUUCCUUCUAUUUACUCCACAGUAAUUUGCAUUCAUCUUGAACUGAUGGGAAUUUCAUUCGUAGCCCUUACAUGCCAAUUUAGUUCACUUGCACAUAUCAGUUUAGCAGGCAAACCAACUCCCAAUGAACUAUCGUAUCCGACAUUUUACCUCAAAUUUUCUCAACCUCAUUCCUCCCAAUCGUCGGUACCUGCAGGCCUUGAUAGAUAAUCUAUCGGUACUGACGGUUUACUUUAGUUUUUCUCGAUGAUUCACUAUUAUGACACAUGAUUUCGCUUCACUAAAUUGCUAUAUACAUUACAAUUGUUUACACUCAUCCUGUAACCCCCUUUUUAUUAAUUCACCUUCCAUAACUGAUGGAGUUCGAGUUUCAUAUUCCAAAAGAUGCAAGUAUGCGGGCCCACAUUGCGCAACAAAGCAACCUCAAGUACAUGAAGACUGUGAUGGACCAUUUCAAAGAGCGACAAUGAGAGUACUUCUGCAACUCCUCCUUAGGAUAUCUAGUCGAGGUUCUGGACAUUCAAAUGUCUGCCCAACUCAUCCAGCAGCUAGUGUUCAGAACUAUCUGCAUUGAUAAGGUCUACAAGCUUUGGUUCAACGUGGAAGGGCACUUCAUGAGAUUCGAUCUACAGGAGUACGCGCUUGUGAUGGGGUUAAGAUACGGUGUAUUCCUGGAGGGUGGUGAAUUCGAUCGAUUGCUAGAGAGGAGGAGGUUGAAAAAGGGGUACUUCAAAUCCAAUGACAAGAUUUUGUUGGCUCAACACCAGUCUGCUUUGGCCCGACCUUCAACGCCCCAAGCUGAUCUCUACAAGUUAGGAUUGGUUCUAAUUGUCGAAAGAGUUUUCAAUGCUCUAGAUAAUAAUGUCGGUAUCCAUUUGCCCACAUUAUCAAUAAUCGAUGACAUGGACUUAUUUUUUGCCUACCCUUGGGGUAGGGUCGGAUAUAGGCGUUUGUUACAUGGAUUUCGGGGUAUUUGGGCAAAAAAAUUCCAAAAGGUGAAGCGAAAGAAGGAGAAGGAAAUUACUUACACGGUGCACGACUUCUCCAUUACCAUGUAGAUAUGAAAAUUUGUUACAUUAUUGUAACAUGCCUAAUUUUUCCCUCCGGUAACGUCGUGCCUAGAAUCUUCCAAAUUUUAAUGUGUUUUUCUUGUUUCGAUAGGUAUGGGCAUAUAAGGUGCUUCCAAAGGUUGGGGAAUGUUUUCUUAGUGAGUAGGUGAACGAUUGCCACAACUUCUUCGCUGGUCGGCACGAAAACAGUCACAGCAUCGUAUGUGUGAUGCAUUCUUCAAGAAUGUCAAGGUAUACAUAAAAUAGGAUUGUAAGUUCGUUACAAUCUUGUGUGUUCUAAUGUGAGUACUAUAACCUUUUUUUGCAGUUCCACGUGUACGUAACACUGCGUCUCACCGAUGCUGAGGCUCAACAACCCUAUUUUUCCACUCUUGUACCUUACGAUGAUCCCUCAAUGCUGGUGCUGGAUGACAUUGUAGGGACUAUUGUAGCGUCGUAGUUUAAUGCAUCAGGCGUCGGUAGUGGACACGGUGGACAGUCGGUAAGGGAGGAUUCUGAUGAUGAGGGGUCCAAAGAAGGAAGCGGUGUGAAGCAGACGUCCGGAGGUGAUGACGAAGAUGGGCGGUCGGGCAGCGAUCGUGACGGUGAGGAUACUAAGGAUACUGGUGUGUCCCACAGUGAUCGAUCCAGCGCUGGUGAGGACACUCGUGGAGGAGACAGGGGUGCUUUUUCCUCACCUUGACUGUUUCGAGUUCCUUUUCCAGAGCGAUCGAGCAUGAUACAGGCAAGAGUAGUUAGAACAUCUACACUAGGCCUGACCAGAGGGGACGUAGAGAAGCUGCUUUUGGAUCGAAGAAUCCUAUUUGAAAUGUGACUCUAGACUGUAAAGCUUGAAAUCUAACAACACGUGACCUCAGAAUAUAGAAGUCUUCGAGAGUUCAUAGCUAUCCUCGUGGCCCCAGUUGGUCCGACCACCGCUGCAAUUGCGACGAUCACCGAUACCGAGGUCGACGUUUCAGGUUCGUUACCAGAAGGUAUGAAUGUUACUUGCGUACAGCUUUUGCUUUAAAAUUUUAACCUACGAUCGUCAUUACUCAUCGUACUUGUAGCUCACAUAGUAUUAUUCAUGUUACAAUUCUGACAUAGACAUAUAUAGAGGACACGUAGAGCCAUGCUCGGACGAGCAGGACACGCCAGUUGAUAUAAGAACUCCGCAAGGUAUGUGGGUUGUUCACGAGCAAAUCGAAAUUUAUUACCUUAUGGACUUUACACGGUACGAAACUUCUUUGCGACUAGAUGAAAACAUAACUUCUUUCUGUCUGAUGAAUUUUUUUUUUAAUUAGAUGGAAGACAAAUUGAUCUGCAGUUCGGCAUCCUGGAUGUGAACGGUAGGAGGAAGUUAACCCAAUUUAUUAAUUUCAUUAUGUAUUCUACGAUUUUAUUCUAUGUCAAUUGGAAACCUCAAACGCCAUGCACUUACGUAUGUGUUGUAUUCAUCAGAUGCAGGAGCCAUGGAGCCCUCGAAUGCGGCUUGGGAUGACGAUGAAGAGGUGAAGGGUUGCGAUGCGACGGAUGGCGAUGGUAAGUUAGUUUCCUGCGUUCAUAGUGGUUUCGUUAUGCAUUGGAGUGGAUAGCAUUUCGGGUACCUAACAUGGCCCAUUUGGAUUUUCUGUAGGCGUUGUUAUUGAAGUCCCUGUUCCCAGCACUGUACCCGAUGCACGAGCCGGAGUUCCUAUAAUGUGACGUUGCUCGAUACGGUUGCGACGUCCAACUGUUGCUACAGGACUCCAAAUACGGAGAAAGGGAAAGAGAACAAAGAAAUAAUUGUGACUACACUACCCGGAGAGCACGACGAUAGUCUUGUACUCGUUUUUGCUUUGUGACUGAAUUGGUGGAGGUGGAGUUGGGAUGUUAACCUCAUGGAUAAUUUUUUUGUAAUGUUUUUUAUUUAACUUUACAUUUGACAUACUCUUGGGUAGCGUGGAAAUGCUUUGACGCAUUCCUCACAUUUUCGGUUGUCCGUGUUGAAUGCCAUGUCACUGUUCGAUUAUGUUGAUAGUUUUAGCUACUACUACUAUCAUGAUAACUUCUCGAUGACUUAAAUGAUCUGUCCCAUUCAUGGACUACUACUGUUUCAUGAUUUUCCUUCUCGUUUUUUGUCUUCACAAUUUCUUUGUGCUGUGAUCGAUUGUUCAAAUUUGUGGCCUUUCAAAUCUGUGUGUGUUACAUUUUUGUACUUAUUUUGUUCAAUAUUUCUCAUCAUAUGGAACUGCAACUCUGCGAUUACUGUUCAAUACAUAUAGGGGUUUUCGAUUCUGUUUACGUAGCUGGUAAACAAGAAUCGAUGAGCGAAAAAGUAAUUAUACUUUACAAUUUCUGAUUAUUCGAUAUAAUAAAAAUUGUGGAUUACAUUUAACUGUAACAAAAUUGUCUUUCAUACUUUCAAUGUCGGAAGUUGUACCAAGCAUUUUGCUUAAAUGUCUUUUAUGUCUAUCAUAUUGGUUUUUUCGAAACUACACCAACUGGGGAUGCAGUGGUGCUAUGCAUAAUGUUCGAGCAGGUUAAGAAUCACAUGUUUAUGGUAUGAUUAAGCUUUUCUCAAUGCUAUUGUUGGCUUACAAAUAUAUGUGUUAUCAUUGCCUUGAAUAUAAAAUGUGAUGUGUACCAUGUCACAGUUAAAAUUUUUGCCUUCCACUUCGCACAGAAACCAAUUCUACUAACGUUCACUAACUUGUAGCUAAAAGAAUUCCCAAUAUUGUUGAGAUCAUUUGAAAUGUGUAGGUGAUGUCAAGUUUGCUAUGUUUCUAUUGUGUUUGUGGGCUGCUAAAGGAACAUUUUAUUUCUCGAUAGAACAUGCAAGGUUAUUUGGUAUUUGUUUUCAGUCUGCAGCUUCCCACUUAUCCAUCAUCUAUCAGUCUUUCUGGUUGACGAUAGUUAACAUAUUUUUAAAUUUUCUUCCAACUGUACCACGAAGUUCAUGGCACAUUCUAGAUCUCUCUUGGACCAAUGAAGUAAAAGUGUGUUAAUGUCAAUGAGGGAAAAAAUAAUCUAGAAUUUCAAUGACGGGUCCUAAGGACACUUAAUAAUUCCACGCUCUCGUGGAAGUUUCUUACUUUUCACACCCCUAAUUAAAUGAUAACAAUUAUAGGAUUAACAAAAACCAAUUCAUCUAAAAAUCCAUUUCUGUACUGCUACGAAUAUGCAAGUAAAGGGUUUAUACUACAUUGAAUGAACAGUAGCUAAUGAUAAAGACAGAAAUAGGGUAUUUCCAGCUUGUUCAGUGCCUAGAAUAUAUUGUCACAAUUGCAAAAUUUAAACAUGCAUAUGUUCACUGGUGCAUUGAAUACAGUAGUGCUUGGACCAUCCCCAUCGCAGGUGAGCUUGCUUAAAUAUUCAUGGCUUGUUUGUUAUUGUUCAGUGCCAUAUAAAUACUUGAUGCACAUUUAUAUUUGAUUUUCCCCAGGACAUGACAUCCACACUUACAAGUUCUACAGUUGUUGCAAAUGUGCUACUUAAUGUCUACCAUGUCGUUGGAGGAAUAAUGACCAUGUCGUUGGAGGAAUAAUGCUUGUCAAGGUAACCCAUUUCGUACAUUACAGAGUACAUAGCUGGUUGGCUAUGUAAUGACCGCUAGGUGGUCCAGGUGGUUUAGUUUUUUGUCCAAUUACACCUUUCACAUUUACCCAUUAAUUCAAAAGAAAUGUGCCAUAGCCAUUAUGUAUGGCACAUUAUUGCAAUCAAACUUUCGUGCAAGGUUAGAAUCACAUGCAAUUCAAAGAUAUGUUUCAUCUUGUUUGUAAUACAUUUAGAUAUUUACAAUAUAAAUCUACCAUACGCUUAGGAUCACAUGCAAUUGCAGGCUAUCAUUGUUCUGUUCAUAAUUUAUGGCACAUUUAGGCAAUCGAACUUUCGUAUAAGCUUAGGAUCACAUGCAAUUCAAAGAUUUGAUUCGUCCCAUUUGUAAUGUCUUCUGAUUUAUGCAAUCUAAAUUUAACGUACGCUUUGGAUCACAUGCAAUUGAAAGAUAUGAUUGUUCGUGUUCGUAAUUUAUGGCAGAUUUAGGCAAUCGAAAUUUCGUAUAAGCUUAGGAUCACAUACAAUUCAAAGAUAUGAUUCUUCCUAUUUGUAAUGUAUUACGAUGUUUGCAUUCUAAAUUUACCAUAUGCUUGGAAUCACAUGCAGUUGAAAGAUAGGAUUUUUCGUGUUCUUAAUUUAUGGUAAUAGAUAUGCGGUUUUCGAACUUUUGUAUAAGCUUGGGAUCACAUGUCGUUCACAUAUACAAUUUACGAGUCAACUGCAUGUAACUAGUGGGUAUAUUCGGGCCCAAGUGCGUCACAUUAUGCACUUGAAAAUGAUAAUGUGUCAUUUUCCAUAACUUUUGGCAUAUUUCUAAUUGAAGGCAUUUAUUUGAACAUAGGUUGUAGAGAUAGGAGCUCGUUCAGACGAAGGUCGGCAAGUCGAAUGUCAUAUUUUAUGCACGUGCAUGAGAUGCAGCGCACACUGACAAAGCGUGGAAUUUUAUAUUUUUCCUUGCUGUGUAAAAUUUUUUCCCAGUUCAAACAUUUGAUGUGACAUUUAUUCAAACUGGAUGUGUACGCAUAUUCGAAAUUUAUGUACACUAUUAUUUGUUUUGCAAUGAAGCCACUUGGCUCGCACUAGGCCGGAUAUGUCCACAGCGAUCGUAAUAUAUUUUAUCAAUUUGAAACGUGCAAGUGCAUUCGUAAUAUCAGAUUGGUGUCAGACAAUUAUAUAGAUUAAAACUGCCGAAACCAUGACAGCCGUAAGCUUCUAGUUAAAAAAGAGUUAAUGUCCAUUUCAUUUUUUUCAUGCGUCAUCGAACAUGUACGUUAAGAUAAUGAGCCAUAGGUGUAAGACCUUGUAGCCUUUUCAGCAUGGUAAAAGUAACUAGAAAUUUGAUUGACAAUAUUUAAGUUGCAGAAAAUCCCCAUUGCUGAAUAGUACACAUGAUUUGAGAGUCUUUAAUGUCUUACUAAUUAUGGAAAAAUGGGGGAUAAAGGUACACUUAAUUUAUUGAACAAUCACAUCAAUUGCUUUUCACAUUGACAAGGAGAUUGGACUUGGAGGUUGGGUAGAUGAUCAACAUAAUUGCUUCCCCCAUUCAAGUUGCUUAUAAAUACUGUAUGAGUUCCUUUUUCCUUAGAAACAACACAGUUGAAUACCAUUAUGAGAAUUUGAAGUCCUUACACUGUGACGCCCCGAACUUAAACUUCGAGGGUCACGUACUUAACAUAAUAACUUCAUUCUUUAGUACAUGUAAAUACUCUUAAAUAAAAGUAUUACAUGUUAGAAACUUAUUUUCAAUUUGAUAAAACAAUUCUCAUAAAAUUUGAGGGCCGGUAAAAGUGCAUGUCAACAUGAAAUUACACUUUACAUAUGCGGCCUCGGCACUAUCAAGGUUAGUUGGGGCAGCAAGUUUGACAAUUUUUAUAAAAUUCACCCCAACUCCGUUUUAUGUGAAAUUUGUGGCAUUAGAAAGAUAAUUUCAAGUAUUUUUCUAGGUUAAAAUAUGAAAAUUUUCCAAGAUCAUAUGAUAUAGACGUUUUACUGAAAACAGUGAAGUGUUGCACAGAAAAUCCAGAUUGACCCCUUGACGUUAAAACCUUGAUAAGUCCGGUCAUAGAUAUCCAAAUUGAGUGAUUCAUUCGGCCAUAUUUAGAAAACUCAAAGAGGAAAACAGACAUAUUUUUAGAAUCUCAAAUGGACGUUUAUAGAGUUAUAAACAUCAUUUUGAAAUUGACUCCAGAAUCUGUCUCGUUUCUGCCUUUUGUCACUUGUAAGGAAAAUAAACUACAAAAAUGUCUCUUAACAUAACAUGAAAGAUAUAAUUACAAAUUUUACUAUUAAUACCAUAUUUCAUCAUGUCAUGUACAUAUUUUUACAUAAUACCAUAAGAAAGAUAGAUUGGAAAACAGUCAUCGAGCAAAACAUACAAAAGAAAACUUUCGGUUCAAAACAUCCUUGUCCUUAAUCCAUCAUCGCUUAAGCCAACUAACUUCCAUCAAUUCAACGAUCAUGGAUCUGAAAAUUUAGCAUAACAUACUAUGAGUAUAAGAAAUACUCAGUAAGAUACCAUGCUUAUAUUUUUAUCAUGAUAAUGCUACACAAAAGAAUGCAAUCAAACCCAUACUUGCACAUUCCGGAUUGCCGGUGCCCUUCGGACUUGUCCUAAGGCAUAAAUAGAUAUCUAACUUUGUGGACUUGUCCACCAUAAUCAUAUUGUGGUUUUUCAUGCAUAGUUUAAGCAUAAAUAUUACCAUGAAAAUCAUAACUCUUAAGCAUGGAAGGCAUCUUACCGUAAAACUUGAAGAUCUUCGAUUGAAAUGAAUUGGAAAUGCUAAACUUACUUCCUUCUCCUUUCUUUUCUUAAUUUCGAUUUUUGCUCUCUUUUUAAGUGUAUAAGUGUUUUGUAAAAUGAAGGAAAUCUCUCUAUGGAAAUGGAUAUGGAUAUAUUUAUAUUUAUAUAAAGAUAAGGAUAAGGCUUGAUAUAUUUUUUUUUUCUUACCUUUACACAUGUUUGGUCUACUAUCUAAGUGUAUGGUGAUGAUGGAGGACAAGUGGGUUGAUUAUAGGGUAAUAAGUGGCCUUAAAACCUAGAUUUACAAAGGAAGCCUCUUAUCUUUUCAACUAAUAUAAUCUAACCCUCUAACUUUCAUUGUUAACAAAGUGUACCCAAAUUUAAACUUGUACCCAACUUACAUAUUCAAAAAUUGUAGAUUGUAACAUAAUUUAAUCAUUUGGUCAAUUGAAGUCCUAACAAAAUAAUCCACUUCAUUCAAGUCCAAACUUGUCUUAAGUUUCAACUAACUAACAAUCACUUCAUACAUACACAACCUUUGACACUUCAUGCCUACAUUCAUUAACUACCUCUAACAUUAACCACUACAAAGGUGGUGUCCCCUUUUUCCUUAUGGCCAAAAAUAGUAUUGAAAGUUAAAUCGCUAUUCCAAAGAAAUUUAAACAAGCAUAAAAUUUCGGAGUAUUACAUCUCUCCCCCCUUAAAAAAAAUUUCGUCCUCGAAAUUACCUUGAACUUAGUUUAUGAAAACUUUGUCACCAACAUUAAAUGUCAAAUCUUUUCUCCUUUUAUCGGCAUAACUCUUUUGUCGGUCCUGAGCUGCUUUGAUUUUAGCUCUUAUUUUAUCAACCGCUCGACUAGUUUCUUCAAUUAUUGCGGGUCCUAGAACUCUUCGUUCACCUACUUCAUCCCAAUACAUGGGAGCUCUACAUCUUCUGCCAUAAAGGGCUUCGUAAGGUGCCAUCUUUAUCAUAGCUUGGUAGCUAUUAUUAUAGGCAAACUCUACCAGUGGCACAUAGUUUUCCCAACUGCCCCCUAAAUCAAGGACGCAUGCACGUAGCAUAUCCUCUAAAGUCUGUAUAGUCCUCUCCGAUUGUCCAUCAGUUUGUGGAUGGAAAGCUGUGCUGAAGUUUAACUUGGUUCCCAUAGCCUCUUACAAACUCUUCCAAAAUUUUGAGGUAAAUCUUGGAUCUCUAUCCAAUACUAUUGAGGCUGGGAUACCAUGCAAACGGAUGACCUCUUUGAUGUAUAAUAGGGCGUAUUGAUCCAUACUAAAAUUUAUUCUUACAGGUAGAAAAUGAGCUGACUUUGUUAACCGAUCCACUAUAACCCACAUAGCAUCAUUUCCCNNNNNNNNNNNNNNNNNNNNNNNNNNNNNNNNNNNNNNNNNNNNNNNNNNNNNNNNNNNNNNNNNNNNNNNNNNNNNNNNNNNNNNNNNNNNNNNNNNNNNNNNNNNNNNNNNNNNNNNNNNNNNNNNNNNNNNNNNNNNNNNNNNNNNNNNNNNNNNNNNNNNNNNNNNNNNNNNNNNNNNNNNNNNNNNNNNNNNNNNNNNNNNNNNNNNNNNNNNNNNNNNNNNNNNNNNNNNNNNNNNNNNNNNNNNNNNNNNNNNNNNNNNNNNNNNNNNNNNNNNNNNNNNNNNNNNNNNNNNNNNNNNNNNNNNNNNNNNNNNNNNNNNNNNNNNNNNNNNNNNNNNNNNNNNNNNNNNNNNNNNNNNNNNNNNNNNNNNNNNNNNNNNNNNNNNNNNNNNNNNNNNNNNNNNNNNNNNNNNNNNNNNNNNNNNNNNNNNNNNNNNNNNNNNNNNNNNNNNNNNNNNNNNNNNNNNNNNNNNNNNNNNNNNNNNNNNNNNNNNNNNNNNNNNNNNNNNNNNNNNNNNNNNNNNNNNNNNNNNNNNNNNNNNNNNNNNNNNNNNNNNNNNNNNNNNNNNNNNNNNNNNNNNNNNNNNNNNNNNNNNNNNNNNNNNNNNNNNNNNNNNNNNNNNNNNNNNNNNNNNNNNNNNNNNNNNNNNNNNNNNNNNNNNNNNNNNNNNNNNNNNNNNNNNNNNNNNNNNNNNNNNNNNNNNNNNNNNNNNNNNNNNNNNNNNNNNNNNNNNNNNNNNNNNNNNNNNNNNNNNNNNNNNNNNNNNNNNNNNNNNNNNNNNNNNNNNNNNNNNNNNNNNNNNNNNNNNNNNNNNNNNNNNNNNNNNNNNNNNNNNNNNNNNNNNNNNNNNNNNNNNNNNNNNNNNNNNNNNNNNNNNNNNNNNNNNNNNNNNNNNNNNNNNNNNNNNNNNNNNNNNNNNNNNNNNNNNNNNNNNNNNNNNNNNNNNNNNNNNNNNNNNNNNNNNNNNNNNNNNNNNNNNNNNNNNNNNNNNNNNNNNNNNNNNNNNNNNNNNNNNNNNNNNNNNNNNNNNNNNNNNNNNNNNNNNNNNNNNNNNNNNNNNNNNNNNNNNNNNNNNNNNNNNNNNNNNNNNNNNNNNNNNNNNNNNNNNNNNNNNNNNNNNNNNNNNNNNNNNNNNNNNNNNNNNNNNNNNUAUUGUUAACACUGGAGCUGUGACUAAUCUUCGUUUUAGCUCUUGGAAGCUUUGUUCACUUUUCUCUGUCCAUUGAAAUUUUAUCCCUUUUCGAGUCAAUUGGGUCAAUGGUCCUGCUAUUUUAGAAAAUCCCUUGAUAAAUCUUCUAUAGUAACCAGCCGAUCCCAAGAAACUACGUAUUUCUCUAACAUUGGUUGGUCUUACCCAAUUAUUUACUGCUUCCACUUUAGCUGGGUCUACUUCANNNNNNNNNNNNNNNNNNNNNNNNNNNNNNNNNNNNNNNNNNNNNNNNNNNNNNNNNNNNNNNNNNNNNNNNNNNNNNNNNNNNNNNNNNNNNNNNNNNNNNNNNNNNNNNNNNNNNNNNNNNNNNNNNNNNNNNNNNNNNNNNNNNNNNNNNNNNNNNNNNNNNNNNNNNNNNNNNNNNNNNNNNNNNNNNNNNNNNNNNNNNNNNNNNNNNNNNNNNNNNNNNNNNNNNNNNNNNNNNNNNNNNNNNNNNNNNNNNNNNNNNNNNNNNNNNNNNNNNNNNNNNNNNNNNNNNNNNNNNNNNNNNNNNNNNNNNNNNNNNNNNNNNNNNNNNNNNNNNNNNNNNNNNNNNNNNNNNNNNNNNNNNNNNNNNNNNNNNNNNNNNNNNNNNNNNNNNNNNNNNNNNNNNNNNNNNNNNNNNNNNNNNNNNNNNNNNNNNNNNNNNNNNNNNNNNNNNNNNNNNNNNNNNNNNNNNNNNNNNNNNNNNNNNNNNNNNNNNNNNNNNNNNNNNNNNNNNNNNNNNNNNNNNNNNNNNNNNNNNNNNNNNNNNNNNNNNNNNNNNNNNNNNNNNNNNNNNNNNNNNNNNNNNNNNNNNNNNNNNNNNNNNNNNNNNNNNNNNNNNNNNNNNNNNNNNNNNNNNNGACAAGUAUCUUUCCAGAUGGAAGGGAUAUUUCUAAAGUAUAUGGAAGGAAUUCACAUUCCACUUUAGACUUUGCAACAAAAGAAGAAGAAAUGAACGAAUGUGUAGCUCCAGAAUCUAUAAGUACAAAUGCAGGAAUAUUGGAAACAAAGAUGAUACCUGCGACGACAUUAGGGUCUCGUUCAGCUUCUAGGCCUGGACAAGGAGAAAACUCUUGCUUUUCCUUUCUUGACCUCUCCAGCCUUCUGUGUCUGAUUCUGAGGACAUUCUUUUACGAAAUGUCCUGAUUUCCCACACUUGAAACAAACAUUUUUACCCAAGAGACAUUCUCCUUUGUGAGGUCUAUCGCACUUAGGACAACGCCCUUCACUACUGACUCCUGCUAUAUUCGUUCUUCCUUUCUUUGGUGCAUUAUUCCCUUUUCCUUUGCCGGUAUUAUGUUUAUCAAAAUUCCACUUCCUCUUACCUGAGAAAUUUUGAACUUGGUAAGAAUUUUCAAUGUUUUGAGUUCUUUGAUAAGAGAUAGUCUGGGCUCGCUUUAGGACUUCUCGAUAAGUGCCCAGCUCAAGAACUGACACUAUGUCACGAAUAUAAGGUUGAAGUCCACGCUCAAAUCUUCUAGCCCGCUUUUCCUCAGUAUCCACUAAAUGUGGAGCAAACCUUGAUAAUUCCUCAAAUUUGCGUUCAUAUUCUACGAGGGUCAUAGUUCCCUGCUGAAGUCUAAGGAACUCCAUCUCCUUUUGAUCUCUCACAGCUGUCGGGAAGAAUUUUUCUUCUACAAGUUUCUUAAACCUUUCCCAAGUUAUAGCCUGUUCUUCAGCAGGUGUUAAUGACCUAGUAGUCAUAUCCCACCAAUGGCUAGCCCCCUUCUUUAACAUAAAUACUGAAAAUGUUACCCUUUCAGCGUCAUCACAUCUUAUAAAUUUAAAGAUGCGUUCUAAUUCUCGUAACCAAUCCUCAACUGCUAAGGGAUCCAUACUCCCCUCAAACGAUGGAGGGUUCAUUUUACGAAACUGCUCUAUCAUUGCAGUUCGAUCCCUCGAGUUAGGUACUAUUUGAGGUUGAAUAAUUGGUUGGUUAGGUUCCUGAUGAUCAACUGGUAUUUGUUGAUUUAGGGUUCGUUGCCCAGUCAAAGGUGGUGCCUGUUGUUGCUGUCCCAACUCCCGAAUUACAGCAAGUAGUUCUCGUGCAAAGUUUGCAACAUUAACUUCACCACUACUAGAACUAGCAUUAGCAUUACCGUGGUUACGCUUUGGAGGCAUUUCCUUUAAAAAAAAUAUAUACAUCCAGUUAAAAUUUACUUCAGAUCGUAAUACUAACUUUAGAAAAAAUUCAAAGGCCAAGGCAACUUUCCUUCAUAUAUAUACAUUAUUGUUUUUCACAAACAAAAACCAUGUUGAGGUAUGGUACAUACAUUCAAAAGCAGAGAUACAUGUUACAUCNNNNNNNNNNNNNNNNNNNNNNNNNNNNNNNNNNNNNNNNNNNNNNNNNNNNNNNNNNNNNNNNNNNNNNNNNNNNNNNNNNNNNNNNNNNNNNNNNNNNNNNNNNNNNNNNNNNNNNNNNNNNNNNNNNNNNNNNNNNNNNNNNNNNNNNNNNNNNNNNNNNNNNNNNNNNNNNNNNNNNNNNNNNNNNNNNNNNNNNNNNNNNNNNNNNNNNNNNNNNNNNNNNNNNNNNNNNNNNNNNNNNNNNNNNNNNNNNNNNNNNNNNNNNNNNNNNNNNNNNNNNNNNNNNNNCCAUAACUUUCUCGAAGCAAAUAUGUAAGGUCCUCAUAUGAAAGGUCAUCAUCAGACCAUAGCACAAUCUCAUUUAUGACUGAGGCCCAAGGUUCUGGAAUAGUUUCAUAUAAUCUUUGUAUCUUCACCUUAUCCCUUAAGCUAUGGUGUAUCUCCCAUAACAUCCCAAUAAUACAGUCUAGCAGUUCCAAAUGUUGUUCGAGAUUAUGGAGCGGAUGCAUACGAUAAUUAUAAUAAAAUGCCAAUAAUAUGUCCCGCUUCUUCGCAAAACCACAAACUUCUGUCCUUGUGGGGGUUCUUACUAUUCGUGCCAUAACUAGGACAAACAUUGAUUAUGUUACUCCACAAGGUUCUCNNNNNNNNNNNNNNNNNNNNNNNNNNNNNNNNNNNNNNNNNNNNNNNNNNNNNNNNNNNNNNNNNNNNNNNNNNNNNNNNNNNNNNNNNNNNNNNNNNNNNNNNNNNNNNNNNNNNNNNNNNNNNNNNNNNNNNNNNNNNNNNNNNNNNNNNNNNNNNNNNNNNNNNNNNNNNNNNNNNNNNNNNNNNNNNNNNNNNNNNNNNNNNNNNNNNNNNNNNNNNNNNNNNNNNNNNNNNNNNNNNNNNNNNNNNNNNNNNNNNNNNNNNNNNNNNNNNNNNNNNNNNNNNNNNNNNNNNNNNNNNNNNNNNNNNNNNNNNNNNNNNNNNNNNNNNNNNNNNNNNNNNNNNNNNNNNNNNNNNNNNNNNNNNNNNNNNNNNNNNNNNNNNNNNNNNNNNNNNNNNNNNNNNNNNNNNNNNNNNNNNNNNNNNNNNNNNNNNNNNNNNNNNNNNNNNNNNNNNNNNNNNNNNNNNNNNNNNNNNNNNNNNNNNNNNNNNNNNNNNNNNNNNNNNNNNNNNNNNNNNNNNNNNNNNNNNNNNNNNNNNNNNNNNNNNNNNNNNNNNNNNNNNNNNNNNNNNNNNNNNNNNNNNNNNNNNNNNNNNNNNNNNNNNNNNNNNNNNNNNNNNNNNNNNNNNNNNNNNNNNNNNNNNNNNNNNNNNNNNNNNNNNNNNNNNNNNNNNNNNNNNNNNNNNNNNNNNNNNNNNNNNNNNNNNNNNNNNNNNNNNNNNNNNNNNNNNNNNNNNNNNNNNNNNNNNNNNNNNNNNNNNNNNNNNNNNNNNNNNNNNNNNNNNNNNNNNNNNNNNNNNNNNNNNNNNNNNNNNNNNNNNNNNNNNNNNNNNNNNNNNNNNNNNNNNNNNNNNNNNNNNNNNNNNNNNNNNNNNNNNNNNNNNNNNNNNNNNNNNNNNNNNNNNNNNNNNNNNNNNNNNNNNNNNNNNNNNNNNNNNNNNNNNNNNNNNNNNNNNNNNNNNNNNNNNNNNNNNNNNNNNNNNNNNNNNNNNNNNNNNNNNNNNNNNNNNNNNNNNNNNNNNNNNNNNNNNNNNNNNNNNNNNNNNNNNNNNNNNNNNNNNNNNNNNNNNNNNNNNNNNNNNNNNNNNNNNNNNNNNNNNNNNNNNNNNNNNNNNNNNNNNNNNNNNNNNNNNNNNNNNNNNNNNNNNNNNNNNNNNNNNNNNNNNNNNNNNNNNNNNNNNNNNNNNNNNNNNNNNNNNNNNNNNNNNNNNNNNNNNNNNNNNNNNNNNNNNNNNNNNNNNNCUUACCUUUACACAUGUUUGGUCUACUAUCUAAGUGUAUGGUGAUGAUGGAGGACAAGUGGGUUGAUUAUAGGGUAAUAAGUGGCCUUAAAACCUAGAUUUACAAAGGAAGCCUCUUAUCUUUUCAACUAAUAUAAUCUAACCCUCUAACUUUCAUUGUUAACAAAGUGUACCCAAAUUUAAACUUGUACCCAACUUACAUAUUCAAAAAUUGUAGAUUGUAACAUAAUUUAAUCAUUUGGUCAAUUGAAGUCCUAACAAAAUAAUCCACUUCAUUCAAGUCCAAACUUGUCUUAAGUUUCAACUAACUAACAAUCACUUCAUACAUACACAACCUUUGACACUUCAUGCCUACAUUCAUUAACUACCUCUAACAUUAACCACUACAAAGGUGGUGUCCCCUUUUUCCUUAUGGCCAAAAAGAGUAUUGAAAGUUAAAUCGUUAUCCCAAAGAAAUUUAAACAAGCAUAAAAUUUUGGAGUAUUACGUACACACUAUUCGUUUCAUCAAUACUUUACUAUAUUGACAUAAUGAGUUUGUCCACAUGAAGCAUUGAACUGUUCAACAUCAACGAGCCAUUACUAGUUCUCGAUUCGUCUCUAUUAUUCCCAAUCUAAAUUUUGUCAGACGAUGAGAGAGUUCACCCUCCUAUUAGUAGGAGAGCCAUUUCCCCCUUUCUGUUUCCCAACUUGGAAGAUGUAGCGGCGGAAGGUGCACAAUCACCCAACGCUAUGCUCGAUGAGGUUUCGAGGUCGAUACUGGAUAUAAGGGGGGAGCGACGACGAUAAGGAAUGGCUAGCGUACAUCCCAUAGAAUGAGGUAAUUAUCAUCUCAUUGGACUAGUCGAGUAAAGACAGCGGGGAACAAGGCUUAGUUGUUGAUGACGAAUUAAGUGACACCCAUCGAAUGCAGUGAAUAAGUGAUGUAAAAUCCAGUCUUUCGUACUUCUUGAAUUUGGUUAACACAAAUUCUAAAGGUCUGCACGAUCAUCCCGGUAGGAUGCGAUGGGUAGUGUAUUUUGUGGUCCAACUGUCUAGAAUUACAGACACUAUCUGCCGGGAAUGACAAAUGAAGUUUCGAGCUUUAAUGCAGUAUUUUGUAAAUGGCCCCAUAUUUUGUAGUAUGUUCAACGGAUGUUAUGAAAUUGUGUUUAUCAUGCACUCAAUUUAGUCGAGUAUUUACGAUGUUGCAAAUUACAAUAUGUUUCGUGGAGAUUCAAAAAAUUGUUUUUAAGUGGACCAAAAAUAGAGAAGGUUCUACGUCGUCCCUUCAAGUAUAUAUACCAACCGUAGAGUAGGAGGGCAAAUUGUAUGGUUUCAAAGUUAUAUUGUGUCAUAUCUUUUUAUGUAUGCUUAUUCUGAAUAAUGUAAGCUGAUAAUGGGUAUGCGCACACCGUAGGUUGAGCGGAUGUAAAAAAAUGGAUUUCAUUAUGCCCUCAAUUCAGUCCACUAUUUAAAAUGUUUCAAUUUAGAAUUAAUUUGGUUGGGAUUGAAAAAAUAUUUCUUAUUUGGACAGUCGAUGGAUAAAAGGCUUUGCUUACUACCUUCAAGUAUUUAGUACGAUCGUGGAGUUAGAGGGUUAAUUGUACACUUUUAAAAAUGUUGUGUCCUGUAGGAAUUGUGAAUUUUUUCAUCAUGCAUACAAAAUGUACAGUUCACCAUGUAUGUGAAGUUGAUAUUGAAUGCAGUGAAGGUCUUCGUCAAUUGUCGAUAAUGAAUGAGACAUCUAUCCAGACUGACAUUUUAAUAGUAACUAUGAAAAACUUCUCAAUUAUCACAAGCUGAUCUUUUUUAAGUAUAUUUUUGUAAAGAGAAUGGUAGAUACAUGCAAGAACAUGGAACUAUAAUGUGACACAUCGGUACAAUUGAAAUGGAAUUUAAAACUUUCAAGUGAAUAACAACAAAUUAUCUUAGGGAAAUUCAAUUGUCAUGUUACAAUGGGGUGCUCAUCUUCACUAUUUGCACCAUUUACGGCAUGAUUGAACGGGAGUAAAGUGCACUUUCGCCUUUAUCCAUCAUAGCAUAUGUCUUUCACAUUUGAAGUGGAUUGUGCUUCGUGGUUUUAACUGAAUGAUGUUAAAUGCUUCCCUCAAAUAUCUCAAGUUUAUACGGCAUGGAAAGUAAACAAUAUCGGACGAUGAGGAAAUGAGUUCUAAAAUGUCGAGAUGUAAUGCAGGGAGUUUAACUGCAGGAUUUGUGCUUCGGUUGCGAGCAUAAGAAAUACUAAUAUAUGCAAACGAGAAUAAUAACAAAAUUAUAAUAAAUACAUCGGUUCAGUACAAACAACAUCGGUACAAUGUAAACAUACAACUUCGACCAGUCACGAAGAAGAGCCUAUUUUCGAUUAUGACCGACUCCACCACAGCGAAUGCAUUUCCUCAAUCAUGUGGUGGACUCGUAGUUGGAUCGAUGACAUCGUGUGGGUAGUCUACCUGGAGGACGAUGUACACUUGGUGGUAGAAUAUGAGUACCUGUAAUUUCGUUCAGGACAAUGCAUUCCACUUCACGCGUAACAGGAUAGAUUACUUCACUGUAGGCAUCCCUCCAGUAUUUUGAAAUAUAAUACGGUGAGCAUAAAUCAUACAAUGACUUACCUCGCAACAGGCAACACGACUUGCAUGAAUGCAUGGCAUAAGAUUCAGUUGAAACUCGCGAAAAGUGCACAAGUUAUCAAAAAAGUCCACGAUCUUUGUGUCAUUGGGUAGUCCAACUUGUGUUAAGGUGUCUAUCAAGCCUUGAGCUCGAAGCCUUGCAUCUGCUUCGAACAUUGUCCGUAACUCGUUCUCCAUCCUCGAUGACAACACGACACUACAUGUCGUUGCAUUGGUUUGACGUUCGUAGAGCCACUUCUGCAUAGUUUGCCAAAUGUAUUCGACCAAGCAUGUGAUCGGCAAUGAACGUGCAUGUCUCAACUUUGAGUUCAAAGAUUCUACUUUAUUGUUUGUCAAAAUGUUGUAACAUUGCCCAAAGAAUAGUGCUCGUGACCAAAAUGAAAAACCAGCUUGCUCCAAGUAGCCAUACGCUCUUUCAGUUACCCUACAGAUCUGUCUCAUAAGUCUUUUGAACUCUUCGACCUGCGUUGCUGUACCGUUGGAUUAAGUUCUUCUCCAAAGUGAGACAGAGGAAAUAGGUGAACAAUGGCAUUAGAAAUAUUAUUUUUCAUAAGCACUUUCAAGGUCAACAGAAACCACAUCCACGAUUUAUUUAUUUUGGCAUCGAUGAUCCCCAUGCUAAGGGGUUUGUUGGCAUCUUAGCGGUUGCCAGUAGAAGCAUACCUUUAUAUGGACCUUUCAAGUGACUAUCCUCAACAUAAAUAACGAGCCUCAAGUAGUGCAUGUAACCACGAGUGCUUGCACUGAAAGACAGGAGGAAGUAAUGAAACCUGUUAUGGGAAUCAACUUCAAUGUGGAUUACUGUCCUCGGGUUACACUCUCUUAGGACGUGACAAUAUGAAGAUAGUUUUUGGAAACUGUCCCCCCGAUGUAUCGUAUAGCAUAUGUAAAGCAGCCAUCUUGCUUCUAUGUGCUUUUUGGUAACUUAUUUUCACACCAAACUCGCGUUCCAUAUCAUGUGCAAUAGCGGUAGGAUCAUACGAUUGGUAUAGAUUAUCCAAUUUUCCCAAAAUAUGCUCGAUAAUUACUGAAGUAGUGGCAUGUCAUGUGCGUUAUGACUGAAAUCUACGAAACACGUGUGCAGAUUGUUGAAUUUACGGUUCAUGAAUAUUGCUGACUGCUUCACACUCGAAGCACAUAACAUCCACUUACAAUUAUUAUCUGCGCAUACAAUGGUUAACAUUUUGAGGCUUGACCUAUUCACCUUAAAAAGGAACUUGUUUUGCAAAGCAAGCACACGAAUUUUCGAGUACAACUCUUUCUUGCUCAAGAAUAUUUUUUGUUCAACAAGAUCGGAUGUAUUCACACUUGUAAUCCAUUGGUAUGUAUCCGAACUCUGGGAAUGUGAUGACAUUUCCUUGUCAACAUCUGCAAUAUGAGCGGCAAUUGUACCAUGUAAUGGGUCGUCCAACAUCUCAUCUAAUGGUGCAACCCCAACGUAUUCAAUUGGACUAUCGGCUGCAUUAUUGUUUGAGACGCUAGGCUCAUGAUGGAAAUCAUCUUGUUGUACAUUAUGGUGAACAUCCACUGCUCCAAACGAACGAUCAUGCAAAUUUGUAUCCCUCCCUAUGUCAACACUCGGCAGAUUAGUUUCCAAGAUAGUAAUGCAGAGGGCAGUUUCCAUAUGAACAUAUUUGUACCAAAUUAGAUCUUCAUCUUCACGUAUUAGCCGACGGUAUAUUCAUAUUCGGGACUUUGAACUUCAAUUCAAUUUCGAUGCACGGAUUAAUAAUACCAAAUUUGUUAUUCAACCGUAAUAGAAAUGACAUUAGUAAUUUUUUCUCAGUUUUCCCCUACUAUCAUAAAAAUUGGAUUCAUGAAAUUAUCUCCGUUUAUAAUACCAGAAUCAAAAGAAAAAAAACAAUCUCUUCUAUUUUUACGUUUAUUGACUAACAGUAUUUUGAUGAUCUAGCCACUAUUUUUUGAAACCUUUUUAUUUUACUCAAAACAAAAUCUUACAUCAUUGGUUUGAGACAUUUAAAUCAGAAACUUCAAAACUCUAACAGUUUUCAGUUGUUACACUGGAGCACGGCCAUGUACUAAAACCUAGCCUUCAAUUGAAAUUUAUUCAGCUUGGCAUUUUAAAUCAAUUGCUUUGAUGUUAGAAUUAAAAAAGACACAUUUUGCAACUUUCAUAAGAGGAUUUAGCAUUUUCAUUUGUAAACUUAUCAAUAGGCACAUAGCAUAAAUUAGAUGGCUGGCAUCUUCACCUUUUUUAAUUCGGCGCAUGGUACUUUAUGAGCCAAGAGAACAACAUCAGGUUUGCACUUCUGAACUAUUGAGAGACCUAAGAGCGAUCAGUACAAUUAAAUGACUGUACACAUAAAAGAUAUUUGAUCUCUAUUUUUCAGUACAUAAACAAAUGAUAUGGUGACUAGAAAACUUAUCUCAGUUGUAAAAAGAUUUUGAAAAUAAAAUACUUGUCUAAGAACAUUAAGCCCCUGUUUGGGCUCCAUUAAAAUGUUAAUGCAUUUAUCUCUUCUUCUUUUCAACCAUACGUUUUUUAAUAAAAUAGUAUUAUAUGUAAAUCCACAACUUUUCCUUUUUAACCACACAUUCUUAACAAAGUUACUAUUUCAAAAUGUAUUUUCACCAAAACCUCAUUAAAAUGGACCAAACAAAGGCUAAGUGAGCCUUCACUAGUUCAUCAGAGAAGAUGAGUCUAAUAGUAAUCAGAACGACUACCAAAAUGGAAAGAAAACUAAUUAAUAGGUGCAGAAUUCUUUUAUGUCCAUUUUACAAUUAUUUAGGAAUGAGAACACCUCCAUCAUAAUUUUCUACACAUAAAAAAAUGAAAAGACUGUUAAAAUAAAAUGAAAAUUCUAGAUGCAGAUUAUAUUUUCAAUUGCAUACCAUCAACAUGAUCAUGAUGAUGAUGAGUUACAAACAUGAUUAACUUUCGUGGAAGUGCAACAAUGAUUUGUUCAAGCUGACAGUGCAAGAGAGCAGAACAAAUUGCAUGAUUAAUAGUAAUUGGGCAAAUACUCAUAGCAUCAAAUAAAAGAUUUUUUAGUCACAAAGUUUUUAUGAAAUAGCAAUACUCAUUACUAACUAAAAGUAAUAUCUAUGGCCAUUCUGCAAAGUUCUCUUCUGAUGACAGUUUAAGGUGAACAGUAGAAUGUGAAUACAGUAAUUGAUUCGACCAAGGUAAUAUUCUCUUUGGUAACUCACUCGAAACACAAGCAAAUGCUGAAUUGGGAAAUAUAUUACUAUCAUUAUUGUGCAUUUUAUUUUCUAAAUUGAACCAUUCUGAAACCAAAGAACAACAGUUGACUUAAAUACGAUGACUAAGUAACUGAACUGAUUCUCGAAUUUCUCAAGCGGGCACUGAGUUCACAGUUCAAAAAUUACCCAUCAUUUACACUAUUCUAUGGUGUGACAGUCAUCAAACCGACUUUUAUAGUGGGUCCUACAUGGAACUCUCUCUGUGCUAAUCAAUAGAUGCUAGUUCAAUUGUUUUAAAUAAUUUCAAUUUGGAAGGAUCACGCAAAAAGUAUCCAUUUUUUAAGGACUAUAAGUCUGUACAAUUCAAUAUUUAUAGUGAUACAUCAUUCAUCUCUUUCCAUUUUUAAUUCUUUUUCUUAUUGUACCUCUUUAUGCAUAGUAGACUUGCAUCCUGGAUCAACAAUCAAUACAUCUCCACAAGUAACAAAACUAUCACCAUCGCAGCCAUCAUAACUAGUCCCAAGAAAAAAUACAACUAAGUUUGAAGUAUGGAAAGGCUUUGCUAUUCUGCUUCCCAUGGGAAUAAGUUUAACACCCAGAGGAUACUCCUGCAUAAUAAGAAGGAUUUUACGUCCUUGAAGAACAAUGAUUUUAUUCAAGCAAUAUAAACAAAACAUCAACAAAGUGAAACUGCAUGUACAUAUUGAAGUCUAACUAAAAAUUUAGCAAGUAAAGAAAAUUGAAUUGCUCCAGACACUUUUGAGCCUAUAGCUAAAUGUUAGAAAAUGUCAAGAGAGAAGAUUAUGACUUAUCUAGAGUAAUAUUUUUACAAAAUAUCUGAACAUUUCUAAAGUUGAUGACAUGUGAUCAUGGAUAAGCAUAAUUGAGUGAAGCAUGAUGUGCAUAACAUAGAACUUUGUAGAGUCUAUAUCCCAUAUAGACACCAGUCAGAACGCCAAUUAAGCCAGUGCAAAUGCUUCUACUGAAUUAAUUGUUCAUGUAACCCAUUAAAACCUUAAGCGACAGUUGCAAGCAAGGGCUUCUGUUCUGUUAGCUUGAUACCCAUUCUUCGAGUAGCGUUAUGUAAAAUCACAUUAUGAAUUGAUGUUCGUCUAGUUGCGUGUUACAAUUUGAAGUGAUUAUCUAAGGUUUCAUGAUCAUAUAGGAUGUCACAAAUUGUAUACUCGAUGGAUCGGGUAUAGUAAGACACAAUUCGUGAUGUGAUCAAAAUUAUGUCAUUCACAAUCGGUACAUAAAGUUGGACUAUUUAUGUUGAUAAGAUUGUAUUUUUUUAUUAAGAUUUGUCUAGAUCUUGAAAUAGGAACAAUAAUGUGUUUCGAUGCACAUUGAACGGGACCGCGUAAAUGGCUCAUUUGUGACCGUUUGAAAUGAGACUCUACUUGAUUAUCAAAUAGGUCACCUAACUUCUGAGUAUGUAAUGUACCUUUGAUUGCUAGUUCAAGUUCUUUGAGGUACCAAUGAGUGAAGUCUUAAAUAGAAAUUGAUCUCGGUGCUUUAGGAAUCGGGCCGAAACCAUUAAAGAUCAUAUACUUACAAUAGUGGAAUCCAUUAAUCAUUGAGAUGAGGCGAUCGUCACUCUCAGGUAUUUUCCUAGGCAAAUUGAACCUGAGCUUUGUAGGUCGAUGAUGAGAUCGUUGGACUUUACAUUGUGAUUUGAUCACAACGAAUUUACCGUAUGAAAAUGAUACUUAGAGGGUAAUACAUGUUGAAGGGCAAAAAUGGUCAUUUUGCCAGUUUCAAUAAAUUGGCGAUUAAAUAGGGGUUGACUUGUGGAACAAUAAUCAAAGGAUAUUGUUAUUGGAUCAUAAUUUGCUUCUAUAACUAUCACUCGACUCGAGAGUGCAAUCUCGAUUUUUUGGUAAAUUAAAUUGGGAUCAAUAGAUAUAUCUCAAUUGGUCAAGAGUUGACCCAAUUGGAAACAUCUAUUAGAGCUUGGGUCAUGUGAGUUCGAUUUGGUCACUCGGCUCCAAUAAAAAGUGUGUGACUUAAUUGAUCUACUAUAAUAAAGUCCAAGGAAAUUUGUGCAAUUUCCAAACCCUAAUAGGGCAUUAUAAAUAAGCACUUUAUUGGCGUAUUUUAUAUAAGAAUUAUGGUUAGUCACUUUUCACUUUCUUGAAAAGGAAAUACACCUAAUGGAGAACAAGAGAUAAGAUCAAAGGGAGGAAGCAAUUGGCUAGGCCAUUAAAAGCUCCUUCAAAAGGUUAUCAUCUCUUCUUUCUAUGUGUGAGGAUUUUUAUAAUCCAAUGAUCUCAAGGUUACUAAGAUCCUUUUAUUCAUAUAGUUUUAAUCUUCAAAGGAAAAUUAAUUUCCUAUUGUGAUGAUUAAAUCCAUUAACCAUCAAAUUGUAUCAAAGCAAAUGUUAUUGUAAGUCUUGAGUAGGAUUAAAAUUUUUAAACCCUAGUGUAAUAUGCAUUUUAGUUGGGUGGUGUUAGGAUAUUUGAUUUUGACAUGUUUAUACUUUAAAUAUAUUUAAAGUUAUUUUUGAUAUAUUUGUCAUCACUUUUGGCCCUAGAAUUUUUUUUACUUACUAUUGUAAUUAAUUGAUUGUUGUUGUUUUUCUCUAGAAAUGUUUUAAGCCGUAAGGCACUAGGCUUUUUUUUUUGUUUUGUAUUUUUUCUUUAUCUUCAUUUCUACACUUGUAUUUUGGGGAAGAAACAUGUUCUUGUUGCUGUUUUGGUUGAAGAAAUGUAAAGAGAAAAAGAGAUAACAAAAUGCAAGAAAAACCAAGAAACACCUCAGUUGGAUGGUGGCAGCAGCCAUAGCUGCUAGUUGGAGCAACCAUAGUUGCCACUGUCAAAGCAGUAGCGGUUGCUUCUUCGACAGUUGGGGGCCACCGAUUUUGGGGUCGUCGGUGGAGGUGCCGCCGCCAGAGUAGUGUGUGCUUUGGUGGAAGUGUGUUUUCUUACUAGGGUUUGAAAAUUAGGGUAAUUUGGAUUUUUUGGGCCUCUCUUUGAUACUUAGGGUAUGUUGUUGGAUAAUGACCUUGUUGGUUUUAAGAUUUAGGUCUAAAAAUUAAAUUAAUCCUAUUUUUAUGUUACAUGAGGUGGACGACAAAGAAAAUUGACGAAUUGGGCUGGGAUGUAGCCCAAUGUAAUUCUUUUUAUCCAUGUUGUAAUUUAAAUUCUUAGGAUGGGUCAUUAGUGAUUAUUAUUUAUUUAAUUAUCGCUUUUACCGCUUUAUGGAUGGAUGAAUGUUUAAUUAUUAUCGUAUGUCAUGUAGAUUAAAUGAAACACCACUCGAUGCACUAAAAUCAUAUGCAUUUACAUUUAAAUAUUUUUUUAUCAUUCUAAAUUAACUAGAGGUGGUUGAAAAAUAUUUUAUAUAAUUAAUGCCAUUAUAAUUGUUUAUAUUUGGCGGAUUAAUUAAGUGAAAAUCCGACGGUGCAAAAUAAUAAGUGGGAGAGGGUUUAUAGGCAUUUAUUAAUCUACGGCCUCCUCCGUCAUCCAAUAUGUUAUUAAAAUACCUAUAUUUAGUAUCAAAUUAUAUCGGUAUCCCUAUAGGAAAACUACAUUAUUUUAGAUUAACUAAAAUUGGAUCUAGUAAUAAAAUUUCUUUAAAAUGAAAUAAUGGGAUGAUCAUCCUAUAGACGACAUCUUAUAUAUUUCGGAUAUUUUAAAAUUAUUGACGGAGGUUAUUACACUUAUAUACGAAUAUUUUUGAGGGAAUUCCUAUAGAAGAUUUCAACAAAAUUAUUCAUGGGCCAAAUAAUAAUCAAUCCUCAUUUUUUUGUGGCAUGAGAUACCUAGCUCAAUAAAAUGAGUGGGAGGGUCCCAACCUUGCUAACAACUACAUUGACCUCCUAUAGAGGGCAUGUUAUAUGUUGUAAGGGUUUAAGGUUUUUUGAAUACAAAUAUAGUUUUGGAUCUAUAUUUGCAUAUUCAUAUAUAUGCAUCAUAUAAAGAUUAUUGCUCAUUUUAUUAAUACGCGAAUCGUUAAUUUUACAAAAAAAUGUUGCUUAAUUCAUUAUCAGUGAUACUUAACAAAAAUCAACUUGUGGGAGAAAAUUACGUUGACUGGAAAAUGAAUCUUAAUAUUGUUCUUACCGCUUAAAAACAUAAAUUUGUGCUGGAUGAAAAUUGUCCCGAAACCCUUAAAGAUGACUCCAUAGAAUCUCAAAAGGCUGCAUUUGAAAAGUGGCGUCAUUCUGAUGAGAUGGCCCGUUGUUACAUUUUGGCAUCCAUGUUAGAUGUAUUACACCAGAAACAUCAGAAUAUGGAAACUGGUUUUGACAUAAUGGAAAGUCUUCAAGAGAUGUUUGGACAUCAAAGUUGACAAGUUAGGCAAGCCUCCAUUAGGGUAAUUAUGAAAAUGCGCAUGAAACCCGUCACAUCUGUAAGGGACCAUAUAUUAACCAUGAUUGGUCAUUUCAAUGCUAUAGAGGUUUUAGGAGCUGAUAUUGAUUUUGAAACGUAGAUUGACAUGGUCCUUGAGACUCUUCCUGAGAUGUGCUCACAAUUUAUAAUUGAUUAUAAUCUACACAAGUUGGACAUGUCUCUGACAGAAUUAAUGAAAGAGCUCCAAAAUGUUGAAACUGUUCUAAAGGCCAGAAGUGGAAAUGCUUUGACUGUUACAGCUGGACCCUCUCAUCCUAAGCCUUCUGGUAGCAAAGGAGGAAAGAAGAGGAAGAGACCAAACAAAAAGCUAGAUAGCAAGUCAAAGGGGAAGAAAACUACUGCUAAUGGAAAACCAAAGGGAAAGUGUUUUAUUUGUGGACAAAAAGGUCAUUGGAAGAGGAAUUAUCGGGAUUACCUAGCUAAGGGGAAGCAAGGUAAAGGCAAUAAUGCCAUAUUCAUUAAGUCAUGCUUAGUGGUUGAUUCUACUAAUACCUGGAUUGUAGAUUCUGGAGCCACUAAUCAUGUUUGCAAUUCUUUGCAGGGGUUCCAGGAAACCAAGCAUCUUAGUGAAGGGGAGUAUACUCUUAGGGUUAGCACAGGAGCAGUAGUAUCUACCAAAGCUGUUGGCACUUUUACUUUAUGUUUUGAGAAUUGUAGGCAUUUGAUAUUAGAUAACUGUUAUUAUGUUCCCGAACUUACACAGAACUUGGUUUCCGUUGCACUUUUAUAUCAUGUUGGUUAUUUGGUAUUACCCAUUCUACGGUGGUUAUUAAGUUGAAUAAUUCUGUUAUAUGUUUAGGUCAUAUGGUUAAUAGUCUUUAUGUCUUAAGUUCUAUGAUUAGCUCUUUACAUAAUACUACUGCUAAGAAAAGAAAGAGGUCGUCUAGUACUGAUGAAACUCUCUUAUGGCAUCUUAGAUUGGGUCAUAUCAAUCUAAAUAGGAUUCAAAGAUUGGUAAAGGAUGGUCCUUUAAAUGAGUUAGAGGUGGAAUCUAUACCAACUUGUGAAUCUUGUAUAGAAGGAAAGAUGACCAAGAGGCCCUUUAAGGCUAAGGGACUAAGAGCUAAAGAGGUUUUGGAAUUAGUACAUUCCGAUGUUUGUGGUACUUGGGCUAGAGGAGGAUACGAGCACUUCAUCACCUUUAUAGAAGAUUACUCUAGAUUUGGAUACAUAUACCUAAUGUCUCACAAAUCCGAAGCUUUGGAGAAAUUCAAGGAGUUUCGGAUGGAAGUUGAGAAACAAUUAGGUAAGAGUAUCAAGGCCCUUCGAUCCGAUCAAGGUGGUGAGUAUCUAUCCUAAGAGUUUAAGGUCCAUUUGUCGGAUAAUGGGAUAUUAUCCCAAUUGAAUGCACCAAAAACUCCCCAACAAAAUGGUGUCUCAGAAAGAAGAAAUCGAACUCUUUUAGACAUGGUAGGAUCAAUGAUGAGUUAUUCCUCAUUGCCUAUAUCCUUUUGGGGAUGUGCACUGCAAAUAGCCAUUUAUAUCUUAAAUUUGGUACCAUCUAAGUCAGUUCCCAAGACACCUUUUGAAUUGUGAAAUGGGUGCAAGCCCAAUUUACACCACAUUCGGAUAUGCGGAUGUUCGGCACAUGUGCUAAAGGGAAAGACAGAUAAAAUGAAAUCAAGAUUAGAUGUUUUUUUCUUUGUAGGAUAUCCAAAAGGAAUGAGAGGUUACUACUUCUAUAAUCUUCUUGAUAAGAAGGUAUUUGUUAGCACAAAUGUAACCUUCUUAGAUGAUAAGUAUAUAGAAGAACACAGGUCUACUGUUAAGAUUCUACUGGAAGAGAUGUUAGAACAUGGUUCAAACAACUCAGUUCCAAAUUUUGCAUAGAAUCUAUUAGUGAUGACUUGGUACAUUCUACUGAACCAAUGGUUGCUGAUGAAGCAAGUGAGCAAGUGAUGCCCACAGGGCUUCAUAGGCAAACAAAAUAGAGGUAGCAGAGAAAGAAACACUAUUGUUGUACCUUCACAUGUCCCCUUAAAUGGGGAUAAUGAGGAUCUUGGUCCUAACUAAGGACAUGAUCAAAUAGUGGGAGGAGAGAAAGGACCUUUAAUCAGACUUGACAAUCAGGCACCUUCAACAAUUACUCGUAGUGGGAGAGUUGUAAGACCACCUUCUAGGUACUUGCUCUAUGGAGAGUCCUAUCAGGCGAUCUCUACUGAGCAAGGUAAAGAUCUUACUUCUUUUAAGGAAACAGUGGAGGAUGUAGAGUUUGAAUCUGGAAAUCUACCAUGAACUCAAAAAUGGAAUCCAUGUAUUCCAACAAGGUUUGGGAUCUUGUAGAUGCACCUAAUGGGUUAAAGCCUAUAGGGUACAAGUGAGUCUAUAAAAGGAAAAGAGUAUAGAUGGAAAGGUUGAAACCUUCAAAGCAAGGCUAGUGGCCAAGGGUUUUACCCAAAGAGAAGGCAUCGACUAUGAAGAAACCUUCUCACCGAUUAUCGUGCUUAAAUCUAUUCGAGUCCUUUUAUCCAUUGCCACUCAUUAUGAUUAUGAGGUUUGGCAAAUGGAUGUCAAGACAGCAUUUUUCAAUGGACGUCUUGAAGAGACCAUUUACAUGAUGCAACCUGAAGGGUUUGUGAAAGAAGGCCAUGAAAGGAAAGUUUGCAAGUUGCAAAGAGGUCCAUUUAUGGACUCAAGCAAGUGUCCAGAUCUUGGAAUGUAAGAUUUGAUCAAACCAUCAAGACAUACGGUUUUGAGCAAAAUCUGGAUAAACUUUGUGUGUACAAGCGAAUACAAGGGAAGAAAGUAAUUUUUUUGAUUCUUUAUGUAGAUGACAGUCUACUCAUUGGAAAUAAUGUAGGGACAUUAUCAUCUGUAAAGAAAUGGUUGCCAUAGAAGUUCGAUAUGAAGGACUUGGGAGAAGCUAGUUAUGUUUUGGGAAUCCGUAUCUUACGAGAUAGGAAAAACAAAAGGAUUGCAUUAUCCCGAGCUUUAUAUAUUGACAAAAUAUUGUUCAGAUUUGCAAUGCAAAAUUCCAAAAAGGGACAGCUUCCUUUUAGACAUGGAAUUCAUCUAUCCAAGGAGUAUUGUCCCAGGAAUGCAACGAAAAUAGAUUACAUGAGAAAGGUUCCUUAUGCUUCGGCUGUGGGAAGUCUCAUGUUUACUAUGCUUUGCACUAGACUGAAUAUUUGUUAUGCUAUGGGUAUUGUUAAUCGUUAUCAGUCUAAUCCAGGACCAAAACAUUGGGUAGCGAUGAAGCAUAUACUCAAGUAUCUUCGAAGAACAAGAGAUUAUAUGUUUGUCUAUUCAGGACAUGAUCUGAAUCCUAUUGGAUAUACUAAUUUCGAUUUUCAAUCUGAUCGUGACUCUAGGAAGUCUACAUCAGGAUUAGUAUUUACUCUGGAAGGUAGAGCUGUGGUAUGGAGGAGUAUCAAGCAAUCUUGUAUUGCUAAUCCCACCAUGGAAGUAGAAUAUGUAGCGGCUUGUGAAGCUACUAAAGAAGUUGUAUGGUUCAAGAAUUUUCUUUUCGACCUUGAUGUGGUACCUUUGGCAAUGGGGCCCAUAAUAUUUUAUUGCGAUAAUAGUGGGACAGUUGCCAAUGCUAAAGAACCCAGGAGUCAUCAGUGUGGCAAGUACAUUGAGAGAAAAUAUCACCUUGUUAGAGAGAUAGUUCAUCGAGGAGAUGUGACGGUUAGUAAGAUUGUAUCAGCAGAUAAUCUUGCGAAUCCGUUCACUAAGACCUUACCAACGAAGGCUUUUGAUGGGCAUCUUAAGGGGAUGGGUAUUCUUGAUAUGUCACACAUACUCUAAGAAGGGUAAGUGGGAGAUUGUUAGCUUGAUACCCAUUCUUCGAGGAGCGUUCUGUAAAAUCACAUUAUGAAUUGACGUUCGUCUAUUUGCAUGUUACAAUUUGAAGUGAUUAUCUAAAAUUCUAUGAUCAUAUAGGAUGUCACAAAUUGUAUACUCGAUGGAUCGAGUAUAGUAAGACACAAUUCGUGAUGUGAUCAAAAUUAUGUCGUUCACAAUCUGUACAUAAAGUUGGACACUUUAUGUUGAUAAGAUUGUAUUGUUCUUAUUAAGAUUUGUCUAGAUCUUGAAUUAUGAACAAUAAUGUGUUUCGAUGCACAUUAAACGGGACCGCAUAGAUAACUCAUUUGUAACCGUUCGAAAUGAGAUUCUACUUGAUUAUCAAACAGGUCACCUAAAUCCUGAGUGAGUAAUGUAUCUUUGAUUGCUAGUUCAAAUUUUUUGAGGUAUCAAUGAGUGAAGUCUUAAAUAGAACAUUGAUCUCGGUACUUUGGGAAUCAGGCUGAAACAAUUAGAGAUCAUAUACUUACAAUAGUGAAAUCCAUUAAUCAUUGAGAUGAGACGAUCGUAACUCUAAGGUGUUUUCUUAGGAAAAUUGAACCUGAGCUCAGUAGGUUGACGAUGAGAUCAUUGGACUUUACAUUGUGAUUUGAUCACCACAAAUUUAUCGUAUGAAAAUGGUACUUAGAGGGUAAUAUAUGUUGAAGGACAAAAAUGAUCAUUUUGCCAAUUUCAAAAUAUUAGCGAUCAAAUGGGGGUUGACUUGUGGAAUAAUAAUUAGAGGAUAUUGUUAUUAGAUCAUAAUUUGCUUCUAUAACUAUCACUCGACUUGAGAGUGCAAUCUCGAUUUUUUGGUAGAAUAAACCGGAAUUAAUAGAUGUAUCUCAAUUGGUCAAGAGUUUACCCAAUUGGAAACAUCUAUUAGAGCUUGGGUCAUGUGAGUCCGGUUAGGUCUCUCUCUUAGCUCCAAUAAAAGGUAUGUGACUUAAUUGGUCUACUACAAUAAAGUCCAAGGAAAUUUGUGCAAUUUUCAAAUGGCAUUAUAAAUAUGCACUUUAUUGACAUAUUUUAUAUUAGAAUUAUGGUUAGCCACUUUUCACUUUCUUGAAAAGGAAAUACACUUAGUGGAGAACAAGGGAGAAUAUCUAAGAGAAGAAGCAAUUGGAUAGGCCAUUAAAAGCUCCUUCAAAAGGUUAUCAUCUCCCGUUUCUAUGUGUGAGAAUUUUUAUAAUCCAAUGAUCUCAAGGUUACUAAGAUCCUUUUAUUCAUAUGAUUUUAAUCUUCAAAGGAAAAUUAAUUUCCUAUUGUGAUGAUUAAAUCCAUUAACCAUCAGGUUCAGGCCUGUAUUAGUUUCUAAGAAAUAAAGUUCCAACACUAGGACUGGAAACAAUGAAAUUCUCCGGCUGCAACCAAUUUUCCAAUGCCUAUGCCACCAUCAAUAAUUUUGUCACAUAUAAGUAUUGAUUAUUUAUUCCAGACCAAGACCACUGCAUCAAAAAAGAUAAUUAAUAAGAAGAGAAAGGGAAAAGAUGUUGAGGACCUGAUGUCAAAAUAUUCCAAUCUUGACAUUUUCCACACUGCCGAGAUUGGAGAGAUAACUGAAACUUGCUUUCCAUUUUUUCUUAUUUGUAAAGUCCAACUUCCCAGCAAACAAUGUGACGGGAUUUUAAUCCAAUAGUAGGAUGGUUGAACUAUGAAAACAAAUAUAAAUCAGUUUUCUUAAAGAUCGGGUUGGUUGUCAAUCCAACGUUAUUAUUACCCAAGCUCAGAAAGGUCCAUACAGGAAAUUUAGAAAAGGGGGGGUAUUAUGAUGCAGAGAUUGAUUUAGCUUUCAGAACCCAACCAAUACCACAAAAAACAAACCUGACAUCUCAAAUUGGAAGAGAUUUGCAAUUUUGAAUAUUCCAUUGAAUCAUUCAGAUAACCAAUAAAAAUUAGUGGUCCUAUAUGAUCAUUAUGAGGCUUCACUUCAAUAAGCAUAUCAAUGCAUCCUUUGGUGCUCAUCCACUUACAAAUAUAUGCAUGUAGGUAUAACAUACAUUAUUUAAGCCUCAAAGAAAUGACUAACUAUCAAUGAAAGUAUUUAUAGAUAAUUCUCUUUUCUAUUUAGAAGAAAGUCUCUUUUUAUGAAAUAAAAGAUGUGUUAUAAAAAUGUUAAAAAAAAUACUUUAUAUAGGCGAUAUUGCAAAUCCAGCAUGCCUUAAACAUGAUCGCUUGCAAUUAUGCACUUUAUAAGAUGAAAGCAAUAAAAAUCAACAUUUGAUUGUUGCCUGAGCCUGUUGUUUGAAGCACUUAGUAAAGUUAUGUUUAUGAGUCUAAAUGAAAAUAAAAGUGAUUUAUAGUCAUUAAAUGAAAAAUGAGCUCUAUUCAAAAGAAAGUUAAAAAAAAAAAUAAUUUUGUAAUAUUUUGUUGUAGUAUUGCCAUUCAAAGAUAUGUUUUGUUUUUUCUUCAAACAGAGUAAUCAGAUUGUGGCGCCGAAGGUGUUGCUCAAGAGACAACUAAAAUAGUCCCAGGCUGAGAAUCAGCUACGUCGUUAAGUCGAAAUACAGAGCCAUCUUCGACAUCCUAACAUACUACAACUCUAUGGUUAUUUUUAUGAUCAGAUGUGUUCGAGUUUGUUUGGUUCUAUAUGUUAAGAGGAAAAUUUUACAUUGGACUUAUAUGUAGCAAAAUAAUUGCAGACACAAGUUUAUUUAAUUUUGGAGUAUGCUGCCAAGGGAGAACUAUAUAAGAAGCUGCAAAAAUGUAAAUAUUUUAGCGAAAGACACGCUUCUACUAUAAGUCCUCUCGCUGUUUCCAGUGCUCUUCCUCCUAAAACUCAUCUAUACAUCUUUAAUUUUUAAUAUUCUAAUGACAUUUUUUUGAGCUUAUAGGAAGACUGACUAGAGGUCAUUAUUUGUUUUAUCGGAUGUGACCAGUAUGUUGCAUCAUUAGCUAGAGCGCUCAUUACUGUCAUGGAAACGCACGUGAUUCAUAGAGAUAUUGAACUAGAGAACCUUUUGGUUGGAGCACAGAUAUCUAGCGGCAUAUACUUGUUAGUCGAAAUGUUUCUUUGUGAAAGUACUAUAGAUUUUUCUCACUAUAAAUAAAGUUUCCCUCAUGGAAGAUCUUGUAGGUUUCUGGAUUUGAGAAUAAGGCUGUGAAGGAGUUGAAGCUUUUCUCAAAAGUUCAGUUCUUAGACUUUUGUCCAUGUUUUGCAGCGGUUUGGUUUACAAUAAAAUCAGAUUUUUAGUAUAUUUUAAUAAAAAUUGAUGGAACAUGUUAUUAAAAUAUUAUCCACUCUUUCAUCUGAUCAUCCCUAAGCAAUUUCCUCUUCUCGAUUUUUCCUAUAAGCUUCAAUCGCCACAGAAUCAUUCGAUUUAAUAUUGGUCAGAUUGCAUGUUCAUGUCUGUAAAAUAUUUAAUUAACUAGACAGUGAAACCCAAGGUCCCUAAUUAAGUAUGAAUAAUCUAAAUAAACUGUCACCUUAUACCAAUAAGUUAAUUAAAUUAAUGAUUAACCAACAUAUGUAGCCAAUCAAUGACUAGAAAUAUGACAUUUGUCCCUGACGACCUGUAUCAAAAUGGCACACCUGAUUCAAUGUUCUAGUAGGUUACGUGGGUGGAGUCGUGUUAGAUGUAACAAUCCAAUAGACUUUAUGCCACUAAUCUAUAUAGAUAAAAGGUCAAUAUGCCCCUUUGUAUGAACCUUCAGGUGACUUAUCCUCCAUCAAUCUAUGCCAAACUUUUGAACAAAUUCAUUUUGUUGGGUUUUUUGAUACCCAAUAAUUCGAGCGAUAAUUUAAAAUAGUUGUCAAAUUAUUUAUCGACACCAUGGACUUGGCUUGACUCGGAGACGAACUACACUUUUGGAUGGCUUGGGUUUGGGUUGGAUAAUUAUUUGGUUAGUUAGACCAUUUAGUGAUUAAUAUGGAGUUGGAAAUUGGCCCAUUAGUUUAGGUUAUAUGACAGCCCACUUAGAGAUCUCUUGGCCCAUAUUUGGUGACCUAAACUAACCUAUAUAUAUGUAUCUAUCUCCCAGCCGUGUGGUGUGCGUGCGUGUUGUAGCAAUGGAGAGGAGAGUUAAGAGAAGAGAGGCAGCCGAGAGAGAGGGAAGCCAUGUGAGGUUGUGAGUGAGAUUCAACCAUUUUGAUAUCUUCUUCUUCCUCUCCAUACCUUUGUGGAUUGGUAACGCCAUCACCUUUCUCCUUUGUGGGGUUAGAGAGAAAGAAGGCAGUCCAAAUGUGAAGGCGAAAGUCUUGGGUCGAGCCGAGGUAAAUCAGUGUUCGUUUGAUUAUUUUCUGAACUCGGAAUCAAGAUUUAUCGAGGAAUUUCGGCGACAAUUGGUAUCAGAGCUUGUGUUGUUGAUAAAUCUUUGAUUUUUGGAGCUAAAAAUGAGUUGGAAGUGGCCAUAAAUCGAUCUAGAAAAUAGGCAGAAAACUGGACGAAAUGUGGGCAGAUUUUUACAAAACUGGACAGAUUUUUUUUUGGCAUUUUCUUGUAAAACCAAAAAUAGUUUGGAGAAAUGGACACCGCUAGUGGACUUGUAGGCAGAGACGUAUCCAGAAGGGUGACGUGUGGUCGACGCGUGUGGCGCCGGCGCCGGUGCAUGGAGAUCUGGCCAGGGCGUGUGUAGGCACGUCGAGCAGAAUUCGAUGAAGGUGUCUUCAGAUAGAAUGUUGCUAGUGAUGAUACAGACCAUGCAGUGUUGUCGGAUUUCAUUUUUGAACAAUAUCGUGAAAGUUGGAUGAUUUUGCCCUUGGAAAUUCGUGUGCCAGAUGCUAUUUUUCGUGUAGCUGUGAUUGUUGGUGACUUUAGGAUGAAAAAUGACAAUCCUAAAGUGGUGACUUCGCGUCUAUCAAUAUUUAUAGACCGUCAGACAUGGUCUGCUCGGUAUCGUAUUCUUUGCCUUUUAUUAUUGUAGUUAAAAUUAAUGUGUAGGUUAAUUAUUUAUUUUUCAAGUUAGAAGUCAUCAUGAGGGGUGACGUUAGGUUUGGGGUUACUGUGAAGGGGUAACCAUUGCCUGUUGUUAGACUAAGAAAUUAUAUGUUAAUUAAUUGCUUUAAAUUCUAUGUGAAUUUAUCACCAAUUUUUCUACACCGAUAGAAUUGCAUGUGACCUUAGAAAAGUUUACUUGACUAUUCUGUGUGAAUUAUGUGUCAGUACUUUACUUGUGGUCAUUAUUUGAUAUUGUUGGCAUGUAUAGGUCUAAGGCAAGUGCGAAAAAUAAAAUAUAUUUUAACUGUGGUAAAAUUUGGGUAUAGCUGAAAGAGAUUGUCCUAGGAUGAUAAUAAAAGGAAAGAUGAGGAUAGAGAUGAUGCGAAUGUGACUUUAUGGUCGAGUAGUGAUCCUAAUGAGGUUUUAUUGAGAGAAUAAACCUCGUUACUGCAUUACAUCUGUGUGUAAUCCUUUCUGCAUGCAUUUAAUUAUUUAAUUCUAUCGCGUUGUUAUGUUACACUUUCAUUAUGUUUGAUAUGUGUAAUUGUGUGAAUUAGAGUGAUUUAUUACUUUGUGUAAUGUGUUUGCAUGCAUAGUAGGUUGAGAUUUGUGACGUACUCUAUUUGCUCUGUGAGUAGUGUGAGAGUAUGGUAGUAAGAAGAAAGGUGGGCAACCGUUUUCUCAUUUAUCUUUGUUAGCCUAUGUGGUUUGUGAUAUUAUGUGAGGCGGUCAUGUUAGGGUUACAUUCUUUCUCUUUGUGAGCCUUUUUUUGUGAGUGUAGUGAAGUAACCGACUCUUUCUUCAAUUUUUCUUUGUGAAUGCCACCUUCAUCGUUUUCUUUGUGGAUUUUUUGAAGCUUUGGUGAUUCGAAUAACCUUUGUGGUCACCGAAAGGUGUUAAUUUGCUGUAGUGAGUUUGUGAUGAAUUAGCAGUGUGUUAGAUGCCUUAUGGUAAGGUGGAGUAUAGAUGCCUAGAGGUGCAUUUGUGAUAUGCAUGGGAGAUGUGGAGUUUGACAUUUAGAUCACGAGAGGUGAGGUGAUCAAAUGUUGAAAUUCUUUAUCUGCGAAAGAGACCCUGUACAGGUAGAGUGUGAGAGAGGCACUUUUAUCACUUCUGUAAGAUAGAGUCUCAUUAUCCACGUAGGUUGGGAGAAAUGAUGUGGUGAUAGAGGAUUAUCUCGAGACCUUAGGAUCUAUUGUGAUUUGCCAUUAGACAUAAGUUGAACGAUUGGUUUAGUGAGCAUGGUGGGCGAUGAAAGGAAAUAUGUGUUUUUGAGGUAGGAGUAACACGAAAUGGGAUAGGAUAAGUGUGGUGAGAUCUUUCGUGAGGUCAUUUACACAUUUGUUGCAAAUGUGUUUGACUGUGUGCUGAUUAACUUGAUGUUAGUUUGUAGUUCUGUGUGAACGUGAUUUUGAAAAGAUCUCUGUGUGUGUUAUCUUAUAUAUCUUCAUCGCAUGAUUGUUUGUUAACUGUGAAUACUUGUUUCUACUUGGAUGUUUUUGACCUUAGCCCUGCUAAGUACAUGGAGCAAGUAUCAUAUGUGUUUCAGGUUGAAAACAUGAGGUAAGGUCUGUGGUUCCAAUUUUAUUGGAUUAUCUUAAUUGUGCAAGUAUAAACUUUGUGUUUUGGUUGCCUGUAGAUUAACAUCAAAGUGCAGAUUGUUGGAUUUUUUAUACCCAAUAAUCCGGACGAUAAUUUAAAAUAGUUGUCGGAUUAUUUAUCGACACCAUGGACUUGGCUUGGCUCGGAGAUGAACUACACUUUUGGAUGGCUUGGGUUUGGGUUGGAUGAUUAUUUGGUUAGUUGGACCAUUCAGUGAUUAAUAUGGAGUUGGAAAUUGGCCCAUUAGUUUAGGUUAUAUGGCAGCCCACUUAGAGAUCUCUUGGCCCAUAUUCGGUGACCUAAACUAACCUAUACAUAUGUAUCUAUCUCCCAGCCGUGUGGUGUGUGUACGUGUUGUAGCAAUGGAAAGGAGAGUUGAGAGAAGAGAGGCAGCCGAGAGAGAGGGAAGCCAUGUGAGUUUGUGAGUGAGAUUCAACCAUUGUGAUAGUUUCUUCUUCCUCUCCAUACCUUUGUGAAUUGCUAACACCACCACCCUUCUCCUUUGUGGGGUUAGAAAGAAAGAGGGCAGUCAAGGUGAAAGUCUUGGGUCAAGUCGAGGUAAACCGUUGUUCAUUUGAUUGUUUUCUGAGCCUGGAAUCAAAAUUUAUCGAGGGAUUUCUGUGACACGUUCAAUAACAAAAGAAGCAAACAAGAUUUUGCAAUAUAACUACAUUGCUUUAUUCAAUACAAAACCAAGUCAAACUCAAUCUAAUCACAAGUUUUCUGAUGAUACAACAUACAAUGGAGAUACUCUAUUCUUGUACCAUAAAUUUGUCGACUCCUCUUAAUGACAUUCUUUAUUUUCCUAAUCACUACACAAGUUUCUUAGAACAAAAUAUCUCUCGUACAGAAUAUAAUAAAGCAAUGGCAACAACAGCUCCAGCUCCUAAGAACUUGGCUGUUGGUAGACGAAUUUCCUUUGAGGAUACAGCGUUACAUAGGUAUGCCCAAGCCCAUCGGGAUAAGAAAUGUAGCUUGCAACUUGCAAGUCGAUUGAAACUUUUGUAGGGAAAAUUCCUAUACAUGGCAAAGUAGAGUGGAGUUUGAGGUCAAGUGCACAGAGAUAAAAGAGAACAGUUAAACUGAAACUAAACACAAGCAAUAAAGAAUAAAACCAUAGUUAGUAGUAAGUCGUUCAAUUGAUCAUUAUUUCUCUAUGUAGGAUUUCAAUACAAAACAGUCACAGGGAAGUCGUCCUACCUAAUAUAGUUUUGGUAAGUUCUUAAAGGAGAAGCUUUCCUCGUGGGCUCAUAUUUUAGCCACAUUUCCAGCAAACUCAGCAAGACUGCUAUUGAAAUUUUCUAGAGAAAAAUCCUGCAUGGUUCAGAGGAAAGAUUGGAUUUCUACUGUAAUAAGCCAAGUUCCAGUGCAAAGACAGUAGAUGUUUUGACUUUCUGCCAUUAUAAUUUACGUAGAAAAAAAGCACACAUACAAAAAUGCAAAAUAGGACAAGAAAAAAUUAGAGAAGAAAGGCAGAUGAAUGCUACCUUUGGUAAUUUAUCCUACUGAGCUCAAAGACUGCGAUCAACUUCAGCGUACUUGUAUGCAACAAUGUCAAGUAACUUUUUCCCUCCACCUUUUACAUCUUUCAACAUCAGCGUACUUAUAUGCAACAUGAGAAGUGCUACAUAUACACUCUAGUGUACAGCCCCCUCACAUGAGAGGGGUCCAAUGAAUUUUUUAAUCAUCGUGGGCCCUCUCUCAUGUGAGAGGGGUGUACACUCUAGUGUAUAAGAAGCAUUUUUCAUGCAACACCCCUAUUUGAUGCUCUUUAUUCUCAUGGUAUGCAUCGGCUUACUUGGGUACCAAACCCUAGUAAGGCAACCUAUCUUGCAUGCUCGAUUGAGUUGUCAGAAAGCCUCUACUUGAGAGCAGGACUAGAAUUAAUUAACAUUCUCAUAGUCUUUGUGAUUGUGGCAGAAGACUCCACACAAUUAGUUAUACAUAAGUUUCCUAGUUAGCUUAGUAGUUUUUGCAUUUUUAAUAGGAUAAUAAUCAAUUAAUUAGAUUAUUUCCUAGUGUAAUAUUCUUUGUAGGUCAAAAAUAAGAACACACCUAUUGUUGGGAAUAUUACAACUAUAAUGUGUAAAUUAUAUUCACAAAGCAUACCAUUUAUUUGCGUGCAAUUGAAAUGUAAUUUUGACUUAUUGAAAUGGGAUUUGAGAAGUAAAACAUAAAAAUUUCCAAAUCCGAAUGCAUGAAUAUAGAUUCAUCUCUUUCAACUCUUGAACGAAAGUAAGAAAUUCUUUGAAUCAAACCUCGCAAAACAAACAUAUAAAUAAUGUUAAUCAGUUUUUGAAAUUAAACCAUAAUUAAGAGAAAGAAAGGAAAAAAAAAAAAAAGAUGUAAGUGAUGAAUUUUUUACUGAGGCAAAUGUUUGACGCUUUAUCCUUAAGAUGAAUUUGCCCCGAAACUGUGCUAACGAUUUUCUAACAAUCAUCUCCCAAGACAUAAUGACCACGUCGAGCCAUAGGAGCACUCCAAAUGAUUUCGAUUAACGAACUCAAACGAAAUUCCCUCUCUACCAUAAACAUGACUUUGAUGCAAGACAUAAUCAAUUCUACAAAGUAUUUUAUGUAACUCGACAUGAAAUGAAUAAUAUGGAAUUAUGGAAUGAAUUGGAAUUGAAAAUACACGUCCAAGAGGUUCUAUAUAGAAGAUGAAGGUUUGUGGGAGAAGAAACACAACCUAGAUUCAACAUUUUUCAUAAGAAGUUGCAACACUUUAUUUCAAACCUGCAUCAUAUAGAAAAGUUGCAACACUUCAUUCUUCCAAAUUUGAACCGCAAUUUCUCAUUCAUUCAAAAUUGUUUACGAGAUUCUAAAUUUAUCACGACGAUCUACUCGACGAGUAGAAUAGAUUGGUCUAUUUAUUUUUGUAAUUUGACCAUCGGAUUAAGCCUGAAUAUUUGGCUAAAGUUGACAUAAAGUUACACCUUUUCAUUUUGGUUUUAAUACUUAACCAACUUUUCAAUUUCUUUUUAAACCAAUUCCAGCAAUCUCCCAUAUGAAUGAAAAUUCGAGUAUGCAAAUGUAAUGCUAUGAUGUGAUGCAUAGUAGAGAGAGAGUGAAAAGCCACUGCAUUGAGGAUAGUAGCUUUUGGCUUUGAACCUCCUAUAGUGAAAUACCAUCGGACUUACUUGGCUAAUUUGUAAACGUGAUGUCUUGAACCGUUCAGCCUUUACUGUAAGCCAAGACAACAAUAUUCACACAAUGUCUUCCCUAAACCGUUCAUGGUUCUCAUGACUUGGUUCAUUUUGGCCCUGAACCCUUCUUGGUUCUGCGAGUGUUUAGAGAAUUUAAGCCUUGAAUAAUUCUCAUUGAAGCGGCCCCACUUCACACUCACAUAGGUGACCUCCUAUUAAGAGUAUUUUGCCCUACUCCACUUAACUUAGUCAAGAUAUAGGAAUCAUUAAAAGAUUAUCUUAACAUCUUACAACUCUAUAGAAAGCACUUUAAUAUCAUAGGAAUAAGUUAGGAAAUUUGAUUUCCUUAGUGCUUCAUGGAAUCCUCAUAACUUAGUUGUCCAUUUGAACUAAGAUCUUAGGAUCUCUAGUCAACAAGGUAGGGUUACCAUUACAAGGGCUCUAACAUAGUAGGCUUCAACCCCUUUCCUUUCGAUAUGCAGUAUACUUAAUCUCUCGGUAAAUCUCUUAAAAGUACCACAAGUUUACACCAUUGAGAUCAACUGCUUAAUGGUAUUAUAUCUGACUUAUACACCAUUAUAUGUGACUUAGUAUUUUAUCAAAUAUUGCUAGCCAACGAUCAAUUUCAUUUAAUAGAUACAAAUUGUCACCACCAAGAAAUCAUCUCAUGAAGCUACAUGCUUCUUAUUAGCUUUAUCUAAAGCUUAAUUAAAUCCAAAACAACAUUGUUAGAGGAUUUCUAUCUAAUUAUUAUACUAGUCAACCAUGUUUACUAGUAGAUUUCAGAAUCAUGGGUAUUCAAUAUUAUCAUUGAAACAUUAUAGUGCAUUCGAACUUUAUAAAUAUUCUUCAAAUAUUCCAAUUGUUCUUGCAUGUCCAAACAAUUGCCACAGUUGACUUCCACCCAUUUAAUCCACUUUAGACUUAGUUUAUAUCAUCCUUAUAAUUAGUAUAAGGAUUUUCUAUCUUUCAACCUUCAUAGAUAUCUUUCAUGAUUAUAAGAUAGAAGCAAAUGUAAAUGUUAAACUGAGUUACCACUACAAUUCCUCAAUUAAGAAUACAUAUGCAAUCUAUUAAUGUUGCAUCCACAAGUUUUGAACUUUUCAUUCAAGUUCACGAGCAUUUACGAUAACCCCCCACAUCUUUGGGUUACAAUUGAACUUAGGAUUCAGCAACUAUUUCAUGGUUCAAUUCAUUUAUCUCUUAGAUAAUAUCCGUAUCGAGUGCUUCGUGAAAGUCUAAGUACUUGCAAAAUAGUGGUUCUCGACUCACAAUUUAUUUCAAUUAAAGUUGUAUAUAACGUACUUCAAUCAAAUUAUUUUAAUUUGAUCAUCCAAAUAAAAUCAAGGCCAUCAUAUGGACCAGCGAUGCUUUCCAAGCAUAAACCAAUUUAAUUGGUCUUACGAUUGAAGUCAAUUUCAACAGUGAAGAUGGCUAUGCAUCUUGAUUCACAAGAAUUGCAACUUCUCUUAUCACAUUUGUGACACUUAACAUGAUAGUUUCAUUUUAUGUUAAAUAAUAAGGUACAUAUUCACUUUCUUCACCAUAUUCAAAUUUGAAUGAACGAAUCAACCAUAGGUUGAAAAGUUGUGUUCUCAAGAGACAUAACCCUACAAAAGGAUACACAUCUUGAAUUAAUCCCUAUGAAGAGACACAGCCAUUAAAAAAUAAUCAUACCAGAAUUCAUGAUUAUUCAUAUGAAAAUACACCUUUUUCAUUUAAAUUGAUCUUAGAAUAUUUCAUAAUAUUCUAACACAAUUUUCCAUAACAUAGUUUUUAUCCUUUCCAAGUGAAUGUUGUUUUACAAUCAUUAUUUUCAAGGAUAAUCGACACUACCGCUAACUAUAAACACCGUUUGUGCUCUAUAAAUAAUUUCAUAUUCCAAUAAUUGGAUAAACAAUUUUCACUUUAAAAUAAUUAGGACAAACCACAUUUUGUCAUAAUCUUAUGCACAUAUAAUUAGCAUAAGUCAUCUAAUUUAAUUUCAUCAAAUUAAUUGAGGCUCAAUAAGAUUUGAAAUUUUCACCAAGAUAAGAACCCAUAUCCAAAAAUAUUGGCACCAAACCAUGCCUCUUCAUUCAAAUAUUUUCCAUGCACACGCAUUUGUCAAGAUAUUUCAUCGAGUGAUUAUCACUAAAUAAAUUAACUAAUUGAAAUCCAUGUGAUAUAUUGAUUACUACCCUCACACUUUGGUGACAUUCGCUUCAUGUGAAAAUUCACGUGCCAUGCCUUCAUAUUUCAAACGGGUCACACUAUUACAGCAAUGUAUGCAAUUAAUUGUAUAUUCUUUCCCGUCAAACAACCACCAACUAUUUAAAAAUUGAAGAGUCAUUAUUUAAUGAAACGACAUCAUGCACUUGUUCAAAAAUAAAACCCACUUUCAUGAUUUUGACUAAUUUUAUGAAAUAAUUGCAGCCACAUAAUAAUUCACAGAUUCAUUUCCAACCAACAGUAAUCAUACCUUAAAGUGGUCUUAUAGUCCUUAACUAAUGCCAUCGGAAAUAGAUCACAGAGAAAACAACGUACUGAUUUUCCAGAACCAGAUUUCAACAAGAAUUAGAAUAUAAGAUGCAUGACCAACACUAAAAUUCAUCUUAAGAUUGUUGUGAAUAUUACACCGAUAAUGUGCAAAUUAUAUAAACAAAGCAUACCGUUUAUUUGCGUGCAAUCAAAACGUAAUUUUGACUUAUCGAAAUAGGAUUUGAGAAGCAAAACAUAAAAGUUACCAAAUCCAAAUGCAUGAAUAUGGAUUCAUCUCUUUCGACUUUUUAACGCAGGUAAUUCUUUGAAUCAAAUCUCGCAGAAAAAAUAUGUAAAUAAUGUUAAUCAAUUUCUGAAAUCAAACCAUAAUUAGAGAAAUCAUAAAAACAAAGAAAAAAAGAUGCAAGCGAUGGAUUUUGGACCGAGGCAAGUGUUUGACGCUUUGUCCUUAAGAUGAAUUUGCCCCGCAACGGUGCUAAUGGUUUUUCGACAAUCAUCUCUCAAGAUACAACGAUCAUGUCUAGCCAUAGGAGAACGCCAAAUGAUUUCGAUCAACGAACUCGAAUUGAAUUUCCUCUCUACCAUAAACAUGACUUUGAUGCAAGACAUAAUCACUUCUACAAAGUAUUUUAUGUAACUUGACAUGAAAUGAAUAAUAUGGAAUUGUGGAAUGAAUUGAAAUUGCAAAUACACGUCCAGGGGGUCUAUAUAUGGAAGAUGAAGGGUUGUGGGUGAAGGGACACACCUCCAAAUUCAGCAUUUUUCAUGAAAAGUUGCAACACUUCAUUUCAAACCUGCAUCAUUUCGAAAUUCUUCUAACUUUGGACCGAAUUUCUCAUUCAUCUGGAAUUGGUUAUGAGAUUCCAAAUAUACCACAACAAUCUACUCAACAAGUAGAGUAGGUUGAUUUAUUUACUUUUGUAAUUUAACGAUCGGAUCAAGUUUGAAUAUUUGGUCGAAGUAGACACAAAAUCAUACAUUUUCAUUUUGGUUUUAAUACUUAACCAACUUUUCAAUUACUUUUUGAACCAAUUCCAACACCUAUAAAGUCUAUUUUCCUAGUAUAUAAAAAAGAGAAUGUGAAGUUAAUGUAUAAAUCAAUAGUGAAUUAUUCCAUUUUAUCUCACUGUAGCAAUUUUUUUUUAUUGUGGGAGCAAAAACGAUGUAGUUUGUCUUCAAUAAUUUCUCUAUUUUCACAUGCAACCAUCACCUCCACUGCAGUAUUACUCCAUUUUCGCACACUACUUCACCUCAUCCAAUCUAACUAAUAAAGAAAAGAGACUAAAUGAUUUAACAAAUUAAACAAUAAAAUUACUGGCAAAAAUAAAAUGAAACAAAAAAAAGUUAUUCUAAAGUUUUUAAAUUAAAUUAAAAUAAUUAAAAUUAAAAAUAAAUAUUAUUUAAUUAAAAUUGAAAAAAUUGCGUUUUAAACAAAAAGAAUAAAAAAUAAUUUUAAAUCGAAAAAAUAUAUUUAUAAUGUAAACAAAAAAGAAAUUUUAAAACAAUUUUCAAAAAAAUAUAAUAAAACAAAAUAAAAGAAAGUUACGAAAAUUAAAUAGAUAACAUUUAGUUAAAAUUGAAAAACUAAGUUUUAUUAUGAAGAGAAAUGAAUUUUAAAUUGAAAAAAAUUAUUUAUAAUCUAAACAAAAUAAAUAAUAAUAAAAAAAUUCUCUCGAUGCACAGAAACUCAAGUCUCCGUGUUAGUCUUAGUCUCUAUGCACGGAGUCUUUUAGACUCCGCCAUGCAUGGAGUCUCUUUAGAAAAUAUAAAUAUCUCAAACUCGACAGUGACUCAAACUUAAACUCUCCCUGCAUGGAGUCUCUUUUAAAAAUAUAAAUAUCUCGAACUCCUCAUUGACUCAGCGCAAUCUUCAUCUUCUUUUUUUCUCAUUUUUUAAUUUCAGGAUAAAAAAAAGGUGAACAUAUUAAUUCUUGCUCUAUAAUAUUUCCUUUUUCUUUAAAUUUACUUCAAAUUUGUUUUACAUAUUUCUGGAUUUCAUCUUGGGAUUUAUGUGUAACUAAAGGAGCACAGAUCGAAGGCUUUGCGGGUAUAUUAAUUAAUAAAAGCUCGUGGAGCUCAAAAAGUUUGUGCUAUAUCAAGUUAUCUGUAAGUCAGUCCUCUUGACAUAUAAUUAAAAUUUUCAAGGGGAUUAAUUAUGGAUGAACAUUUUUUUAUUUUUACAAAUAUUUGUUAUAAGUGCUUCUGGGGGAAAAAAAGUACGGACCUUUUAAAAACACAUUGACAAAAUCUGUAUUAAUUGAGUUCUAAAAAGCAUUAGAAGAAAUAAGGGUGUGUUUGAUUACAUUUAUUUUCCAUGGAAAAUAUCAGUUUUCCAUCUAAAUUUCUACUUGGAGUGUUUGAUUGCUAUUUUUUUCCAUGGAAAACAUUUUCCAACUUUUGAAAACAUGCCUAACUUUCCUUGUUUUUAAGGAAAAUAUUUUCCUUGAGUAGAGGUGGUUUUUAUUUUCCACAAAAGAUGGAAAAUAUUUUCUUUUUUAGGUGAUAUUUUCCAUGUCAAUCAAACACACUCUAAGAGUUUAUGCUUUGCCCCUGAAAUUUCUCCAGAAACUCUUUUUUUUUUUUUUGAGAUUGACCAAUGUGCUUGAUUAUGUAUCUAAACUAGGGUUAAUUUCACCAGCGGCCUAUUUUAUGUCAAUUUUGUGUUGAAUAUUUAAAGAUUUACCUCUUCAUUAUUCUGUCUUAUGGAACUCGAAAACUUCUUUCUUGAGCAAUGAAGACUGCUUUAGAUAUAUUUUUGGUGAUACUUUUAUAGUUUCCGAUGAUAAUUUGAUACUUUGCUUUGAGGUUAAAUGCCAAUUUUCAGCAUAGUUAUUAACAAAUGCUUCCUUUUUGCUUUUGUGAUUUCAGAUCUCAUUGAAAAAUGAAGAACCCGAAGGUUUUCUUUGACAUACUGAUUGGAAAGGCAAAAUCCGGGCGUGUUGUGAUGGAAUUGUUUGCUGAUACCACUCCCAAAACUGCUGAAAAUUUCCCAGCCCAAUGCACGGGGGAGAAAGGGUUUGGAGCUUCUGGGAAGCCAUUGCAUUAUAAGGGUUCGAUAUUUCAUCGCAUUAUCCCAAAUUUCAUGUGUCAAGGAGGAGACUUUACAAGGGGUAACGGAACCGGCGGAGAAUCCAUUUAUGAUGCGAAAUUCUCGUCUAGCUAAAGCACACAGAGCCUGAUCUGUUAUCAAUGGCCAAUUCUGGGCUAAAUACCAAUUGAACACAAUUCUUUAUCACGACUGUGAAGACACCUUGGCUUGAUGGGAAACAUGUAGUGUUCGGGAAGGUCGUAGAUGGCUAUACUGUGGUAAAGGAGAUGGAGAAUGUAGGUUCCAAUAGUGGAACUACCAAGUCGACGGUCGUGAUUGAGGAUUGUGGUGAGAUAACAGAGAAACAAUUGUUCAAAAACAGGGCACCAGGCCAUGUUUUGUUAUGGAAAAUAUAUGGUAUUUAUAAGUUCUGGUGAAGAUGAAGUUAACCUUAUGUUCAUUUGUAUAAUCGGAAUAAAACCUGAAUUGAUACUGUUAAGUCAUUCGAUUGGACUAUUUCUUCGUGUGGAUAGCAGCUUUCUUUGUGAAAAAUUUUGUGAUGACUGCAUUUCAACUGCUUUCCACUUUAUCUACAAUAUCAGUCUAACAAGAUUAAUAUUAUCAAGACUUUAAGCUUCUCUUAUGGUUCAUUAUCGAAUAGAUGACAUCGAGAUAUGAACCUAAAUAUUUUAGGUGCUCGGCUACCACAUUGAACUACAUUUAUUUAUUCAUACACGCACAAAAUUUUCAUAGAUUUUAGAUAGGAGAGAUAGAUUUAGAACUUGAUCAGCAGACUAGGGGGACCUCGAACUCCUUAACCCCGCAUCAAACGCCUGAGUCGGGCCUGAGUUGGACCAUCCCCAUCAAACGGGUGUGCGUCACUGAGCAUGAUGUACAGAGUUACUUUGGUACUCCACUCUUCCAAUGAAAACUCUAUAAAGUAGUAGAACCCAACUUACACAUGUUACAUAAAAUGUAUAAAUAAACAUGACUCAUAUCCAAUUGUUUUAGUGGACUCGAUACAUGAUGUGUGUUUAUGAUGGAUGUCAUUAGGUGUCGACUCACCAUUAAGAUUAGCUUUGAUCCAUCUUUGACUUUGACUAAAUAAUUUAUUAACUUUGACUAAAAUAGAGUGAGAUGUAACAAGCAAGGACCAAAAAUUACAAAGAAUAAACUUGAAAAAUUGACUUUCAUGUUUAUAUUAUGCUCAUUCUCUUUUUCAAUAACAUACCUUUCUCUGUGACACUCGAGGUUAAAAUUGUGACUUUUUCAUUUUAACUAAUUAGUGACAAUGCACCAUUGAGGCCAAAUUACAUUACUUGCAAGCAUUGCAUACAACAAUCUUAAAGCAAGAAGAAAUUGCAGAUUAAAAAAUUGUAGAAAAACGGAAAUUUACUUGUGAAAUACCAAUGCAACAGCUCUUCAAGUUCCACAUCAAUUGCACAGACUCGAAGAAAAUAUCAUCUGCUACCGCUUCUUCAUGGCUUGGGAAGGAUUAUAAGCAUAUCGGUACUCCUCUCUUUUUUGGAAUGAUUUCUACCCAAGUGUACGUAACAGUGAUAUUACAGCAUGCAACCCUUCUUGGAUGGACCACCCUCAAUUAAGAUGGAGCACCUGGAGAGUACUACUCUUUAGAUGGUUGUUUUGGCAACCAUUGAUGUCAAUUAUGAAGGCGGCGGACUAUAAUUACUGCUUUAUUUGACAUAGCUUGUGAAAGGCUUGAUGUGUUGACUAGUAGAAAUAUUGAGCAUCCUCCCCUUACAAGUCAGUUUCGAGGUCAAAUCUACCCAAGCGCUUGUAACAAGCAUAAAUUACAACCAAAAGGAAUGCCAAGAUUGUAAGCUCAUGAAAAUUGCAACCAGCCUACUCAAAAGGGAGUGAGGAAACCUCUAGAAUGCAAAAUUUUCCACAAUAUUCUACAACUAAAUAAUAGGGAAGAAAAGGUUUAAAACAAAUUACAGGCAAAACAACAAAGCAGCCGAUGACGGUUAGCUAACAUGUUAAGAAUCACGAUGUCCGACUUUCUUUUUGAUGUCAUCUUAGCCAAUCGAUAACGUUCAUUGAAUAUUUUGAAUUUUGAUUUGAUUGGGUCUUUCUCUCGUAUUGACUUUUUCAAAAAAAUAAAAAUAAAUUAUUAGCAGCUUUAAAUCACCAUGUCCGACCUCUUUUUGACGUCACUAUCCAUGUAGCUUAGAAGUGCAUGUAAAACGAGUGAUGUUGGGUCCACAAUUUCCUCAAAUUCAUUUCAGAUCAUAUGAAACUUUUGGAAUAAGAUUUAAGGAUCCAAACCAUGCGCAAUAGGGGUAAAGAAUUAAGGAUCCAAACCACGCGUAAUAGGGAAAUCCUAUGAUUAUCCUUGCAUUACUAUGAAUUAACUUUUCCAAAUAGUUUUCGUCGAAGAAUUUUAUUGCACAUGUCAUUCAAGAAGAGUAGAAAACUAUGCCACAGCUUGAUACUAUUGGUAAGGUGGUAAACCUUUGGAAGUUCGUGAGGAACAAUGUUAUCAUAUAGAUGUACCGUGAAAACAUUUAUAAAUUAAUAUGAACAUUCAUAGUGGUGCUAGUGCUAAAAUCAAAUUAUUGUUCUGACUUCCGAGUUCCAAUAUCAUGCACUCCGGUGAUUAUUGUCCCAUGGGUAAAGAGCUGCACCAGUAUUGACAAUUUUUGGAUAAUAUUCUCACGGAUUGUGUGCUCAAAAUGACCUACUUUGGUGUAAAUCUUUUCCAUGUCAUGCUUUGGUCUCAUACUCAGCAGUUUUCAAAAAAAAUAAAAUAAAUUCAAAUCUAUGUUUGCUAAAAUUAACUAAUUGCAUGUUUUUCUGUAGUUUCACUUCGACAUUUUAGUUCAAUCACUGUCUGAAAAAUCUGUGUCUCACUUACUUGUCGAAUUUCCAUCUAAUUGCUAUUAAUUACUUACAUUUUGUGACAAAUAAAUCAAAAUGCUUGUAAGUCCUAAAUGUUGUCAAAAAAAUUACUAUUAAGGGAAAAAUUCAGCCUUCCCCUUCUGUUCUGUUGGGUAACAUUGUCAAAAUACAGAUAUAUUUUCCACUUUGCAUUGUCCAAAUAUAGUCCAAGGACAGAGCAGAACAUAAAAUUUAGCACUCAAUUAGUAUCUUCAAAACCAAAUCUGUCUUUCGAUUUCUGUGUACCCAAAACUAUCAUCUCAAUUUACUAACACACAGAGGUAUUUUUCAACACACACUGACAUGCACAUGCAUGUGCAAUGGGAAGUGAAGAUACACAGAUAAAGACAGGUGACCUGUUCGAUGAGGUUGUGUCGAGUUAGGCUAUUGAAAGUGGAUACAAGAGCGUAAGAACCGCCCAUCACCAAAUGAAAUCAGUUUUUGUUGCUGCAUAUUUAUCAAGAGAAAAAAAAAUAUUCAUCUACAUUAAACAAAUAGUAAAAGAAUUAAAAUAACUUAUAAAAAUGACGAUGACACAAAUAUUUCUCAUUUUUAAAAAUUUCAAAUACAUUUUCUAAAUUUUACACAUUCCACACUAAUAAUAACAUAAUAAAUACAAUACUCGUGCAACGCACUAGACAAAGACUAAGUAGUUACUUCUAAUUAACUCUUGGCAAAAUUGAAAUGUCUUGUUAUCAUUAAAUUAAUUGUAGGAGAAGUAUUUUAUUUUACAGAUACAAAUGAUAUUCUAAUGACAGACCAUGACUAAUAAGUAGUGACUUCAAACAAUUUGGAUUUGGUCCCAUGGGCACCUAAUGUUUGGGAGGUAAGAUUUAUAAUGGGAUAACUGCAAAAACAAUCCUUCAAAUUCUUUAACAAACUAAAAUGUAUUUCACUUUUCAUUAUUUUGAUUUUUAUUUGGUUACCUUAUUUAAUAUUUCAGUAACAUACUUUUAUUGUUUUAACUUUGUUACCUUAUUUUACAUGUUAGAAACACGUGUCACCAAUUUUUUUUUUUUUUUUUUUUAAAGUAACACGUUGUGUUACUCCAAUUUCAAAACAUGAAACCACCAUGUCCAACACUGUUUCUCAUCAUUGCCACUGCCUUCGUCAUCAAUGUUGGUAAAAUUAUGAUUGAACAUCAAGUGGUUCGAUCCAUGCAUCUUGAGGACUAGAUUGAACUAAUUCCCAUUGAGGAUUGUUAAAAUAGAAUCAUUGAUUUUACAAGGAGAAAAAAAUGGAAAUGGAUUGGAUCAAAAUCGAUGAGCUCUGGUUCAGCCAGUACCUAUAUUUUUCCACAGAAUCAUUGGUUCUAGUCCUUAUUUUUAUGCUUCAAUGUAAACCUUAACAUAAAUUUUAGGAAAAAUUGUAGUAACGAUCCCUAAACUUUUACUUUUUUGCAGAGUUUACUUUAACUUUUAGUUUGUGCGAAUAGUAAUCCCAAACUUUUGAGAAAUUAGUAGCUAAAUCCAUUUAUUUGACCAUUAGUUGACCAAGAAAUUAGAUUUUGACCAAAUUAAAAAAGGUAAAUUAGUAACUUUACAUUUUAUGACUUUAAAUAAUUAAAUAAAAAUAAAAGAAAAUGGGAUGCUCUAGAAACCAAUCCCCACACCCCCACGACACCCCACCCUUCCCUCCCCUCCCCUCACCUCCCCUCCCAAACUUCAUCUUCUUCCCUUGAAGUUAAUAACCCAAAUGGUCACUAAACUUUGUAAAAAGUUUUUACUGGUCACUGAACUUUAAAAAUCACCCAAAUCAUCAUUGAACUUUGCAAAAUAUUUUUACAAGGUCAUUGAACUUCACAAAAGAUUUUCAUGAGGCCACUGAACUUUAAAAAUAAUCUCAUUCAUCACUGAACUUUGUAAAAUGUUUUCCAGCGAUCACAAUUCAGUUAUCCCUGAAAUUUUUUUUGCAAAAUUCAGUGAUGAAUGGAGUGAUAUUUAAAAUUCAAUGACCUUGUGUAAACUUUUUACAUAGUUCACUAAUAACUUGGGUAAUUUUUAAAGUUCAACGACCUCCUAAAAACUCUUUGCAUAGUUCAGAAACCAUUUGGGUUAUUAGCCCUCAUCCCUUGAUUCACUGGCAACUAUCAACACCAUUGCAAGCAUUGGCUUGCCUUAUCAAUAAAAUGGUGUGGCCAUUGCUUCCAUCAAUAGAACACGUCAAUUUCUCCACCAAUCAUCGGUUUUUCCCCUUCCCACAAACCCAGUUUCAACAACUUCACUACUCAAUUUCCCCAUCAAUGUAAAUGUUUCUCCCUCCUCAUCAUAGACAAAGCUGAACGAGAACGAGCAUUGUGGUGUUUCUUAUUGCAUAUAGCAUAUGCUUAAGUCAAGGUCAACACAAGCAUACCCAUAAUACACAUACAUACAACAAUAUAAGUAUGAAUCAAAGGUUGUCAAAUUUAUUGCGAAAAUUGUAAAGAAGAUGGCCCAAAGAUUUGGGUUCGAUUUUGAUUUUUCAUUUGUGUUCUAUUUGACAGUGGAGAGGUGAUGACGGUAGUGGUGGAGGCAGAGGUGGGGAUGAGGACGGCGGCAUCGACGGUUAUGAGUAGUGAUUUUGGUUUUGGGUAGGGGUAGGGGUGGGGUUUGGAUGGAGAAUGGGGAAGGGAAAGAGGUGCAAAAAGAUAAUGAUUUUUUAAAUUUAAGUAUUUAAAUGUGAAAAAAAAAAAAGUAAAGUUACUAAUUUACCCUUUUUAAUUUGGUCAAAAAUUGGUCAAAGUCUAAUUUUUUUGUUAACUAACGGUCAAAUGAAUUCAUCUAUUUGGAGCUGCAAAUUUCUCAAUGGUUUGGAUUCGCCACUGGCCAAAACCGGAGUUUAAAUAAAGUCUACAAAAAAGCGAAAUGUUAGGGACCGAUGUUGUGAUUUUCCCUCAAUUUAUUGAUCUCUACAUGCUCUUCUUCUUUUGUUGUUGGUUGUCUACUAUCAAAAAUUGUGGCCAAUUGCGUAAGGAAGUUUUUAUGAGAAGUCUCACUUUCUUGUUGAGGAAUAGUAGGAUUAACACUAUUAUGACCUUUUCGACCAAUAAAGAUCAAGACGUUACUCCAACGAUUGAAAAUGGGGAGGGGGAGGGGGAAGGGGAAGGGGAAAGAGAAGGGGUGGAAUAAGAUAACGAUUUUUUAACUUUUUUUAAUUUAAUUAAUUUAAGUAUUUAAUGUGAGAAAAUGUAAAGUUACUAAUUUAACUUUUUUAAUUUGGUCAAAAUUCUAACGGUCUGAUUUUCUGGAUCCUUGUUCUAGGUGGGCGGUCUUGGAUAAAAUUUGCUGCCCUUAGAUAACAUGUUGUAUUACUUGUCUGGUAAUUACCCGUUUCAUAUGUUGGGUAACUUGUUGGGAGUAAUUAUGCUAUCGACCCUAACUCCUUCCAUCAUCAAUAUCAACAUCAGAUUGCAGCCCCAAAAUGUUAGUAUCACCAUUGCUGACACCCUAAACAUCCACCUCUAGACAGUCAAAAUCAGCACCACCAUAUCCUCCAACCACUGCUUCACGAACAUAAAACCAUAACUAUCACGAUGGAAAGCUUUAGAAACACUAUAAUCAUUUCGAUACGAAAAUAUUUGAUGAAUGGUAGUGAUGAUUGUUACACUUGUGAGUGGUGGCUGAGCGUGACAUUUUUAUGAUAAUACAAUUGGAGAAACAAUAAAUGUUGAAAAUGUUGAGUUUGGCGGCAAUUAGAUUGAGAUUCCAAUAACAGUGGCGGUGGCUGCAUAAGACGAUGUCAAUACGGAAGCAUUUUUGGAGGAAUGGUGGAGAAGAUUGUUGUCUACCAAUACAAUCUGGUGUAAGGGUUGUUAUGUGAUGUAUUUAAAUCAAAGUUUAAUCCAUAAGAGUAUGAUUAAACAUAACGAUAUAUGAAAAACCUUUAUGGUAUAUUACAAACCACAAAUAAACAAUAAAUGAAGAAAAAUAAGAUGGAAAAUGAUCCGAGGCAAGUAAUUACACUUUCUCCUCAACAGUUCUAAAGAUUCAUGGCACUUGUCUCCCAACAUAUAAUGGAUUCAACUUAUGGUAUAAGCACUUCAAACCACAAGCUAUAGCAAACUAGAAUGGAACUUAUCCUCGCUACAAGGAAAAUGAUAUAAAAUGAAUUUUAUAGAGUUUUUGUAAGAGAUUUGAUGUAAUGCUUUAUGCAAAAUCAAUAUGGAAUGACUUGUGAACGUCCAAACGGUCCUAUUUAUAGAGAAUAGGGGUUGUGGGCGAAGUGUUGUGUGCCAAACCUCUCAACCUUACUAAUAGAAGCAUCAGUUGUUGUUGCUAGCCUGGCGUUGGCCUCUCGCUUGAGCGCCAAUGUCAAAUGAUUUAUAGAAACUUUUCGCCCGCCUAUCGCUCGAGUGACAGCCCCGUCACUUGAGCGAUAGGUGAACGACGGAGUUAAGUAAUUUUCCAGGCCAAUUUUUUCUCUAUUUUCCUUCCAAAUUUUAACCACAAUUUUUCAUUCAUCCGAGGAAUUCCAAAUAUACUACGAUAAUCUACUCAACAAGUAAAACAUGUUAGUGUUUUUAUAUUUGUAAUUUGACUAUCGGGUCCAGUCCGAAUAUUUGGCCGAAGUCACUCUUUCACAUUUUUGGUUUUAAUACUUCACCAAUUUUCCUUCAAGUCUAAACCAAUUUACAACAAAGAUAAUGGGAAGAGGUUGUUGAUUUGAGAAUUUUGAGUUGGGUAUGCUACUUGGCAACAAUGAUCCAACAAUAGUGGGAUACUAGUUUGGAAUAAUGCUAUUUAUCAUUAUAAUGUGGAAUAUCAGUGAUGUGGUAGUCUAUGUAAAAUAAUGGGAUUAUGUCGCUCAAUUUUUAUGAGAGAGAGAGAUGCAAGGAGACGUGGUCUCAAGAGAGAAAGAAAUGUGAGGGCCUGUAGGGGCUAAUCCAAUUCAGUGUUUCUUGUAAAAGAUGCAACUUUUUUGAAUGCUUUCUCAAGAUGUUGGUCAUUGAUUCCCUAACUUGCUCUUGAAAAGCUAGCGCCCAAAGGUGCUCUAUUGAGCUGCUCACCGUUUGGUACAGUAGGAGCUAGCAAAGGAAGUCAUGGACUGAUCGCUUGGAGCAUUACUCGCUAGUGCAGUGCUUUGUUGAAUAGUAAUUUGAUGAGAAUGAAGGCAUGUUUGAAACUCUUUAAAUUAGAACUCUUUAUUUCUCAUAUUCAUUUUAUUCACGCAAUAAAAUAUUAUUUAUUAAACCUAAAAAAAAUUCCUACUUUUUAACCCCACAUUUUUCAAAAAAUCACUAUUUGAAACAUCAUUUUCCUCCGAUUUCUAUUUAUAAUGGUCAUAAAAAGGGACUUAGAAUAAAUUUGUAAAAUCUUAAACACUAGAAAAAGAAGUAUAUUCCAAAAAAGAUAUAAUUAGUUAUAGGUAAAAAUCUGAAAAACAUAAAAGGGAGGCAUUUUUUAGUUUUUGUAAGAAAAUGAGUAUCCCACCUUGGAGCAUCUCCAACAGAUUUAAAGAUUAUAUUUUACAAUUUAGAGAUCACUAGCAACUGUAAUUUCAUCAGGCUUAAUCUUGGCCACCAUCAUCUCCUCGAAAAGCCUAAUAGCAUCUUUAUAUUGGGCAGCUUGAGCAUAGCCUGUGAUCGUGGAAAUCCAUGAAAUCACAUCCUUCCUUGGCAUCUCAUCAAAAAGUACCCUUGCUGCAACACAGUAACCUGCUUUUGCAUACCCCAUAAUCAUGGCAUUCCAAGAAACAACAUUCCUCUCCACCAUCCUACCAAAAAUUUCUCGAGCCAACUCGACCAAGCCACGCUUUCCAUGCAUAUCAAUCAAUGUAUUCCCCAGGUACAAAUCAAUCUUAAAAUGGUUUUCCUCAAUGUAACCAUAGCAUCCGCAAUCUUCCACUUACUCAAAUAACAAAAAGCUAAUAAAACUUUCACCAGUCACUGCAUCAGCCUUAACAUUCACCUGCCUCAUUGCAUUGAAAAGUCUUGAAACUUCAUUGUAAAAUCAAUGAGUUCCAUGAAACGAAGUCUUUAUCUUUCAUUUCGUCAAACACUUUUCCCGAAGACCCCAAAUCACCAUAUGAAGCAUACAUAUGUAUUAAAGAAAUGCACACAAAAAGAUAUGCUUUGAAAACAAGUUUAAUAACAUGACCAUGAACUCUUCUUCCAUAUGAAAUAUCUAAAAUUUUAGCACAAGCUUUAAGCACAAAUAUAAACGAAGUAUUAUCUCCACAGUCCACUAGCACGCAUUUCAUCAAACAUUUGGAGUGCAGUAACAGGCUGACCACUCUUGGAUAAUCCACAGAUCAUGUAGUUCCAAACAGGCAAUGUGGGCUGUUCUAUUUGAUUGAAAAUGAAAUGGGCUUCGUGUAAUGAGGUUUGAGAUAGAGCGUAUGCUUUGAUUAUAUGUGACAUCUUACAUCGGUUAGUGUGUUGGUAAAUUCUGAUGUAAUGUGCAUGAUGCUCUUUAAUGGAAUCAUUAAGGAUUGUGUCACGGUCGAACCUUCAACAAUGGCAGCUCCUCACCGUAACGUAGUUGCAACUCAGAAAAUGAAGAUUUUCAAUUGAAAUCAGGUGACUUGGUAACCAAUAAAAGAUAAAAGAGAAUGGGGGGAAGGAUUAAAUGACGUAAAAUAAGAAGAAAGGGAAGAGAAAAAGCCGUUGAACGAUUUCAACAAUUGAAUUGAAAAUAUCCAAUUACACAGAACUCAUCGUUUCCAUUCCCAAGCUUCAAUACAACCCUAUAUACAAUAAAACAACAAUUGGGCUUGGGCUAGCCCACCAUACAAGCCCAAAGAUAAAAUAAAACAAAAUUGGCAUAAUCCAUGAUAUCACUUUUCCUUAAACUAACCUUGAACUCAAGGUUUAACAUCAGGAUGUCUUUUUUGUAUGUUGUUAGCAGCGGUCUCAUUCUCUUUACCAUUCUAGCCUGUCUUUUCCAUCUCCUUGUUUAACCGGCCCAUCUGAUGUAGCCAUGUGAAUGUAGUAAUCAUAUGCAUUAUGCAAUUUUCUGUGCUGAACAUCAUCAUGCUGUAAAGCAUCUCUAGGCAUUGAGACCUCUUGACCAUUGAAGACAGAAGGUUCAUUCAUGCCCUUCCAGAUGUACACGGUUGGCGUUGAACCAAAUUCUUAUACGAGAAAUUUUCAGCCCACCAAGACCUAAUCUUUGGAUUCAACACAUUCAAGUAUGAUGACGAACUAGACCAGCACCACCCAUCGAAAUCUUUUCCAGUUGCAUCAUUUACAUAAUAUACCUUUUCGAAAGUCUCCUUGUGUAUAUCGUAAGAUUCGUCACUUUUAAUGUGAGGGCCCAUGAUAGUGACCAUAUGCCUGCCCUUUUCAGCUAACUUCUUCUGCAUCUCUUCUGGAUUAGGAAAUAGCAGCCUAUCCCACGUAAAAUAAUUUUUCCCAUCCGUAUGCUCAAUAUCAUGCCACAAAACAUCAUAAGGGAUAUCAUGCUCAUCAAAUUUGGCAUCUACAUUAUAAACAUCCUCUUCACUGCUAUAAUUCCACCUACAUUGAUGGUAAGCAAUAGCAAAUAACUAUGGCAUUGCCAGUGUUCCAGUAACACUUGUAUACUGCAUAACCAUAUUUUUUGGCUCCGGACCAACAAAAAAGAAUGCAUCCACCACACCAACUUCUCUCAUCCACAAUGUAUCGACCCUCUUCUGAUCUGAAGGCAGCAUCAAAGCAGAAGUAUAUUCAUCAUUCCAACCUAUCCCCAGAACAUCGAUAUGCAUUUCAGCGGCAUUCAACCAAGAAAACCCAGAGCUCAUGUGUGACUUCCCAUGGGAAAUCAUGAAAGGUAUGGAACCAUAAAACCCAAAAGGCGAGUAAGCAAUAUAUUCAAACAUAUCAAGGUUAAAAAGCCAAUAUGGCUUAGAAUCAUCCAUCCCAAGUCCUCUAGUUGGCUUUAAGGCUAAACUAAUGGCAUGUUCUGGAAUGCCAGAAACAAAAUCGGCAUCAUAGAAUGAUACGUCAAAGCUAAUACUCUGUGGUCCAUACGGACGUGUAUGAGUGUGGCUCCUAAACCUCUCCUUCAAAUUCUCAACUUCAUUUUCUUCAUCCUUCUCAACACCUAAAUUAGAUUCUAGCUUCUCAAAACUAGUCUCCACAACAGUUUCUAUUUCGACAUGCUUGGUAACUACAACAAUUGAAUCACCAUCUCCAUUCAAUUCAUAAGUACUGACCUGCUUUACUAGUUUCUUAUCUGGUUUAGAACAGGAACCCCAUUUCCCUUCCAGUUUAGAAUCUGAAUCAUCCAUUUGUGCUUCAGAAGACUCGACUAUUUUUGUGUACUUGUUGGACUGAUCUUUGGAGGCUAAUUAAGCCUCAAUAAUUUCAGUCAUCAUUGAGAUUACUAGCCCAUGCUUCCUAUUAAUUUCUUCCAUUAUCCAAUCCAAUCGAGAGAUACCCAUCGAUUGUAGCUGCUCUGAUACCAUUUGUUACGGUCGAACCUUCAACAAUGGCAGCUCCUCACCGUGACGUAGCUGCAUCUCAGAAAAUGAAGAUUUUCAACUGAAAUCAGCUGACUUAGUAACCAAUAAAAGAUAAAAGAGAAUGGGGGAAGGAUUAAAUGACGUAAAAUAAGAAGAAAUGGAAGAAGAAAAGCUGUAGAACGCACUGAAAAUAUCCAAUUACACAGAACUCAUUGUCUCCAUUCCCAAGCUUCAAUACAACCCUAUAUACAAUAAAACAACAAUUAGGCUUGGGGUAGCCCACCAUACAAGCCCAAAGAUAAAAUAAAACAAAAUUGGCAUAAUCCAUGACAGAUUGUUGAGGACGUGAGAAAGUGGGUUACUCGCUCUGGUUUUAGGGUCGUUGAGGACGUGAGAAAGUGGCGUGAAAUAGGUCGAGCGAUUUCAUGAGCGUUUAAUGUUUUUGUGGAGGGAAAUUUGUGGGGAACUGCCAACUAUAAACCAAAACAAACAAACAAAGUUAGAAACAAAUCACCUCGAAAUAGAUCUUCGUCUCCCCCAUGUGCGGAGAUCGCUCUCCGCACAACGCGGAGAGCUCUCCAUACAUACUGACUCUAUAGGCCAGAAAGAUCGUGGGUCGCUCUCCGUGCAUCUCGUUGUGCGGAGAGCUCUCCAUACAUACUAACUCUGUAGGCCAGAAAGAUCGUGGGUCGCUCUCCGUGCAUCUCGCGCUGCACAGAGAGCUCUCAAACCGACUUUGUAGGCCAGAAAGAUCCUGUGUUUGCAAUUUUUAAAAGUUUGUAAUUUGUAAUUUUAAGGUUUACAAUUUGGGAAUAAUUUUAAAACAGUAGAGAAUGGGGGUCAAUGGAGUGAUAUAGAGGUCAUAUUAAUAGAUACUAUCAUAGAUGCAUAUAAGUACAUAUUGAUCAUUCAUGUCUCAUCAAUGACUAACAUAUAUCUUUUAUUAAAUAACAAAAAUGUUUGACACAGACUUAUUGGCAAAUAGUAAUGGUUCAAAAAAUAAUAACAUCAAAUAUUUAUUGAAUAUAAGCCCAGUUAUUGAAAUUAAAGAAAUCGAAAAAGAACCCAAAACAUUAUACACAAUCUAAUUCAAUGCAGGGACUAGAAAAAUAAAACAAGAACACUACACAAAGCUUUAUUCUAAUAACACUAAAUAAACAAAACAACUAAAAAUGCAAGCUUUUACUAUCAAACCAAUGAAGAGCAAAGCAAUUACCUGAAACCUAAUUUUCACUUCUUCUAUCCUUGAAAUACUAAUUAUUCAAAUCCGACUGAAUUAUAUUUUUCAAAUUUGAUUCUAUUUCCUCAUUUGAUUUAGAUAAAGUAGAGAGAAAGCAAUCGCAAAAUUUAUAUAGGAGUAACUGAUUAACCACAAAUUUUCAUAGGAGUAAUUGAUCAACCACAGCAAUAGUGUGUGUAAUUUAGCUCCUUUUUUUGCAGAUUCGAGUUUACUUAGUUUUUGUAGAUUCGAAUUUACCAAUGAACACGAGAUUUCAAUUUUCUGGAAAGAAUGGAAAGAAUAAGAAGAAAAAAAAGGAGUGCCGAAGUGGCGGGUUGAGUGAAAGAAUGGACAAAGAGGACAAAUGCGUACUCACCCUUCCCUCCAAUGGGGCUCAAUAUAAUGCAUUAAAAAAAGGAAAUUAGUGGAGGACGAUGUAUAUUUGCGACACGUGUCCAGCAAAAGUUUUGCUUUUUUUCAUAUAUGUAGGAUAUAUAAGUUUCGAGAUUAAAAAUUUGAAAAUACUCCAACAUGCUCUUUAUCUUUAAUAUUUAAUAUUACUACUCUUAAUAUGUAUUCAUUAUUUUCUCUAGCUUUCCUUUAAAGUAUUAUAUUAUUUUCCUCCAUUUUAUUUGUAUAUACUGCUUAAUUGGGUUAAUAUAUGUAGCAUUGAAAAUUGGAAUAUUUUGAUUACAUUUAAUUAUAGAGAGUGAAUUUGGUUCUUGGUGCAUAAUUCAAAGAGUUGAUUCUUUGAAAUAGACAGUAAAGGAGGACCCAUAUAGGGUCAUGUGAGGUCAAAUGAUUGUUUUUUUUUUUUUUUUUUGAAAAUAGUUGUUUUGACCCUUUACAACCUACUUUAACGCACUCAAAUGUCAAACAAAGUUGAAACGUUGCAUUUUUUAUUUAUUUUUAAUGACUCAAGUGUUCGAGUUUCACCCGACUAAUCUUGAAGAGUGGCGGUCUUCUCCCCGGUUCGCACCCGGGUAAAUUCGGAUGCGGUCAUAGCUUAUACACAUUUGGACCUGAUAUUCGGAAUGCGGUUCUCCUUUCUGCGGACCUCCCUAGUUUUUCGUUCAUUAAUGGUGUGCAAAAAGACCAACCGUAGCAAAAGUUACGACGUAUCAAAAUAGAUCGUUCCAAACUAAUAUUUUGAGAAUUUCGAUAAUAUGCUAACUUUAAAUUCUCCAUUGAUCGUAUAUUAUUCGAAUCCACAAAUCGCUUACGUCUAGAAGCUCGUGUCAAAAACUAUAUCUCUUACAUAUUGAAUGGUCCAAAUGGAUAUCGAAAAUAAUAAAAUAUGAGUCAAAUGUACAUCUUAAAAGAAGCGUCUAACUCAUCAUUUCUUUUAAAAAUUUCAAUUAUUUCAUUAUUAUUGAUUAUUUUUUGCACGAUAAAUUUUUUUAAGAUCCACUGAAGCAACUAUCCUUUAAUUUUCCACAACAAAUGGGAACGACAUGAACACUGGGGCCUUGAAGUCGUUUCUGAUUCGCAGAAAUACACGUUAAAAAAAAAAAAAUUUGGGUACGAAUCUUCACUCAUCAGUGUUAUUUGUUUAGGCCGACUAGUGUUCAACUCGAUUCUUUUCGUUUCCACAAGUCUUCAUGAAAAAAAAUCCAACCAACUGCUGUGUUCACUUUUUCACCCUGACUUACGUUACGAGUAAAUAAAUUAAUUGAAUUUUGACAAUCGCAAGAUAAUUUGACUUCUCUCUUCUUCUUCGUAAAAUCCAAGUCUUCAUGAAAAAAAAUUCAAGUCAACUGCCGUGUUCACUUUCACCGUGACUUACGUUGCGAGUAAAUAAAUUAAUUGAAUUGAGACAACCGCAAGAUAAUUUGAUUUCUUUAUUCUUCUUUUUGGUUCUUCUGUUUGUUGUUGAGUCAGGCAGGCAUGGUUUUCUCACGUAGGGCUGCUUCCAGUUUAGCUGUUUAUGUCUCUCUGUUUCAUCUAUAUAUCCUUCGCUGGGUUGAUUCUCAUUGCCCAAGGCAAUUCCAGUGUGGAAAUCUUGGCAAUAUGGAGUUUCCUCUGGCCAAUUCUCCGGGAUGUGGAUUAUUCAUGGUUAACUGCGGUGCUUGGCCGAAUCCAAUAAUUCACCUGGAUAAUGAUUGGCCUUCACCAUCCUAUGAGAUUCUGGAAAAUUCAUCUCCCAAUGAAUUAUUUAUUCGUAGUCAAUUUCUUCACGAUCGUUUAUAUAAUAAUUAUGAGGAUAGAUGCGAUUUAUUUUAUGAUCUACCUAUACCAACCUCUCCUUCUAUUUCGAUUUCAUUCUUCCCCACUAUCACUUUGUUCAGAUGCCCCAAAGAUAGGAACUACGACAAUGAGAUACCUAAUUUCCAAGAAAUUUAUAGAAACUACACUGGUUGCAAGUGUAAGUAUUAUACCCUAGGUCCAAUCAAUUUUGGAUAUAAAUACUUUGGAUAUAUAAUUAAUGCAAUUUAAUGGCAGAUCUAUUAUUUAAUUAAUAGACAAUUAAAUAAAUAAUAGAGUCCAUAGAUUCAAAUCUUCGUAAUUUGUUAAUCACAAGGAGUUGUGAUUGUGAGAUACAAAUUACGUCUGAUUGAAUCUUAAAUCGUCCGUGGUGGUAAGUAUUAACGAGAUACGGAUAUCGUUAUUACGGAUAGACCAUCACGUGUGACAUUUCUUACUUGUGAAGUAAGUAGCUGAUCUCACAAGUUAAAGUAUGGUGACACUUAAAUGAACACUUGGAUAUUUUGUUAUAGAACAAAACAUUGGAGACCCGCCGAAAGAUUCCACAUGGAUAACUAUCUGAGUGUCAGUGGUUAAUCUCUAACGUUCGAUAGUGGAAUUAAUCCUUUAACUUGAGGUCGUCAUGGUACCUUAUAUGAGAACAGUCAUACUUUGGCGGUGUUGAAUGUUGCUCUACAAAGGGCCGCUAAUACAAUAUCGUUCGGGUAUGUCAAGAAUCAUAUGAAGGUUAUGAUUGACCAAUAAAUGAUUCGUCACUCUUAGAUAGUAGGAGAUUAUGAUCUGCAUUUCAUUCAAUUAAGUCGAUGAUGAAAUCCUUGGCCAAGGUGUACUCAUAAGUCGAAAAAGAGUUUUCGACUUGUAUUGACUUAAUAGUGGAGUGAAAGAUAUGAUCGAUAAUCGAGAUUGACACACUUCCAUAUCUCGUAAUUGGUCGGAUCAUAUUGACGAAGGGAUUAUAGUUUCACGGUAAACGAACGAGUUUGGUUUUGUCAUACCACGUGACAUUUUCCGUCACAUAUAUUACCCUGACACAUUGCUAGAUGUCAAUUUGGGACGGCGAGUGUGAAUUGACGAUAAAUUAAAAGGGUGUUUUAAUUUAUAAAUUUUGAUUAGAUCAAAAUAAUAUUUCACGUCAUUAGGUAUCGUGAUCGAGAACCUGAUGGGUCACACACAAAAGAGAAUUGAUUUGUCAAUUAAUUAGUUUAACAAUCGUUGGAUAAAUUAAUUAAUUGGAUUUGUUAUUUAUAUUCCCGAAUUAAUUAAUGGAUUAAUUAAUUCACGGACCGAGUUUAAUUAAAUGAAUUAAUUAAACAUUGAAUCGUAUCGGGCCGAGCCGGUUAGGUUUUAUAUAAAUAUAUGGUUAGGGUUUGAGGUCCAUAUAGUUUUCAUUAUUCUUGCUGGCACAAGAGAGAAAACCCUGGUAGCUGCAAUAUUAUUCUCUGUGUGGAUCACCGUUGGAGGCUGGACAAUUGGACAGCUGUGGAUGGCGAAUCAAGAUUGCUGGAACGAAAAUAAAAGCAAAAGGUUUGCAGAAUUUUUCAAAUGUACCAUCUUUAUCACGAUUUCUAUCUAAACACAAAGGGAUUCUCGGUGGGAAUCGAAAUAAUUUUAAUUUUUCAUUGUGCAUGUAUAAGUAGAUUCCCAACAGUGGUAUCAGAGUCUACUUUGUGUUUGUUAGAAAUUGCUUUGUAUGUUGGAACAAUUAAAUGUUAAUUGUUUUUCUUGUUUUGGCGAUUAAGGAAAUAAAUAAUUUUUCAUGUUUAAAAUCAGAUUUUGAAUAGAAGUUAUUUUUUGGGAUUGGAAUAAUUUAUGAAAUCUGUUUAUGGAAAAAAAUUUAAAAGAAAGGGCAGUCGCGGCGCAGCCGACGACGACGAGCUCGCCGUCGGGCGUAAGCAGCUGCGCACGCUGCUGCUGGUUAUUGCAGCAGCGCGCACUGCUACCAAAUGACAGGGAGGCCGCCGCUUUUAACAGCGGCGACUCCUCGCCACGUAUAUUGAGGGACAGCGGCGAGGGAUGAACUUUCUAGGGUUUUCAGAUAUCGCAUGGAGACGGGGGCUUGAUCUGAAAUUUGGGAAAUUGUUGGCUGCAAUUAUGAAAAUGGGUCACUCUUGCAAUUAGAAGUAAGGGGCUGUUUUUCAAUAGUUGAUAUUGAGGACCCUUACUUGCAAUUCCACUACCGUGUCAUUUAUGUAAAUAACAAAAAGGUGCCUUUUAUAAUUUAAAGAAAUUGGAGGGCCUGUUUAGAAUUUUAAAAUGGGUCAAUUUGCAAAUUUUAAAAUGAUUUUGAAUUUGAAUUUUAAAAUGGUUUUAAAAUUGUAUUUCAAAUGGGUUUUGACUUAUUUUGACUAAAGUUUUAAUUUUAACUCAAAUUAAAAUCUUAUUUAAAAAUUGACGACAAUUUAUAUUUUCGUUAAAAUUGGCUUUUGACUUAAACAUUAAACUUUGACCCAAUUGAAUUUUUAUUUUAUUUAGGAGUGUUAUCCUAUAUUAAAAUAUUAAUUCAAUUUAAAUUAAAGUUUGACUUUAAUUUAAUACUUAAUUAAAAUUUGAUUUUAAUUGGUUAUUCACCCGAAUUUAUUCUUGUAAUUAGAAUUGGAUUAUAAUUUCACAUUUAAUUAAAAUUUGAUUUUAAUUAAAUUGUCUCACCCUAAAUUUCUUCUUGAAAUUAGAGUUUGACUCUAAUUUGGUAUUUAAUUAAAAUUUUAAUUUUAAUUAAAUUAAUUCGCCCUUAAUUAUUGGAAUUAGAGUUAGACUCUAAUUUUUUACUUAAUUAAAUUUCACUGCCUUAAAUUGUGAAAUUAGAGUUUGACUCUAAUUUGAUUUCUAAUUAAAAUUUGAUUUUAAUUGGAUAAUCUCGCCAUAUAAUUGUUGAAUUAGAGUUGGACUCUAAUUUGAUAUUUAAUUGAAAUUAGAUUUUAAUUAAAUAUGUCCGCUAAUUAAAUAAUUGGUUAAUGUGAUUAAUUAAUUAUUUAAUUGUUCAGAUCUUUUUCUCUAAAAGAGUUUAGACGACUUAAUUGCUAGAAACUUGAAACUUAUUUUCAUAUAAUAUUAGAUAUUAUAUAGGUAUAUAUUUAUGUGAUGAAUGUAUUAUUAGUAGACGAUUAUGGACUCGACUAUAUGGAUGUGUUGAAUGGUUAAUUUUUAUUCUUGUCGUUUUCUGGGCCUGGGAGCUCUUAAUUGUUUUGGGCCUGUGAGCUCUUGAUCAUUUUGGACCUGCGAGUCCAUUGUUAUUAUUAUUAUUGUUGUGGGUUUGCAAGUCCAAUUUCAUUUAGGUUUGCGUGCCAACUAGUACAGGAUACAAAUUGCAAUUGGACUAAUUGAAAAAACAAGAAGACGAGGAGACCAUGGAGAUGGUACAUCGAUACUAUUCAAUACUAUACCCCCUAGGAAUUGACCAACUAAUCUUCCUUAUAACUCGGGAAGACUAGAUAGUAAAAGUCCAUUAUCGUCCAUACUAUUAUAUUAUGUUAUAUAUAUAUUUAUUUGCAUGGUGGAUGUAUAAUAAUAUAUGUAUGAUUGUAUUGUUGUUGAUGAGACUUUUGAAUGCAAAAUCCCUCCAUAAAAUAUUAAGUCACAUUUGUAAUCGCCUUCCAUCAUUAUAGUGAAAAACCAGAGCCCCAAAUCGUCUCAACUUGUUAAGUACACUCAAGGCUGAUCCAUUAGGGAUAUGUUUGACACUAUAAGUUAUUUGAUAUUUCUGAAUGACGGGUUUGACUUAACUAAAAAUUAUUAUUUGUUGAGUACACUCAAGGAGAUAAAUUUUAGGGGCAUGUUAAGCUAACACAUAAGAUGUGUGAAAACAAAGAAUUGUUAGCUUAAUGAUCUGGGAGUUGUAUGGAGAUACAAUUAAUAACAAUAUCUACCCAAAUGUUAUAUUAAGGCUUGUUGAGUACAUUCAAGGUCUUAAUAUAAUAGAUGGCAUCCCAGCCUACUGGAAGUCAAGUUUGGGCUCCAUAAAUUUAUGUAAGAGGGUCAUAAAUUUUAUUUAAACAGUGGGAGCAUAAUUAAUUUAAUAAAAGUCCAUGUAUAAAUUGAUGCAUUUUAUAUAUUAUUCUUUCCUUUUUCGUCAUUUAUAUUUAUUGAAUCGUGAGUAACCAUGUGUAUCUGAAUGGCAUACUAGAUGCCAACAACCAAACUAUAUUUUUUUAAUUGACACCGUAAUUUGAGAAUUAUUCUCAUGUAUGAGAAAAUUGGUCACGUCCUUGAGUAGCCCUUUCCAGAUACACCUGCUGAUAACUCAAUUAAAGAAGAGGUGGCUACUGUAGUAAACGCAGUGAUGACAAUAGUACUGCAACGUAUGUGAUACUUGCAACUAUGUCACUGAGUUACAAAAGCGACUUGAGAAUAUAGAUGUUAACACAUAAUUCUUCAUUACAAAGAGUUGUAUGAUGAUAAUCAUGUGUGGAAGGAUAUGAGACUUCCAAACAACUAUACCGGUGCAAAAUCGAUGCUUAGACACUAAAGAUGAUUGACGUUGAGAAAUGUCUCAACGGUGUUCAAUCAUAAACAAUUAACUAAGUUGUCACAUGGUUCUGCAAUCUUUGUCAGCUAAAACUAUUCACAACUAAUUAUUAAUUUAACGUGAAUAAGUUCGAAUGCAAAAUUAUUGAGUUGCUUAACAUGUUUAGGACUGUUAAGCCCUUUAUCAAAGUUGGUAGUGGGCAAAUCAUUGAUUUCUCUAAAGAUAUUAAGAGGAAGUCUAAAGGGGCUUUAUGAAAGCAUCCAAUAUGGUUAAGAUGGUCUAAGCGAAGGACAAUACCAAAUCUAAUGACCCUUGGUUUCAUUAUAGAAUAAAAGGUCAUUGGAAGGAAUAUUGUAUGGCUUACGUCUACUUCACGAGUUUUUUAGGUAUCUGAUAACAGAUGUAAAUCUCAUAUUUAUACAAAUAUGGAGAAACUAAAUAGAAAUAUACCACUGCGAAAGGGAGAAGUUAACCUACGUGAUAGAGAUGAGCAAAUGUUGCUGCGUUGUCUGUAGGAGCAUACUUCUUGCCGUUGCCUUUUGACUUAGUAAUGGAAUUAGAGAAAUGUUGCUUUGUACCCACCAUAGCUGGAACAUUAAAAUGAAUUUCAUGUUCAGACAUGAAGCAUUUUAAUAUUAAGGAUAAUUAAUUGUUGCUUCUGCAUAUCUUGAUUAAGAUCUUAAUAGUUGUGGUAAGUUACAAAAUAACAUUUAUAUUCUAAAUACUAAGGGUUCUAUAAUGAAUAUAGAAAUCAUAAGGCAUAAAUGCGAUAAUCUAAUUAUUACUGAAAUCUGGCAUGACAGACUUUGUCAUAUAGAUGAAAAGUAAUUCCAAAGUUACAUAGAGAUGUAUACUUGGGAUUAAUUGAUUUUGACAAGUACAAAUUAUGCAUGUCUGGCACAAUGACCAAAUCUUCUUUUACUUGAAAAAAAGAAAGGUCAGCAUAAUUACUGGUCUAAUGCAUAGUGAUGCAUAUGGACUCGUGUCAAUUAAUGUUAGGUAAUGUUUCUCUUAUUUCAUCAAUGAUCAUAUACUUGAUGAAAACUCAAACAUGAAACUUUUGAAAAGUUCAAGGGAUUCAAACUAAAAGUAGAGAAACAAAUAGGUAAAGAUACCCUCACAUUAAGAUUCGAUCAAGUGAGAAUAUUUUAAAGAUAAAAUCUAGAUUAUCUAAGAGAGAAUGAGAUUCUCUUGCAGUGAACUCUUCCACAUACACUGCAGCAUAAUGGUGUAUCUAAAAGGAGGAAUCGUUAACUAUUAGAUAUAAUGCGAUUAAUAUCAAGCCAUGCAAAUCUCCCAAAAUUGUUUUGAGAUCAUGCAUUGAUUGCAGUGUGCAACACACUAAACCAUGUCCCAUCUAAAUUGUUUAACAGAACUCCAUAUGAGUUAUGAAAAGGCAAUAGUCCCAAUUUAUCUUAUAUGAAAGUUUGGGGCCAUUACGCUUAUUUGAAGCGCCUUAAAUCGGAUAAAUUUGAGACUAAAUCUUAUAAAUACAUAUUUGUGGGAUAUUCAAAUGAGACAUUUGAAUAUAAAUUCUAUUAUUAUGAAGAAAGUCUUCCUCUCACGAUAUAUCGUCUUCUUAGAGAAAAUGUUUACCCUAGGGAAGGAUAGUGGGAGUAAAAUAGAACUUGAAAGAGUUCAAGAGUCCACAGAUAUAGUCAACCAAGUAGAUAAAUUCGAGUUUGAUCUCAUAUCUGAUAUGGGACAUACACUUGAUCAGGAAGUAAAGACUCCUGAGAACAUGUCAGCUCCAUGUGAAUCUAGUAGGAUCAUUCGACCUUCAAGAAGGUGCGAAUCCAUGAUUACUAAUCAGAUAUUACUGAUCGAGGAUAAUGAACCUGCUAGUUGCACCAAAAUAAAGUCAAGUGUUGACUUAAAAGAUGCAGUAAGAGGCCAUGAAACUCGAGAUGAACUCGACGUAUGUGAACAAGGUUGGACCUUGGUCAAGUCUCUUGAUGGAAUAAAAUCCAUAAGUUUUUGUAAAUAGUUUACAAGGAAAAGGUCGAUAUGGAUGGAAAUAUCCAUAUAUACAAAGCAAGGCUAGAAGUGAAGGUUAAGUGUUAGCCUUGGCGAAACCUUUAUCCUGUAGCCUUAUUGAAGUCCAUUCGAGUUUUGCUUGCAACAGUUGCAUAUCGUGAUUAUAGGUUAAGAAAAUUCUCUUGGAGCUGAAAUCUUCGAUUUGAUGGAAAAGUCAAAGUUUUUGAUUUUAUCAAAUUUGAAGAUGAAUUGUGUGUUUACAAGAAAAUAGUGGGAGCAUUGUCGUAUUGCUAACAUAUUAGAAAACGACAUCCCUAUGUUUCAAUCGUUAAAAUAAUGGUUGUUAAAUGACUUAUUCUUGAAUAAUAUGGGGAGAAGCAACUUGAUCUAUAGAGAUAGAUCUAGAAGGUUGCUUAACUCGUUCCAAUCUAUAUAAAAUAUUGAAAAGAUUUUAUAUGGAGAAAUUGGUUUACUCUUAAACCGUAUGUUGGAAAGGUUCCGAACGUGAAGCAACCGUUGAUUCAAUAGUAGAAACCUAAUACAUGAUUACUUCAGAAGUAGCAAGGAGUUGCAAUCUAGAUCAUGAUGUUCAUAAAUGAAUUUGGAGUAGUUCCUGAUAUUGUUGAUCACAUGCCAUUGUAUUGUGAUAACAAUAGAGACAUUGCGAAAGCAAAGGAACUAAGGUCUCAUCAAUGAUCAAAACAUGUAUUAAGGCGGUAUAAUCUCAUCAGAGAGAUAAUACAUAGAAAUGACGUAAAGUAAAGAAAAGAACAAAUUUUCACAUUUAACAAUAUUGCAGAUCCACUGACAAAGAGUUGUCGUAGCAUAAACACGAUCGUCAUGUAGACUUAUGAUAUUGGAUAAAUAAGUGAUUGGAUCUAGUGCAAGUGGUAGUUUGUAAGUAUUAUGCCCUAUGUCCAAUCAACUUUGGACAUAAAUACUUUGGAUAUAUAAUUAAUGCAAGUUAAUGACAGAUCUAUUAUUUAAUUAAUAGACAAUUAAAUAAAUAAUAGAGUUCGUAGAUUCAAAUUUCCGUAAUUUGUUAAUCACAAGGAGUUGUGAUUGUGAGAUACAAAUUAUGUCUGAUUGAAUCUUAAAUCGUCCGUGGUCGUAAGUAAUAACGAGAAACGGAUAUCGUUAUUACGGAUAGAUCAUCACGUGUAGCAUUUCUUACUUGUGAAGUAAGUAGCUGAUCUCACAAGCUAAAGUAUGAUGACACUUAAAUGAACACGUGAAUGUUUUGUUAUAGAACAAAAUAUUGGAGACUCGUCGAAAGAUUUCACAUGGAUAACUAUCUGAGUGUCAGUGGUUAAUCUCUAACGUUCGGUAGUGGAAUUGAUCCUUUAACUUGAGGUCGUCAUGAUACCUUAUAUGAGGACAGUCAUACUUUGGCAGUGUUGGAUGUUGCUCUAUAAAGGGCCCCUAAUACGACAUCGUUCGGGUACGUCAAGAAUCAUAUGAAGGUUGUGAUUGACCAAUAAAGGAUUCGUCACUAUUAGAUAGUAGGAGAUUAUGAUCUACGUUUCAUUCAAUUAAGUCGAUGAUGAAAUCAUUGGUCAAGGUGUACUCAUAAGUCGAAAAGGAGUUUUCGAUUUGUAUUGACUUAAUAGUGGAGUGAAAGAUAUGAUUGAUAAUCGAGAUUGACAUACUUCCAUAUCUCGUAAUUGAUCGGAUCAUAUUAACGAAGGGAUUAUAGUUUUACGGUAAACGAAUAAGUUUGAUUUUGUCAUACUACGUGACAUUUCCCGUCACAUGUAUUGCCCUGACACAUUGCUAGAUGUCAAUUUGGGAUGGCGAGUGUGAAUUGACGAUAAAUUAAAAGGGUGUUUUAAUUUAUCAAUUUUGAUUAGAUCAAAAUAAUAUUUCACGUCGUUAGGUACCGUGAUCGGGAACCUGAUAAGUCACACACAAAAGAGAAUUAAAAGAUUGCAAUUUGUUAAUUAAUUAGUUUAACAAUCGUUGGAUAAAUUAAUUAAUUGAAUUUGUUAUUUAUAUUUCCGAAUUAAUUAAUUGGAUUAAUUAAUUCACGGAUCGGGUUUAAUUAAAUGGAUUAAUUUAACAUUGGACCGGACCGGGCCGAGCCCGUUAGGGUUUAUAUAAAUACAUGGCUAGGGUCCGAGGUCCAUAUAGUUUUUAUUAUUCUUGCUGGCAUAAAAGAGAAAAUCCUGGUAGUUGCAAUCUUAUUUGCUGUGUGGAUCACCAUUAGAGGCUGGACAAUUGGACAGCUGUGGAUGGCGAGUCAAGAUUGCUGUAACGAAAAUAAAAGCAAAAGGUUUGCAUAAUUUUUCAAAGGUACAAUCUUUAUCACGAUUUUUCUAAACACAAAGGGAUCCUUGGUGGGAAUCGAAAUAAUUUUAAUUUUCAGCUGUGCAUAUAUAAGUAGAUUCCCAACAGCAGGCUCUUCAAUAUAUCCUACCCCAGUUCAAAUGAAAGACUUCCGCCCCGCAACAAGUGUUCAGUUCUUCACUUGCCACGCAGUUUAUGAGAUAAAUCGGAUUCAUUGGACUUGUUCCACCGGUUUUGCGCUGAUUAUCAACUAGAAUGGAAUGUGUCUGGUGAUUGUCUUAAUUGCCACAGAAAAGGAGGAAAAUGUACAACUAACAGAAAGAAUGAAUUUCGAUGCGAUAAAGGUACCAUCGGCCUUUCAACAUGAUCUUUUCAGUUUUCAUUAUGGAUGUAUAUUAUUGAAUAUUGAGAUAAAAAAAUUAUUAAAUUAAGAAACUUUUUAUAUGACAAUUUUUAUUUUGUCAAUCUGGCUCUUUCCCAAUAUAGUUAUUUGCCCUGUUUUUCUUUGUUUCAAAUUGAACUCAACCUUAUCCUUAAUUUGUUUGUAAUGUAUACACCAAAUUUGGUAAAAAAAAUUUCUCAUUUUGUGGAAAGUAAUUAUUCAAUAUUAUAACUAUUUGAAAGACUUAAUCAAAAAAUAAAAUAAAAUAAAAUAAAUAAAAAUCAGUUCAUAGGACACAACUAUUAUUUGGAUCAUGAUAAUUGAAUGUCCCUUUACAAAAUUCCAUCACCAUAUUAUGAUAAUUUCAAAAGAUGUUUGAUAUACAUCACAUUCUAUAGUGUGGACAUAAUUUAUAUAUGUUUUCAUAGUCAUCAACUUAUGGUUCACGAGCAAUAUCUUUAUUUGACCAAGUCUUGUGACGCCAAAAUAAUUUGCAAUAUCUUUUUGUUUAUGAAUGUACGUACAUAUAAAAUGUUGACAAGAUCCAUUAUUUUUCAAUCUAUAAGUCAUAGAUAUAUUUUUGUAAUGUACAAUUAGUAAAAAUACAAAACACUUUUUAAAUAAAUAAAUUUUGGUUAUUGAUAAAUUAAUGUUAUUCAUUAUAUAAAAAAUAAACUAUUCAAAUAAUAUUUUUCUUAGUACCCAGAGUAUUACUUUAUAGGGCUUUAGUAUAGUGUGUCGCACUACAAUCACUAUAGAGGUUAUCCUUUUCUGUAAGUUUGUCUUUUAGCAUUGUAAUCUAUAGAGGUCAAGUGAUCUCAAAUUUAAUUAGAAUUUAAAUCAUUUACAGAGAACAAAAUUUGUUGAAUUAAUAGUCGUGGUUUUCUUUUGAUACAAGUAUAAGAGGAAAUUUAGCAGAAAAUCAUGACUCCGACUGUGAGAAAAUCAGAAUCUAAAUCAUUUAGAAGUUGCUUAAUCUAACAUGUGUUUUGACUUCAGCUGCAGGAAGGAUUAAAUUGAAACUGGUUUUACUUGCAGGUAACUCUUCCAAAUUUCAGUACCAUUUCUUUUGUUUUUUAAUUUAUAAACAUUGUUGUCUUUUUUCAUCGCAGGUGUUUCAGCUGCAGCGGGAGUCCUCAUCUCCACAAUCUUGUUCACUUUCAGGAGGAGGAAGUACUUGCUGAAUUUGAAGGGAAAAACUCAAAACCAUAAGGACAUUGAACUCUUCCUGAAGAACAAUGAGAAGCUUACACCAAGAAGAUACAACUAUUCUGUUCUUAAGAAAAUGACUAACUCAUUCAGUGACAACUUAGGGAAAGGCGGCUUUGCUAGUGUGUAUAGAGGAAAGUUACCUGAUGGCCAUCUUGUAGCAGUAAAGAUUUUAAAAGAAUCGAAAGGCAAUGGAGAAGAAUUUAUCAAUGAGGUAGCAAGUAUCGGUAAAACUUCCCACGUUAACGUUGUCGCUCUCCUGGGAUUUUAUUUUGAGGCUUCCAAAAGAGCUCUCAUUUACGAGUUCAUGCCCAAUGGAUCUCUUGAGAAGUUCAUGUGCAACAACACCUCCAUAUCAAGAUGUCAAUUAGGAUGGGAAAAAUUGUUUCAAAUUGCUGUUGCUAAUGCUAAGGGAAUAGAAUACUUGCACCAAGGAUUUAAUACACGGAUUUUGCACUUCGACAUAAAGCCUCAUAACAUUCUUCUGGAUGAAGAAUUGAACCCUAAGAUAUCGGAUUUCGGCUUGGCUAAACUUUGCCCCAAUAGGUCUAGUAGAGUUUCGAUGUUAGGGGCUAGAGGAACAAUAGGAUAUAUUGCUCCAGAAAUAGCUUAUAGAAACGUUGGCGACAUUUCUUACAAGUUGGAUGUCUAUAGCUAUGGUAUGAUGCUUUUGGAAAUGGUUGGAGAGACGAAAAAUACUGACGUCAGAGUUGAUCAUUCAAGUGAAAAAUAUUUUCCUGAUUGGAUCUAUGAGCACCUCGAACAGAACUUUGAGCUUGAUUUUAACCGAGUUGAAAACGAAGAUGAAGUUUCGAAAAGGAAAAUGGUAAUAGUUGGCCUGUGGUGCAUACAAACUGAUCCUAAAACUAGACCAUCAAUGAGCAAGGUUAUAAAAAUGUUAGAAGGGAGUAUGGAAUCUCUUCAAAUCCCACCAAAACCCUACUUUUUACAGCCAAGAGCAGCAGAAAACUUUUCAACUAGUGAGUCGCUAGUCACUCUCUCCUAGGUUCAUGAAGUUUAGCUUCUUGGAAUCCCACGGUGUUUGGUGGCUCCUAUUUACUGCACAAUAUAGGCAGUUAUCUAUGUUGUUUUGCUAUUGUAAUUUUUAAGUUGUUAACACAUCUCCUGUCUCAAUGUUUAUUAAAUUUCUUCUUGGAGAUCAAGCUUGGCAAUUCAUGAGCAUAAUGUUUAUUUCUAUGUCAUAUUGAGCUUGAUUGCAGAUAUCAUUCCAAUUCCCAGGUACUCCAUGACUUCCACCCAUGGAAGAUCUUGUAGGUUUCUGGCUUUGAGAAUGAGGCUGCGCAUAGUAGCCAUCAUGGGUGCAACAUCUGAUACUCUGUCCACUCGUGAAAGAGUCGAAACUUUUCUCUAAAAAUUCAGCUUUUAGAAUUUUCUCCACGUUUUAUGUAAAAACUAAAAUGAUUAUACUUUUGAACAGGUGAAAAGUACAUUUCUCGUGCAGCCAAAAUCUGAUAACUUUUCCCUUUUAUAUCAGUUAUAAGUCUCCACUUUAAUGUAACAAAAUAUAGAACUUCCUCCUCCAAGAAGUUUCUUUUUGCCCUGUUCUUCAUUUUAUUGCUGAUUUUGAUUUGUUUCUGGUGGUCUUAGUACAGAUUUUUCUGUGUUCUUUCAUAGAAAAGUUAUCGACUUGACAGUCUGGCAAGAGGUACAAGUAAUCCUUCAGAAUGACAGGAAUAAUGUAGGAAUCAUGCACCGCCAGUUGCAGCUUGGGUGUUUUUCGAGCUUUCCAAGUUCUAACCCUUGAACUGAAUAAGGGAGAACCUGUCCGCCUUACACAAAUGUGCAAAUGUCCAAUUGACAUUUGCCUCAACUUCAUGUGUCACAUUUUAGCCAUCGUUUCAAGGGUUGUGAUGGGGAAGGCCCCAUUUUUAAUAGCAUUUAUGUCUGCAUGUAAUUCCAUUUAGGAUUGAUUAUGUCAAGAUAGUCCAAAGGAUCUCUUUUAAGAUCAUGCCCCGUUCGAGUCUCUUUCUCUAAAAAUUUAUUAUUUUUUUAAACUCAUUUUCAAUCACAUAUUCUUCCAAUAAAAUAAUUCAAAACAUUUUCCUACUUUUUCAUCACACAUUCUAAAGAAAAACACUAUUAUAAAAUUCAUUUUUUCCAAAAUGCACAAACUAACAUCCUCAAAUCUAGAUACCCAAAUUGAGAAGUAUUAUUAUUUAAUUCUCUUAAGAUCAUAAAUGCGAAAAACGAUUAGAUAUUUCUUUAACAUAAUAAAUAUCAAUGACUUUGAAGAUAUUUUGUACACCGUUUGGUACUAAUUUAAAUCAUAUUUAUCUAAAUCAAAGUCAAACAAUCAAUUUUAACCACAUAUUUCAUGGGUCCCACAACUUUUCAACCAUAAAUUUCAAAAAAGUUUAUCAAAAUCUACUAAAAUCUAAUUUUAAUACCUACCAAAUAGGGGCCUAAUAAAAAUAUAAGACAAUUAAAUUAAAUAUUAACUUUAUUUUCAAAAUGAAUUCAAUAUUUAAAUGUGAUAGUACUAAGUUCGUUGCACCACAAGUACUCGUCUCGGAUCAUUUUCUUGCCUUCAUUAUCUGAAAAAUGGGAAGAGAUAACACGGAAUGAGCUAACACUCAAUAAACAAAUCUUGUACAUAUGAUGCAUGUUUAUGAUAUGCAUAUGCUUAAUUUUAAAAUAAAUAACUUUUUUUUCAACAUGUGCCCCCUUUCUUUAAUUUUAUUUUUUCAUUUUUUAAUAAUGAUAAUGUGAGCUUACUUUAGUGUAUCGGUUAACCCAUCAGAAUACAAUGGACAAUUAUUAUUUGGAACUCGAUUCAUUCUACCGACAGUAUUGCAAAGUGGUUAACAUUAACAUUAAACAUUUAACAUUGGUUAGAUGCAUCAAUCCCCUACGUCCUAUUUUCCACUCACACCUUUAAUGAAAUAGACGUACACUUCUUAGCAAAAACAUCCGGGAUACAUAUUUUUUUAUAAUAUUUAUUGACUCAUUGAUAUUUGAAAACUUUUUAUUUCUUAAAACUUUAAGUGUGCUUAUAGAUGCAUUGACAUACAUGAAUAUGUCAUGAGAAGCACUAAUGACAUAAAACAUAAUAAUCAAAUAUCAUAUUCACAUAAUAGGAACUUUAGGUAACACAUUUGUACAUUUAACAAUGUAACAUAUGCAUGAAGACAAAGGAAGGUUUACUUACUUGAAAUUGAUUGAAAUUUAAAUUUGAAUGGCAAGUAAGGAUGCUCCCGCUUACGAAGUUAAUGUAUCAAAAAUACUAGCUCAUUAUCAUCUAUUUGUAAACUUCAACAAUAUGAUUAGACAUCACUCCAGUCUAGACCAUUGUUCUAAUAAUUUAAAUUUACUUGUUAUUGUUUUCAUUAAAUUCCAAGUCUUAAAGAAAACUGUAGAGAAUUAUAAGAACUAAAAGGGAACCUACUAUUGAAACAAAACAGUUUUGUCCCAUAUGGGUCAUGUUUGGUUAAAUUUCUAACGAUGAAAUAGUUUCUUUCUCUACUUAAAUUAAUGCUUUUAUAACACUAGAAUAGAGAGACAAGAAGAAAAGUGAAAACUGUUACUGAUCAUAUAUAGCGGUCCAAUGAGGUCCACAUGGAAGCCCCAUAUUCAUACGCAUGGCAUUGGGUCGAGUAAAAGAAGAGUUAUGGACGAGAUCAAUAGGCGAGGUUGUUGCAUUGAAUGUUGAGCUCAUUUUACUAGAAUUCUCCAAAGUGGUUCUAGCCUUUGAUCGCGCGAAGUGGGAUUACUUAUUUCUGCCGAACCCCAUAGCUUCUGAAGUCCUUGACACUCGGAAAAGGGUUUGAUAAGCGUAUCUUAGGGAUUGAUUGAUGUGACGUUCUCAUUAAAUAAGUGUCAAGAAUGUUAGCCUAGGGAUAUAGAGUGGUUGGCCCCUUGUUCUGUUAAUGUAAUUAAUGUGAGGUAGAGUUAAUGUGAUGUCAGGGUCUAAUAGAUUAAUGUGAUGCCAGGGUCUAAUAGAUCAGGCCACGUGGAUCGGAUCUAACGAUAACCACAUCGGCCUGAUCACUAUAAAUAGCUAAUUCUUGUAUCAUUUUGAACAUAAAAAGAAAACAUUAUAUAUUUCUCCAUAUAAAAAGAAAACAUUAUAUAUUUCUCCAUAUAAAAUUAUCCAUUGCUUCCACCUUCUUCUUCCACAAAUAUACACAUUUACAAUCAACAUUACAAAAUAAGUCCACGUGUAUAUUGUCUUUGAACGACAUUUUUUGAUCAUUUUUGGAGGUCAACAAAGACUAUAAGUUGAAGGACUUCAUUCAAUUUAGACUAUGUAGAUAGAAAAAAGGAAAAAAAAGUGAUGGCAAUAGACAAUAUAUACGUGCAAAAUCGAUUAUGUUAGCAACAUUCAAUACAAAGCCAAAAUAUGAAAUAUGCAGGGCUUAGAAAAUAAAAUAAACUGUAGAUCAUAUAUUAUUCUAGAAACUAAAAUAGUUACCAAAAAUAAAACGAAGAAACUAGGUUCUUAAUCUCAAAAGCCAAAUUAAAACUUAGCUAGUGCACAUCUAUUUUUUUUUUUUUUUCAAACUCUAAAAAUACUGUCCGGUUCAACCCAUUUUUCACACUAGUUAUCUACAAUCUAUAUCCUACAUUUUAUAGUUUAAAUUACUCAUUCUCAAUUCAAUUCCUUAUUUCGUUAUUCAAUUAUCAAUCUAUUCAAUUCAUCUAUUAUAUUUCUCAUUCCUUAUAUUUUCUCACUUUAUCUCAAUUUUAUAAUUCAUCUAUUGUAUUAUAUACUUUUAUUUCAUAUUUAUACAUUUCAAUUUCAUUUUACACAAAUGGAACCCAAUAUUUAUGUUGAGUGUUUGUUUAGUGAUAACUCACCAUUGACACCACAAUUUCAAUUCCAUAAUGAUUUAGACAUCAGCGAUGUACAUGAGGAAUAGACAUCCAAUUGAUAUAGAUGGUAUUGAUGAAAAAGCGGAACUCGAAAUAAUUGAUGCAAGAGGGAAUCGAAAAUUUAAACAAACUGAAAAGUAUUGGGAACACUUCAAUUUGGUUUCAACGGGUCAUACAGUCUGCGGAGUCCAAGAAUCUAAAGCAACUUGUAAAUAUUGUCAAAUAUAAUUGACAUAGCAAAAGGGAAUCGAAACUACUCACCUUAACCGUUACUACAAGAAAUGUUCAACCAAACAUGGACUUAUUGGCCAUACACAAACACAACUUCAAUUUGGUACUCCCUUGAUAAUUGUAUUUUAUACACUUAUUCGGUACCUUAAAUAGAAAUAUUUGAUGGUUCUUUUGACAAAUUAUAUCCUUUGUAUUUUAUGUUUAAUAGGUAAAAUUUUAUGAAGGAAAGAAGCAAAAGCAUGCAAAAUUGGAGAAAAGAAUUAAAUCGCAUGAAAUCCAAAGUUCGGGGGCUAAAGUGCAAAUAUUCAAAAGUUGUGUUGAAGCUCAAGAUGAAGAUCCGAGAGUGUUAAGAGUUAAUUGGAUGAAGAAAGAUAUCAAAGGGGUCAAAUUUAAGCAAAAUAUGAUCACAAAUCAAUUUCCAACCGAAAAGCUAUGCUCUAGAAUUUUAGGCUCACAUUAAGACCCAUUUUUGACAUGGAAAGCGAUUCAAUCGAGAAUGAUGUCUCAAGCAAAAUUGUAGCACUUUGAGUUAUCUUUCCAAAACAUCUUGAAUCACCUCAAUUAAAUAACAAGAGAGAAAGUUAUGCUAAAAAUACUGAAAGAAGUACGUGUUAUCUAUUCGAAAAGUGGCACUGGAGAUUCAGAGAGGUGGCGCCAUUUUUGGUGUGAAGCUGUGAUGCUGCAUUUCAAGCGUCACGACACCGCAUCCCAGAUGCGUUAGGGCACAAUUUUGGCCCCUUUUUGAGUCCAUAUGAAAACCCUAUUCUUCCAACACGGCAAGGGACCUAUAAAUAUUAAAUUCCUCACACUUUAAGGGGGUUCUACAGAUUCUAGAGGCAAAAACACUUCUUAAGAGAAAUGGGGAGAGAUUCAAAGGGAGAAGACAACUCCAAAUUCAUCGUGUGAAGCAUAAAUUGGAAGGAGAAAUUCUUGGUACAAGAUCCACUUUUUCUUCUACAUACUCUUAUUAAAAAUUCGGUGAUGUACUCUAAGAUAAUUUGUUGUUGCUCUUCUUUUAUUAUGCAUAGCUAAAUCCAUUGUUAGGGCGAAUAAUGUAACCAAUUUCAGAUCCUUUAUAUUUUCUUAUUAAGAUUCUUGGAUUUUAAUUUUUCCAUGUGUUGAUUCUUGCUAUGGACUGAUUGCAUUAAAUUAUCUGAUUGAUAAUUUGAUAAAUUUUGUGAAUCCUUUACAAAUAGAGAUAUGAGUUUAGGAUUUAGACCAUGUACUAAAAUCUAGUAAUUGGUAUAAUGAGUAGAGAUACCUAUGACAUUUAUUGCGGUCAUUAUUAAAAUCCUAGGAUGAAGAAAUCGUUUAACUAAGUUAAAUUUGCAUAGAGAUAUGAAAUUUAAUUAGUUGAAUAUGCUCAAUGAGAACUUGAAGGGGUAAAUUGAAUACAAUAGGAGAAUUCGAUCAAACACUACAUUAGAAUUGAGUCUUAAUUUGAGAUGUAAAGGUAAUCAAUAUGUGAAAUUAUUCUGUCCUAACGUCCUCUAAUUAUUUGAUCUUACAAAUAAGUGUGUGAGAAUUUAUUUAUUGUUUAGAAUUAAGAUUUAAACUCAAAUCACUAUAACUUUUAAUUUAUUUUCAUCAAAUAGUAGUUAAAAGAAAACUGAAUUAAAUACUAGAAAAUAGUCAUUGUGGGAUCGACAAUCCGAACUCUUAGGUCCACUAUUACUCGUUACGAUUCAUACACUUGCGAAACUAAAAUAUACAACAAGUUUUUGGCGCCGUUGCCGGGGACUAUUACUUUUAGUCUUAAUUUAUUUUUAUUUUUAAUUGUUAUUUGAUUUUUUUUUCUUUUAUUUACAGAAAAUUGUGUUCAUUGUAUGUUCCGUGCUCAAGGCGACGAUCUUGAACCAUUUGAUUAAGAGAUAGAACGUACAUUCAGACGAAGAUGCAAAGAACACAAACAAAAACAGCAUCAUCAAGUGACUGACAAUCAACAAAUCCCUAUCCCUAUUCAGCUGAUUAGACAAAUGGCCGCAAGAGUGGUGGCACCACCGGAACAGCAGCAUGAGCGAGGGGAAGUAAAUGAAGUUGAUUUGCCAGUAUCAAUGUUCCUGACACCUAUAGCAGCACCCAUGCGCUCCAAUAUCAUGUAUCCAGAUUUUCGGGUGAAUAACUUUCAGAUCAGGCCAAAUUGGAUUAACUUGAUGAGCAACACUCUCCAAUUCUACGAGUUACCUCAUGAAAAUUCGAACACUCAUAUCUCCAGAUUUCUCGGGAACUAUCAGAACUUUCAUGCUCUGGGAGUCAAUGAAGAUGCUAUUAAACUACGAUUAUUUUCAUUUACAUUGAGAGAUGCUGCAUUGGAAUGGUUAGAUGUUGAGCCUCAUGGGAGCAUUACUACAUGGGAAAAAUUGACCAGAAAAUUUUGCAACAAAUUCUUCCCAUCGGCCACAGUAGCUAAAAUCAAAUUGGAAACUCAAACUUUUCAACAGAAAGAUGGAGAAAGCUAUCACGAGGCACGGAAUAGAUUUAAUGAGCUAAUGAGAAAAAAGUCCAAACCAUGGAAUCACUCUAGGAAACCAAGUGCGGUACUUCUACACCGGACUUACACCUCUGUCAAAAUCUCAAGUUGAUGCCUCUGCUGGUGGAUCAAUCAUAGGGAAAUUAGUAUAACAAACCAUGGACCUAUUUGAGUAAAUUGCCACCACACAUUUAAUGUUCUCAUCAGAAAGAGUGGUACCACCAAAGGCAACAGGAAUGCAUGACAGCACAACAUCUGCUAAUGCACAGAUAGUAGCUUUAACAAAACAGGUAGAGAUACUUGUAAAAUUGCAAACAUAUGGAGUAAAUGUAAUGAUGGCCAUUUCAACAUGUGAGAAUUGUGGGAGAAAUCACUCUACAGAGAGCUGCAUGAUGCUCACUUCUUCAGAGGAACAAGUAAAAUUAAUUCAAAAUAACUCCCAUAAGUUCAACUCAUAUGGGAAUAAUUUCCAACAAGAAAGAAGACUAAGUUUGGGAAAGAUGUUUCAACAAUAUGUGCAGAAGGCAGACAAGAUGUUCCAGCAAAUUGACACGAACUUUCAAAAUUAGCAGGCAUCCAUCAAGAAACUGGAGACACAAAUUGGUCAGAUAGCGCAACAACUUGUAGAUCGUCCACAAGGGACUUUGCCAGGCAAUACAAUGAUAAAUCCCAAGGAACAGAUGAUGGCAAUUAAAAUAGUGGAGAACGAACUACCCAGGGCCCCCGUGAAAGUUUGAAGCGUAUGUACAUCCACUCUCGUUUCCCCAAAGACUUCGAAAGAAGUCGAUGGAGCAAAAUAUUCAUGUUAUAAAUACAAAGAGCGAGGUACAAUCGCCAGAGAUCACUACUGAGAGACCCAAAAGAAAAGAUGACCAGGAAGUGAUUGAUGAAGCUACAAGGGUAGAAAAAUUUGCACCAAACGCAACUGAAAAUGGAGAAAAUACAGAAACAUCAGCUGCCAAAACACCAAGUCUAGACAAAGCUUAUAUAUCUCCCAAUCCCUUUCCUCAAAAGCUCAAGAAAAACAAACAAGACACAUUAUGAAAAAUUCCUCGAUGUUCUCAAAAAGCUCCAGAUCAAUGUUCCGUUCAUUGAUGCGAUACUACAAAUUCCAAGCUACACAAAAUUUUUGAAAGAGAUGUUGACAAAGAAAAGAAAGCUUCCGGAGUUUAAAACUAUGGCAUUAACUGAGGAAAGUAGUGCAAGAGUCCAGAGAAAAUUGCCUCCUAAAUUGAAAGAUCCAGGGAGUUUUACUUUACCAAUUUCAAUUAGAAAUUCCUGUUCAAUUAAUACAUUGUGUGACACUAGUGCUAGUAUCAAUCUAAUGUCAUAUUUUGCUUACUUAGAAAUUGGGACUGGGUGAAGUCAACUCACCAUCAAUAAUGCUACAGCUAGUUGAUAGAACAAUCGUAAAACCACGUGGCAAAGUUGAGGAUGUACUCGUAAAAGUAGGAAAUUUAAUAUUUCCUGUGGAUUUCAUUGUAUUGGACAUCCCAAAAAAUCGAGACAUUCCAAUUAUAUUGGGUCGGCUGUUCAGGAAAUUAUUUCUUUCGAUUUAAAACUACCGCAGGUGUACGGCUUAUUAACAAGUAAUAAAGUGGAUUAAAUGAGUUCGAAUAUCGUUCCACAGAGAUUGAUUAGUUCAAUUUUACCUAUCGUCACCUUAAUCGAAACUAAAUUACUAAAGUGGAUGUUAACCUAAUUAAAACCCUAAUUUUGGAAAGAAAAUCCUAAUUAUGCAAUUUUCAUUAAGUAUGCAAAACAAUAUUUUUAAUACUCUAGAAUGAAAUCAAAUGUUGAGAACGCAUGUUUGCUGUAAUCAAUAGGAAUUAAACACACUAGGAUCACUAUUUCUCGUGCAAUUAUCACUUUAAAACCUUAGUUUCACAAUAUGACAACACACUUCAAUUGUGACGAAUCAAUGUUCCUAAAUCUAUCAAAUACUCUCUCUCGAGAUGUAUCAAACCUAUUUCUACAUACCACCGGCCUAUAUUUCUAUGACAAGUGCAUAUGUAAACAUACAUGCGAUUUUAUGAAUACUUAAAGAUUCACGUAGGGCAUAGAGGUAUAUUUCUAUCCCCUAUCGGACCCUACGAUGAUUUAUAUUAUGUCAAACUUAUUUCAAUUCUCUAGAAUGUAAGAAUACAUCACCCAAACUCACACAAUUACGGGUCCUUAAUUGCGAAAACAAUAAUUGCAUAUAAAUCAUUCAAAUCAAUAGAAAUAUGUCUUAAUGUCAAAUUGUAAAACUAGAAAAUUAAAGAUCAAAUUACAUGGUAUAUCGAUCUCCUAACACAUAAAAAUCUAGCCUAACAUGGUUAAAAUAAAAUAAUACAUCAGAUUUUGGAUAAAAGGCAUUAUCAGACUAUGAAAUCUUGAGAAAUCUUGAAACUCUUCCUGUAAAUCUUCGUUCUUGUGCUCAAAAUCCUCUCCAAGAAGUGUUUUUCUGCUUCCAAUACCGUUCUCCCUCUUUUUGGAGGUUUUUUGGUAUUUAUAUCGCGUGAAAAUUAGGUUAUCAAAAGAGUUUCAGUCGUAUAAGGAAACUACAGAAUCGGCCCCGAAUCUUGUUCUAUGCGAUUGCAUAGAGUAAAAAAAAUUGAGAAAAAAUUCUCGGGAGGCCUCUAUGCGACCGCAUAGAAGUUUAUACUAUGCGACCGCAUAGUUAUGCGAUUCUUUCCGCCGAAUAGCUUUUAGUAUUUUGGUCAUGAUUUUUUCUCUUGAUUUCCGAUUGAAGUGAUUCAAAGCUCAUUGGGAAGAAAACUCAAAUAUAUACACUUUUGAUAGAAAUAGACUUCCUCAAAAUCUGAUGUUUACUAUGUCAAAAAUGGAUCUCAAGUAGAAACUAAAAAUCACAAGAAUAGUUUUUUCGCCUGAAAGUUGAUACUUAAUAAUACUUCGAUCAUAUUUCACCUCUUUGACUUCGUUCCUCAUCCAAUUGACCUCUAACACUCUUGAGCCUUAAUUCCGUUUCCUGUCUCAUCUAUAGAUUAUUUGCAACUUGGUCCCCGAACAUUCAGUUUGAUUCAUUUUGGUCCUUUUUGCUUGUUUCUUUUAUUUCCAUCAUCUCAUAAUAUCACCAAAUUGGUACUUAGCUCAUUCACUUCCUUGAUUUGUCCCUCAAACUUUGGAUAAUUGCACUUUGGUCCCUAAGCUAUCACUUUGCUCCAUUUUAGUCCUUUUUCGGCUCUUUUAUCCUGAAUUCCAUCAUUUCCAUAGAAACACCUACAUUGCAUGAAUUCAAUGAGAUUAAGUCACAAUUUAAAUAUUUUUUCUGUAAUUAAAUCAUGUUUGUGAUCUAAAUAAGUGUGCAAAAACACACUUAUCAUAGGCCAUUCUUAGCAACAGGACGAAUCCUUAUUGAUAUGGAAAAUGGAGAACUAAUCUUGAGGGUGGAGGACAAGCAGGAGAUAUUCAAUAUUUACACCCAACAUGAGAAACCUCCCAAUAAAAAUGAUUGCUAUAGAAUUGAUGAAGAAGAGCCACCUGAUCAACGAAGCUGUCAGAACAAAAAACCAAAUCUUGGGGAAUUUCUUGGUAGAGAUGAGAAUGGACAAAUCAAAAUCUGGAGAGCAAAAAAGGGUUGCAUGAAUAAAAAUUGCACAGAGUGCAAUAAUGGAAUAACUUGGUUUAAGCCACCAUGAUAAAUCAGCGGCACAAGUCAAGCUAAUGACUUAAAAGAAGCGCUUCUUGGGAGGCAACCCAAGCUUUUAUUUUAUUUAAUUUAUUUUGUUUUCAAAGUUAUAGGAUAGUUUAAUUUAUGGUUUAUUCAGGAAUCAUUACCCAUACCCUUUUUACCCAUAGGUCUUCGAGUAAUUAAGUGGUUAUUAGAUGUUUGAGCUAAGUAACUCUUGUUCCAUGAGUUUAAAUUUUUCAAAUUUUAUUUUUCAGGAACAUGACGUCGCGGAACACUCAAACCAACAUGGACAUGGAAAAAAUGGAACAAAUCUCAAGUUUGAGGGAGAAUGUGGAAGAAGAAUCGAUCAAAUGCAACACCAAGGCACUACAACAUCAUAGGCAAUACAGACAUUUCAGGGAAGCCUCCUCAUUUUCCUUUAACUUUCACAUUGAAGACAAUGUUUAGUUUAAAUUUGGGGGAGUGUAUUUUUAUUAAUUACCUUAUUGCCUACCUAAAAUUUUUGUGUGAGUUGGAUAGUUUGGCUUAUAAUUACGUUUUACUUUGAGAUUUGGUGUUGAUUUAUGAACUGUGGAUAGGAUACAUGCUAGAUUAAUUGAUGCUCAACCUUGUAAAACUUGAAAUAAUACAUGCAAUAGAAUUGAGUCUAACACUAUGAUGAAACGAGUUGAUUGAUUUGUUACAUAGGUUGAUUUAAAUAGACAUAGAUGCUUUACCUAAAUCAUAAUAAAUUAUAUAUCCUUAGACCAAAUUUAGAACAGUUUGGGGGCAUUUUACAGUUGUAGAAAGAUGCGGAUGUGAAUGUAGAUUCCAUAUGUGAAAAUUUAUGUGUGGAUUAUCUUAGACUAACAUAAUGAAACGAGGCGAAAGUCUUAAGUUGGAGGUUAGUUUGUUUGAAUAAGUGUGUAAAAUGGGCAUUGUACUAAUCAAGGCAUAUACAUUUGAAAUUUAAAAACUUUUCUUUGAAGUCUUCAUGACUCGAGUAAUUAAGCUUGCAAGAGUAUCUUAAAAUCUGAUGCCCUAAAGUCGUCUAACUUAGGAGUCAUCGGUGUAAAACUCACUACAUGGGUCAUUUACAAGGCAAUAAAAGAUGAAAUUGUAAUUGAAAUGAAAAUUGGUUCUCUUCGAAACCUUUUUGACUCGGGUCAGUAAACCUAUAAGGGUGUUUAAAAUCUGGUGCCCUAAAAUCAUUUGAUUUGGGAGUCAUCGGCCUAAAGCCUACUACAGGGGUCAUCUAGAAAGAUUAAUGAAGAGAAUACAAAUAAAUAAAUAAAUAAAUAAAUGUAAAAAUCAGAAAAAACAAGUGCAUAAAAAGAGUAAAAGCACUAAAUACAUUGGUUAAGCCCAAUACUUGUUUGAGAGAAUUUGACUUUCGAUGAAGGAUAAUUAGCUAGUUGAGUUGUGAUGGUCAAAGCAAUCAAAUAAUUAGAGAAUCCCUAUUCAUUGAAGUGUUGACUUGCAACUAGUAACGUCCACUUAAACUCUAGAAGGUAAGGAUAAUAAUGAAAUAUUAGACAUUGGAAAGGAGUGAAAAAGAACAAGUUUGGGGGUGUGUGAAUCUUACGAGUGAUGAAAGGACAUAUAUGACCAUGAAGGAUCAGGAAUUGGAACAACUUGUUAAUUCAUUAAUGUCUACUUAAUUCUUUAUGCACACACGUCGAUUUUGCAUUGGAAGAGUGAAUAUUAGUUUGGUAUUGUAACUUUGAAGCAUGUUCGUGGAAUUAACACUUAAAUCUUGAAUCCUGAGGUGAAAAGCUAGAUUGUCCAAUCAAAUAUUUUUGCAUGAUUGUGUGUUUACUACUAUUUAGUUUAUAGUUUUGUUUGAGGACAAACAAAUGUUUAAGUUUGGGGGGGUAUUUGAUAAGUAUAUUCUAUACACUAAUUUGGUACCUUAAAUAGCAAUAUUCGAUGGUUCUUUCGACAAAUUAUAUCCUAAAUAUUUGUAUUUUAUGUUUAAUAGGUAAAAUUUUAUGAAGGAAAAGGACUUGAAGGAAAGAAGCAAAAUUGGAUAAAAGAGCUAAAUCGUAUGAAAUCCAAAGUUAGAGGACUAAAGUGUAAAUAUUCAAAAGCUGUAUCAAACCUCAUGAUGAAGAUCUGAGAGUUUUAGGAGUUAAAUGGAUGAAGAAAGAUGUCAAAGGGAUCAAAUUUAAGCAAAAUAUGAUCACAAACCAAUUUCCAACCGAAAAGCUAUGCUCUGAAAUUUUAGCCUCAGAUUAAGACCCAUUUUUGACAUUGAAAAUGAUCAAAUCGGAGAAUGAUGUCUGAGAAAAGUUGUAUUCCUUUGCGUUUUCUUUCCAACGCAUCUUGGAUCGCCUCAAUUGAAUAUCGGGAGAGAAAGUUAUGCUAAAAAUACUGAAAGAGGUGCGUGCAGUCUAUUCGAAAAGUGGCUCCACAACGCCACUUUAGGGCGCUGUGACGCUGUAUUCCAGGCGUCGCGGCACCACAUCCCAGAUGCGUUAGGGAGCUAUUUCAGCCCGUUUUUGAGUCCAUAUGAAAACCCUAUUCUUCCAACAUGGCAAGGGACCUAUAAAUACGAAAUUUCUCACUUUAAGGGGGUUCUACAGAUUCUAAAGACAAAAACACUUCUUAAGAGAAAGGAGGAGAGAUUCAAAGGAAGAAGACAACGCCAACUUCAUCGUGUGGAGCAUAAAUUGGAAGAAGGAUGAAUUCUUGGUGCAAGAUCCACUUUUUCUUCUACAUACUCUUAUUAUAAAUCCGGUGAUGUACUUUAAGAAAAUUUGUUGUUGUUCUUCUUUUAUUAUGCGUAGAUAAAUCCAUUAUUAGGGCGAAUAAUGUAACCAAUUUGAGAUCCUUUAUAUUUUCUUAUUAAGAUUCUUGGAUUUUAAUUUUUCCAUGUGUUAAUUCUUGCUAUGGAUUGAUUGCAUUAAAUUAUUUGAUCGAUAAUUUGAUAAAUUUUGUGAAUCCUUUACGAAUGGAGAUUUGAGUUUAAGAUUUAGACCAUGUAGUAAAAUUCAGUACAUUUUUAUAACAAGUAGAGAUACAUAUGCCAUUUAUUGCGGUCAUUAUUGAAUUCCUAGGACAAGAAAUCGUUUAACUAAGUUAAAUUUACAUAGAGAUAUGGAAUUUAAUUAGUUGAAUAGGCUCAAUGAGAACUCAAGAGGGAUAAAUUGAAUACAAUAACAGAAUUCGACCGAACACUACAUUAGAACUGAGUCUUAAUUUGAAAUGUAAAGGUGAUCAAUAGGUGAAAUUAUUUUGCCCUAACAUCCUCUAAUUAUUUGAUCUUACAAACAAUUGUGUGAGAAUUUAUUUAUUGUCUAGAAUUAAGAUUUAAACUCAAAUCACUAUAACUUUUAAUUUGUUUUCAUCAAAUAGUAGUUAAAGGAAAAUUGAAUUAAAUACUAGAAAAUAGUCCUAGUGGGAUCGACAAUCUAGACUCUUAGGUCCACUAUUACUUGUUACGGUUCGUACACUUGCGAAACUAAAAUAUACAACAUACCUCUCCCAAUAUUAAUUCUACUUCACUAAGGCCCAGUUUGAUAGGGAUUUUUUUCCAUGGAAAAUGGAAAAAGUUUUCCAUUUCCACCCAAAAAUUGGUCUUUGAUGGCAAAAAGUUCCAUGGAAAACAUUUUCCAUUUCUCCCCUCACGUAACCUAAUUUUCUUGGUUUUCAAGGAAUUCCAAUUCCUUGGGUUUUGGUGAGAAAUGGGUUUUCCAACUUUUUAUUAUUCAUUUUUUUUUUUUACAAUGGAAACAAAUUCUAUCCAGAAUUAGGAAAAAAAUUAUCCAUUUAAUUGACAAUUUUCAUGAAAAAAGUCAAACAAACACCAAAAGAUCUAAAAUUUUAACAUUUUUUAUGACAAUCAAAUACAUUUAAGUAAAACAAGUUCUAGACAAUUCAAUACCCUGGAAUUCGUUUUAUUUCCAUCUAAAUUUCAUUCUUACAAUCAAACGGAUCCUAAGCAAAUCAAUCAACUGGAAAGAAAAUUACUGUGAAUGAAUAGUCAUUUUCAUUGUUGGAGCUGAGUUACUUCUAAGCAUAGUGGAAAACAAACAUUUCAAAAGCUCGUGCAAGAAUACUUUCAACCAAGUGAAGUUGGGGUAAGUAAAAAUACUCUUUGUUACGAUUACAUUGAUUAUUUUGUUAGACAUAAAAUAGUUGAUACAUGAAUUACAAAAAUAUGACGAUGUUAUACAUUUUACAUUGGAUUUAAGGGAAGUAAUAAAUUGAAAAAAAAAAAAAAGUUAUGUAGCUACAAACGUUCACAAUAUAGAUCCACUUUGGGUAAUGAACAAAAGAAUAAUUAUUUUUAAAAUAAUCGAGUUCCCUCACAAUUUUAAUAAUAUAUUUAAUGUUAUUAUGUAAGCGAGCCCCUUUAUUCUGAAUUCAUUAAUUCAGAAUGAAUCAAAUCUCCCCAGGUUGGAUUCGAACCUAUGACCAAUCGAUUAACAACCAACCGCUCUACCACUGAGCUACUGAGGAACAAUGGGAGAUUGGAACGAUGCCUCCUCACAAAGAGGGUCGCAAUGACCAUGCCUGGGCGACUGUUUACCAAAAACAUAGAUCUCCGCAAAGUCGUAAUAGAAGAAUAUCGUUGUGGAUAUAAAAUUCAUUAUUUUAAAUUUGAUUAUGCAGGUGUUAAUAAACUUAUAAUUAACAAACUAUGUAGGGUUCUUAAUCUUGAUUUUGUUGGUUUUUAUUUUAUAUUUGUUGUGUAUGUCAUAUAUUUGAUUUAAUUGUGAAAGAUGAAUACAUAUUAAUGAAAAAAUUGAAACAAUUAGAGAUGUAUUAAUAUAUAUUACCAUAUCACAUAGUAGAAAAUGAUUUUUGAAGAAUAUAGUGCUCAAUUUCUAUGGAAUGCAAAAUUUUUAUAACGUCACGGGUGGAACUCAACUUACCUAUUUCUCAAAAUUUUUGAAGCUUGUGAAACAUUAAUUACUAAAUUUUAUAACUUCAGACAUACAAAUGAGUCAGACUCAGUUUUGAUAGAUUCUAGGAAAUAAACUUUUAAAGCUAAAUUUUUUUGACAAUUUUCUAUGAUUCUACAAAUAUAUUAUUUGGGGGUAUAUUACCUUACUAAUGCUAAAGUUCUUGAAUGACUUUCUCUUUGGAAUAGGCAAGGACUAGGAAUAGUGGAAAUAGUACAUGAUUAGAUUAUCCAGUACUUAUUUAUGUGAAACUUAAUAGUCUUUGUGCACAACACUCAUGCUCUACACAUUGAGCUAGUGAUUGGAUUCUUGAGGAAAAUAGGAUAAACCCGAAAAAUCUUUAUUGUAUUGACCCAUAAGCCAUUUUUAGAGUAGUUUGGAGAUGGUUGAACAAUUGUAGGAGAACAUUGAGAUAAGUGGGGUUUCGUGCAUGAAAUUAUACUGUGUGGAUUGCUUAAGACCAAAUAGAUGAAGAUUAGGUAAAAGUAUUGAGCUGAGGAGCAGUUUUGGAGACUGAAUAUCUAGAAAAGGGCAAAAAUAUUAAUUUGUGUAAAAAUAAUACUUCUCUUAAAGCCUUUUUGACUCGAGCAAGUAAGACUGAGGGGUAUUUUGAAACUUGGUACCCUAAAACCAACUGGUUAAGGAAUCAUCGACUUAAAGCUUGCUACAAGGUUCAUAUAGAAAGCAAGAAUGGGAGAAGUUAAUAAAAAGUCAUCUUAUUGAGCAUUUAUAACUCAAGUAAAUAAGCUUGCAAGGGUUUAAAACCUGGUGCCCUAAAAUCAACUGAUUUGAGAGUCAUCAGUCUAAAACUUCCUACAUGGAUUAUAUAGAAAGCAAAUGAGAAUAUGGCAAUAAAAAAAUUUCAGAAAUUCAGAAAAUAAGACACAAUAACAUGAAGAAAGCCCUUGAACAUUUGGUUGAUGAAACUACACCUUUAAUGCGAGACAAGUAGCUUAAUUUAGUCUUAAAGGUUUAAACAACCAAAAUAGAAGAUAUGUGAAGUUGUAAUAGUGAUAUCUAUCCAAAUUAAGAGAGGGUAAGGAUUGUAGUUACCUAAACUACUAACUUUAUAAUACACCCCGGGAUAAUUGAGUGAAAAGAAUAAGUUUGGGGGUGUGUAUCGCUCGAGUGAGGAAAUGAUAUAUUUGACCACCGUGGGUCGGGAAUAAACAAAUCAUAAGUUUGAUACGUUGACAUGAGUUUAGACAUACACGUUGAGUUAUGCAUUUGACAGGUAAAAGUUGAUUUAAUUUGUUCACUAUUGAAACUGUUUCUUGUGUUGAUUACUAAAUUCUAAUCCUGAGAUACGGUAGGUUAUCAGGUCAUAUCUUGUAUAGAAUUAAGUCACUAUCUUGUUUGAGGACAAACAAUAAUUCAAUUCUGGGGGUUUGAUAAGUGCAUUUUUACACACUUAAAUAUUAAACACAAGUUGUUCUCUAUUUUAGAGAGUCUAUACAAAAAUAUGCUCCAAGUGACAUGCCCCACUCCGGAUAAUGCUAGUGGACCCAAAACGUUACGUGUGCCGAUGAUAGAUACCAACUAAAAGUUGGUUCCACCAUCAAAGCUUCUAUAAUAUACAACAUUUUAUAAAUUCUUUUAAUAGAAUUUAGAAUUUAUUUUCCCUAUAAAUAGGACUAAUCGACCUGCAAUCCACUAUCUACAAAUCUUAACAAUAAUACAACACAAUGGAGAUAAGCCAAAUUCUCAAAUUUUACUAUAAAAAUAACAUGAAAUGUACAUAUAGAUGCAAAAUAUAAAGUGAGCCACAUAGCUAUUUACCUAGUCAUAUGAUAAAUACGUUUUUACACACUUAUUUGGCCACAAAACAUGAUUAAUUGUUGAUCAAAGCACUUGAGUCAUGACUUAAUUCUGUAUAAUUUCGUUUUGUAGGAUCAUGUUGAUGGAUAUGGUAGAAUUCAAAAGAAAAGAAAUGAAAAAGUGCCAAAACGAAUAAAAAACAAAAGUGGAGGGACCAAAGUGCAAAUAAUUGAAAGAUGACCUGAAGGAUGAGUGGAGAAUGUAAAUGAGCUAAGUACCAAUUUGGUGAUAUUAUGCGAUGAUAGAAGGAAGAAAAUGAAAAAAGAGAGACCAAAACAGAAGAAAACAAAAGUGUAGGGACCAAAGUGCAAAUAGACAAAACAUGAACCGAAAGCAUAUAUGAAGGUGUUAAAGAAUCAUGGACCAAUUUGUUGAAGAUUUGAAGUAUUAGGAGAAGAAAAAUGAGAAAAGAUUUCAAAACGCAAGAAAUUUGAAGUUCGAGAAACAAAAUGCCACUUUUGGGAAUAAACCUUAUACCAUGUGGUUGUAUGAACCAUCAUGCAACCGCAUGAUAGUAAUCAGAAAAAUUGAAGGGACAAUCAUGCAUAACCAUGCGGUCGCAUAGUACAAAUCUGAUGCGUGAUUUUCAGUUUCCUUCUUUGCUUCAAUCUCUUAUGGAAACAAGUUAAUGGACAUAUAUAAAAUCCCUAGAGCCGUCAAAAGAAAGGGAGAACGCCUUGUGAGAGAAAAGAACACAUCUUGAAGGGGAUUUUGAACCACAAUAACGAAGAGACACGCGAAGAUCGACAAGAUUACAUGCAAAUUCUAACAUCGAUGAUGUCGUUUCUUAAAGUUUUUGUGUAUUUUGUUAAUUUUUCCAUGCCAGGCUAGGUUUCAUGUACUAGGAUACUGAUGAACCUCGUAAUGUAAAUUUUUGAUUUCUUGUUUUAUAAUAUUGACAUCAAAACAUGUUAUGAAUUUUUGAAUGAUUUAUAUACAAUUAAUUGUUUCCAUAAUUAUGUGCACGUAAUUGCAUGGGUGUGAUGACUUAUUUCAUGCAUUUAAGAGAAGGGAAAUGUGUUCGACAGUGUAUAAAUCAUCAUCGGGUCCAAUAGGGGAUAGAGAUAUACAUCUAUGCCUUGCGUGAAUCUUUAAUUGCUCUCAAAACCACAUGUAUUCUUGUAUAAUUGCACCUGUCAUUGAGAUGUAGGCUAAUGGUAUGUAAGAGCAAGUUUAACAUUACUUGAGAGAGAUUGUUGGAUAGAUUAAGAAGCAUUGAUUCAUAAAAAAUUCAACGUGUUAUCAUUUUGUUGAACUAGGGUUAAGAGUUAACAUUGAUUGAAGAUUCGUGAUCCUAGUGCGCUUUACAUUCAUUAAUUACAUCAAUUUUGCAUUCAAAACGUCACUUCACAAUAUAGUUAAUCAAAUUCACAUACAAUUGCAUAUUUAGUCUAGGUUAGGGUUAAUCAAGCCACAAUUAUCUUGUUGGAUAAUUUGGUUUUGGUUUAGGCUGAGAUAGAUUAAGUUUAGUUACUCAAUCUCUAUGAGACGACAUUCGAGCUCUAUUUUCCACUUUAUUACUUGUUGUGAACCAUACAAUUGCAGAUACAAAUUGAAAGAAUAAUUUCGUGAACAAGUUCUUGGUGUCGAUGCCAGGGAUUGAGUUUUCGUGUGAUUUUAUUUAUCUUGGCAAUAAUUCGGACUUCUACUUGUAUUCUUGCAUUUUUAUUUUCGUUUAUCUCUCUUUUUCAAGAUAUAAAAACAUCAAAAAGACCAAAAACAGUAAAGACAAAUGGCUAACGAAAAAAACAAAUUGAUAAUUCAAGCUAAUGAAGAGGAAGUUGUGGACGAGAGAAAUAUGCUUGUAGGGGAUUUCAUGAUCCCUCAAAUAAUUCAAAGCCAGUCCAACAUGAUGUAUCCACCUUUUGGCAGUCGAAUUUCCAACUGAAGAUCAACGUCAUACAAUUGUUUCAAAAUGGACACCAGUUUUAUGCAGAGCUGAAGAAAACCCAUAUACGCACAUCUCUCGAUUCUUGGAGAUGUGCCAACAUUUCAGAUAUCAGGGUAUCACAGACGAUGCUUCAGAUUAAGACUAUUCUCAUACACAUUACGAGUUAAAGUAAUUGAAUGGCUAGAUUCUCAACCAAUAACCAACAUCACCACAUGGAAUGGGUUAGCGCAUAAAUUCAGCAUCAAGUUUUUCCUGCCCGCCAAAAUUGCAAAGGUAAAACAUGACAUCUCUAUAUUCCGUUAAAGAGAAUUUGAAUCUUUUGAUGAAAAUUGGAACAGGUUCAAGAACAUGCUUCAGAAGUGUCUACACCAUGUGAUUAGUAAGGGACUCCAAGUCAAGUAUUUCUAUGCAGGACUUCUUCCAACCUUCAAGGACAUGGUUGACUCUUCAUCUAAUGGGUCACUAUCAACAAGAACUAUUGAUGAAGCAUUAAAGCUAUUUGAGACAGUGGCCACCAUUUCAACUAUGUGGACGUUAGAACGAGCAGUUCAAAAGAAGACACCAGGUGCGUAUGAAAUGGAUGCCUAUUUAGCCCUAUCUCAAUUCCAUAAGGUGGAAAGUAUAUCACAGUCAGCGAAUGCAAUACAUGCAUGAAAACCAAGUUGUGAAGAAUGUGGAGUGAAUCACAGUACAUCAGAAUGCCCAAUUUCGUCAUAAGGAAUGGAACAAGUAGAGUAUGCACAAUGGUGUCAACAUCAACAAAACAGCCUGACUUCAGAUACUUACAAUUCCGGUUGGAGAGAGCAUCUAAAUCCCUUGUGUGGUGGUAACCAAAAUCAAUUUCAAAAUCAGAAUAGACUUCAUGAGCAAUUUUAGUAGGAGAAGACAUUUCAGUUGGAAAAGAUGUUUGCAAAGUCAAUGGAAAAAAACUUAUAAAUACAUGGAAGCAAAUAACCAAUUCAUCAGAAAACUGAAACUACUCUCCAGAAUUAGGGUGAUGUAAUUAAGAACUUAGGGUGUGUUUGAUACACCAAAAUUUUCCAUGGAAAAUGGAAACUGAAUUUCAUAUUCCAACUUUAUGGUGUUUGAUAGGGUUUUAUUUCCAUGAAAUUGUCUUUUCUUGCUUGUCUCGGGAAUUGAUUUUUUCUUGGUCUUUAAGGAAAACCAAUUGGAAUUCCAUGUUACUAUAGCAUUUUGUUUGUUUGUUUGUUUUUUUUUUGUGUGUUGGUAAUGAAAACAAAUUCUAAGAUUUAUUGUAAAAAAAAAUAUUUCCUUUUAAUUGACAAUUUUCAUAUAAAACAAAGCCAAACGAACACCCAAAGAUAGAUGAUUUUCUUGAAUUUUUUUUAUUUUUAUUUUUUGCAAUGGAAACAAAUUUCAUUCUCAAUACCAGUAAAUUCUAUCCUUUUAAUUGAAAAUUUUCAUGUAAAACAAAACCAAACGGACAUCAAAAAACACUUUAAUUUAAACAUUUUCCAUAUGAAAAAUUAUACUAAUCAAACACAAUAAUUUACAAUUUCCAGGAAAAUAAUUUUCCAUCAAUUCAAUUCUCUGGAAUUCAUUUUCUUUCCACCCAAAUUCCACAUUUGCAAUCAAAUGGACCCUUAAAGAUAUAGAUGGGACAGAGAUCACUUUCUAUGACAAGAUGGGCACCAGAUAUUUUGCCAAGCAGUACUUAAGUGAAUCCAAGCAAACAUGUUCAAGCAAUUACUACAAGAAGUGGGGUUCAAUUACGAGAAUUCAAUGUGAAGGGAUUAUAUGCAGACAAAGAAACAGUGACUACUUCUGAUGAGGAGCAGACUAACCAAACCAAAGAAACAACUACUAAGGAAAGUUCAAAUACAUCACGGGCUAAAGCAACUACUCCUGUCAAUCCAUACGAGCCCCCAAGCUGGAAGAGCACAAAAUGGUGAUGUUGACAGAGGAAUGCAACGCUAGAAUUCAGAAGAAGUUAUCUCCAAAGUUAAAAGAUCCAGGGAGUUUUACUGUACCCUGCACUAUAGGGAAUUGCUACUUUGAUAGAACUUUAUGUGAUUUGGUGCUAGUAUUAACUUAGUGCCACUAUCUGUUUUCAAGAAACUAGGAUUGCGAGAACCUACGGCAACUACGACGACGCUACAGUUGGCUAAUCGAUCAUUCAUUCAUCCACAAGGAAUAAUUGAAGAUGUUUUAGUAAAGGUGGAUAAACUCAUAUUUCCAAUGAAUUUCCUAAUUCUAGACAUGGAAAAAGACAAGGGCAUGCCGCUCAGAUUGGGUCGACCAUUUUUUUCCUACUACAAAAGCUUUUAUAGAUGUGCAGUAAGGUCAACUAAUUCUGAGGCUCGGGGAGAAGUGGGUUUCUUUCAAUGUUUUCAAAGCGAUGAAAUAUCCUAUUGAAUCAGACAACUAUUUCCAGAUUGAGGUGGUUGAGAACAUAAUUCAUGACACUUUUGAGUUGCAGAACCUGUCAGAAGUUUAUGAUGCCUGUAUUAUGCAUCCUCAACCCACUCUCACUAACUCGAAGGAGAUUGAGGUUUACACUGUUGAGUUCCAAACGGAUGAUGAAGGGAAAUCACACUACUUGGAGAAGGACAAUGUUGAAAUUUGGAAGAUAGCUGCAAUACGGAAAAAGAUCAUAUUGAGCAAACCAAGUAGGAUCUCCAAAACCAUAUAAAAAUUCCAAUAACACACUUGUGAUAAAAGUCGAUCUCUAGACUAUAAAUACAGCACUUAAUGCUAGGCAACCCAUUCCUCUAUCACUUUUAACUUUUUUUGAUUACUUAUUGCAUUACAAGUAGAAUUUUAGGGAUUACCUAAGUAUUUAGAGCCAUAUUUAGGAACUCAUGUAUGUAGAUUGUUUUUAACACGUUUUAGAUAGUAUUUUAAGACUUGCAUUAGUAACUUAGGGAUUUUUAUCUAUUAAGUUAAAUUUACUUAGACUCAUCUUAACAUCCUAUCAUUAUGUUGAGCUUACAUUGAUGUAAUAUGCAUUCUUAAGGUUAUACUUAGAUUUCAAUCUCCAACUAACUAGAAAAACUUAUCUUCUCUUAUAGGAUUUUUACAGGGACGUUAGAAUAUUAGAAUUCUACGUAGUGUGAUUUUAUUGCACAUAUUUCAAACUUUAUUUGUUAUUAUUGAUAUUUGCUUUAAAUUCUCCAAACAGUAAACAAAAGCCUAGCAAUAGAGAAAGAUGAUGGUUGUCAUGACAUCUACCAGUUGGGCCAGCUUGAUCCUUCUACCUAUCCGCAACUACUUCGGGGAGUUUCUGAUCCUUACUAAUUUAUUUUAAUUAUUUUUGCUUGUACAUUAAGGACAUGUGAUUUAUAAGUUUGUGGGUGGCAUAAUUUUGGCAUAAUUUUCAUGGUACCGUUGAUAUUCAUCACUAGUUGUUUCUAAUUUUAAUUUACUACCUUCUGUGUGAUUAUCGUGUGAAAAGAAAAUCUUGCAUGCUCUGUUUAUUCUUGUUUAUGACUUUGUGUGCUUGUGUGAGUUUGAUAACCUUGUCGGUAAUGAUGUGAAUAUUAGAAUAGGUAAGGACAGUGAAUAGUGGAAAGAGUGCAUGAUUAGAUUAUCCAAUACUUGUUUAUGUGAAACUUAACAGUCUUUGUGCAUGACACUCAUGCUCUGCACAUUGAGCUAGUGAUUGGAUUCUUGAACAUAAUAGGAUAAACCCAAAAAACCUUUAUUAUAUCGACCCAUAAGCCGUUUUUAGAGUAGUUUGGAGAUGAUUGAGCGAUUGUAGGAGAACAUUGAGAUAAGUGGGGUUCCAUGCGUGAAAUUAUACUGUGAAGAUUGCCUAAGACCAAUGAAAUGAAGAUUAGGUGAAAGUCUUAACUUGAUGGGUGGUUUUGGAGUCUAAAUGUCUAGAAAAAAGGGGCACAAUAUUAAUUUGUGUAAGAAUAAUACCUCUCUCAAUGCCUUUAUGACAUGAACAAGUAAGUCUGUAAGGGUAUUUUGAAACCUGGUGCCCUAUAGUCAACUGGUUUGAGAGUUAUUGGCCUAAAGCUCGCUACAAGGGUCAUAUAAAAAGCAAGAAGGGGAGAAGUUAAUAAAAAAUCAUUUUAUCGAGCCUUUAUAACUCGAGCGAGUAAAUCUACAAGGGUUUAAAAUCUGGUGCCCUAAAGCCAACUGGUUUGAGAGUUAUCGGUUUAAAACUUGCUACAUGAGUUAUGUAGAAAGCAAAUGAGAAUAUGGUAAUAAAAAAAUUCAAAAUUUCAGAAAAUAAGUAAGCAAAGACACAAUAACAUGAAGAAAGCUCUCGGACAUUUGGUUGAUGAAACUACACCUUUGAUGUGAGACAAGUAGCUUAGUUUAGUCUUACAGGUUGAAGCAAUCAAAACGGAAGAUCUGUGAACUUGUAGUAGUGAUAUUUAUCCAAAUUAAGAGAAGUAAGGACUACAGUUACCUAAACUCCUAAAUUUAAAAUACACCCCGUGAUAAUUGAGUGAAAAGAACAAGUUUUGGGGUGUGUAUCUCUCGAGUGAGGAAAUGAUAUAUUUGACUGGACAUUUGGUUGAUGAAACUACACCUUUGAUGUGAGACAAGUAGCUUAGUUUAGUCUUACAGGUUGAAGCAAUCAAAACGGAAGAUCUGUGAACUUGUAAUAGUGAUAUUUAUCCAAAUUAAGAGAAGUAAGGACUACAGUUACCUAAACUCCUAAAUUUAAAAUACACCCGUGAUAAUUGAGUGAAAAGAACAAGUUUUGGGGUGUGUAUCUCUCGAGUGAGGAAAUGAUAUAUUUGACCACUGUGGGUCGGGAAUAAACCAAUUAUAAGUUUGAUAUGUUGACAUGAGUUCACACAAAUAUGUUGAGUUAUGCAUUUGACAGGUAAAAGUUGAUUUAAUUUGUUCACUAUUGAAACUGUUUCUUGUGUUGAUUACUAAAUUCUAAUCUCGAGACACGGUAGAUUAUUAGGUCAUAUCUUGUAUAGAGUUAAGUCACUAUCUUGUUUGAGGACAAACAAUAGCUCAAGUUUGGGGGUUUGAUAAAUGUGUUUUUACACACUUGUUUGGCCAUAAAACAUGACUAAUUGUUGAUCAAAACGUUUGAGCUAUAACUUAAUUUUGUAUAAUUUCGUUUUGUAGGACUAUGUUUAUAGAUAUGGUAGAAUUCAAAAGAAAAGAAACGAAAAAGCGCUAAAAUGGGAAAAAAAUCAAGGACCAAAGUACAAAUAAUUGAAAGAUGACCCGCAAGAUGAAUGGAGAAUGAAACUGAGCUAAAUACUGAUUUUGUGAUACAAUGAGCUAAUAGAAGGAAGAAAAUGAAGAAAAGAGAUAUACCAUUAUGCCUUGCGUGAAUGAGUUCGACAUAAUCGCCCUCAUUGUUAAGUGUUUCAUAUUUUAUUGCUUUUAGUUUCAUAUUUUCCUAGCAUGACAUUUUCGACCUCAAUGUCAAAGUGUUGACUCCUUUAAUUUGAUCAGUUAUAAGGUAUUAAAUCAAGAGAAUCAAAUAUUAUAAACGAUUGCUUAAAUGGCUAUUGUCGAUCAAAUAUGAGUUGACAUAGAAGAACAAAUGUGGAUUAGCUUGUUAGGAUGCCAACAAAUGCCUCACAUCGACGAGACAUACGGUGAAUAAUGUGUGUAGGGAAAUCGACUGAUCAUAUUUUUAUGAUGGAACCCCAAUUCUCUAACACAUGCAAAGAACCAACACAAACCUUACUAGUCGAUAGAGGGCAACUUGUCCCAAUAAUCAUGGAAAGUUCUGCAAAAGCCACACCACAAGUGUAAAUCACAUAGAGGAUUAGGGAUUUGACGCUACAUAACAAAGUUCUUGUUUGACCUCUAUUUUUUAAAAUUUACUUUCAACCAUGAAUUUUCUCAAUAAAAUAAAUUGCAUGUAGAUUCAUAUUUAUUUCUACUUGUUAACUACACAUUCUAGAAAAAAUAAAUAAAUAAAUAAAAAUCACCUUUCACAAUAAAAUGUAAAAUCCAUCGAAGAAGUAAAUAUCGUUUAAUUUUCCACCAAAAUUGGAAACGACGUGAAGAGUGGGGCCUUGAAGUUGUUUCUGGUUCGCAGGAAUACAAAAAAAUUCGUUGUAUACGAAACUUGGCUCAUCGGUGUCAUCUGUUUAGGCUGACUGUUUCAACACAAUUCUUUUCGUUUUCACAAGUCUUCAUGAAAAAAAAUCCAAGUCAACUGCCGUGUUCACUUUCACCCUGACUUACGUUGCGAGUGAAUUAAUUAUUUGAAUUUAGAGAACCGCAGUAGAAUUUGAUUUCUAUAUUCUUCUUCUUUCUGUUCGUUUUUGAGUUAGGCUGGCAUGGUUUUCUCCCGUAGGGCUGCUUCCAGUUUAAUUGUUUUUGUAUUUCUGUUUCAUCUAUAUAUCCUUCACUUUGUUGAUUCUCAAUGCCCAAGGCAGUUCCAGUGUGGAAAUCUUGGCAAUUUGGAGUUUCCUCUGGCCAAUUCUUCGGGAUGUGGAUUGUUCACGGUUGACUGCAGUGCUCGGCCGAAUCCAAAAAUUCAACUGGAUAAUUAUUGGCAUUCAACAUCCUUUUCCUUUGAUAUUAUGAACAAGUCAUCUCCCAAUGAAAUAUUUAUUCGAAAUCCAUUUCGUGAACGUGUUUUAUAUAAUAAUAAGGAAAUAUGCUAUUUAUUUUUUCUUCUCCCUAUGCCACACUCUCCUUCGAUUUCGAUUUCGUUCUUCCCCAAUAUCACUCUGUUUAAAUGCGCCAAAUAUAGGAACUACGACAAUGAGAUACCUCAUUUCCAAGAAAUUUAUGGAAACUACGAUGGUUGUGAUUUCUUCAAUAUAUACUACCCCAGGUCGAAUGGAAGUCUUCCGCCCCCCAACGACUGUUCAGUUCUUCCCUUGCCAGGCAAUUUACAGUGUUACUCAGAUUCAUUGGACUUGUUCCAGCGGUUAGGCUCUGAUUGUCUUCUAAAAUGGAAUGUGUCUGAUGAUUGUCGUAAUUGCCACAGAAAAGGAGGAAACUGCACAACUAACAUGAAGAAUGAAUUUCGAUGUGAUAAAGGUACCAUCGGCCUUUGAACAUGGAUGAUUACGAGUCAUCCCUCUACAUAUUUUCUUUUGUUUUGCAUUUUUGCCCGCAAUCCAGAACAGGGUUCAAGCGAUUUAAACUUUAAAACAUAUAGAAUUGUUUGAUUAUAUGUCACUGACAAUUUAUCACGUGAUCGCUAUAUGCCAGUCCUCACGAGUACAGUUGUUUAUAUCCUUCCCUCACAUAGAUGUGUUCUUCAUGCCUUGUUGCGGGUUUCAUUUUUCUUUCUUCAGUUGAGUUUGAACUGACAUAUUUGCACGUUGACUAUGGCUACAGAGAAAAGGAGGGAUUUGAAGAAGAUUCUAGCCGCAGGUAAAUGUGGUAAAGGAAUGCAGAUACAUUACAUAUUAGAUGUCAAACUCCCAUUCUUACUUUCAAAACUUCUUUACAUAAUUUUUUCCAAUUGAGGUUUUCCUUUUCAAUUUUUGGUUUCUGAGUUCUUGAUUUCUCUGUUUAUGGUUUUCAGCUAUACCUGGAAGUAUAGUCACACUUUGCGUGGUAGGUUUUUUCAUUUGGCGCCAUAAAAAAAGAAUCAAUGAUGCAUACUUACUUUCGAGGAACAUAUCCACCGAUCCCUCAAAAUCAGACAUUGAAGGCGGGAGUCUCUUCUUUGGUAUCGCCAUCUUCACCUAUACAGAACUUGAAGAGGCUACCAAUAAUUUUGAUUCUUCUAAAGAACUUGGAGACGGAGGUUUUGGAACUGUCUACUACGGUAAGAAUCUAUUAGUCAUUAUGAAGCAACGUCAAUCAAAAUCAUGAUAGAUAAAAUUGUCUGCUAGGUGUAUAACUGUUUAAUACUAAUAGUAAGUCUGACUUCUUUUCUAAUUAGGCAAACUCCGGGAUGGAAGAGAAGUAGCAAUAAAGCGCCUCUACGAGCAUAACUACAAACGAGUAGAGCAGUUCAUGAAUGAAAUCAAAAUCCUUACUUGCUUGAGGCACCUGAAUCUUGUUUCUCUUUAUGGCUGUACAUCUAGGCACAGCCGGGAACUCCUACUCGUUUACGAGUACAUUCCUAAUGGCACAGUUGCGGAUCAUAUCCAUGGUGACAGAGCUAAUGAAGCACCACUUUCAUGGCCAAUUCGCAUGAAAAUUGCCAUAGAGACUGCUUGUGCAUUGGCAUACCUGCAUGCAUCUGAUAUAAUACAUCGCGAUGUGAAGACUAACAACAUACUGCUCGAUAACAGUUUUUGUGUCAAAGUUGCGGAUUUCGGGCUUUCAAGACUCUUCCCUAAUGAUGUCACUCAUAUAUCAACUGCCCCUCAGGGGACCCCUGGAUAUGUGGAUCCGGAAUAUCAUCAAUGUUACCAACUUACUAAUAGAAGUGACGUAUACAGCUUUGGAGUUGUCCUCAUUGAGCUCAUAUCAUCAAUGCCUGCAGUGGAUAUAAGUAGGCAUAGGCACGAAACCAACUUGGCCAACUUAGUGGUAAGCAGGAUACAACGGUGUGCAUUUCCCGACUUAAUCGAUCCAUCUCUUGGAUUUGGAUCUGAUGCUGAAGUUACAAGGAUGACUACUUCAGUGGCGGAGUUAGCUUUCCGAUGUUUGCAACGUGAAAAGGAUCUGAGGCCUUCUAUGGACGAAGUAUUAGCAUUUCUGAAGGAGAUAAGGGGCGACGAGGAGGUAGAAAUUGAGAAUAAAAUGGAGACUAUUGAUAGUCACAGUGUUCCAAGAGGUGUAAAGAUCCCACCUUCACCUGAAACAGAUGAUAUUGUAUUGUUGAAGAGCAAGAAUUUGAAAUGCUCACCAAGUGCUGUGACUGAUAUGUGGAUUAGUAACUCUACAACCACUAGUUCCAGUGGGUGAGAUUCCUUUUGUUGUUUCUACAAGUAGAUGAUAGUAAGAAUGUUGUUAAACACUCUAUAUAUUGUUUACCAAAUGGGUGGGACUUAUUUCAUCUUCUAUGCUUUCACCUUCACAAACAGUAAAUAUAGAACUAAAGACUGGGAAUAUGCUAGUAAAAUGAUGUAGCUUUUUCAACAUCUGGUGUGGUGUUUUUGUUGUUUCUACAAGUAGAUGCUGGUAAGAAUGUUGUUAAACACCCUUUAUAUUGUUUGCCAAAUGGGUGGGAUUUAUAUCAUCUUCUAUCCUUUCACCUUCACAAACAGUAAAUAUAGAAAUAAGACUCAGAAUAUGCUAGUAAAUGAUGUAGCUUUUUCAACAUCUGGUGUGGUGUUUUUGUUGUUUCUACAAGUAGAUGCUGGUAAGAAUGUUGUUAAACACCCUUUAUAUUGUUUGCCAAAUGGGUGGGAUUUAUAUCAUCUUCUAUCCUUUCACCUUCACAAACAGUAAAUAUAGAAAUAAGACUCAGAAUAUGCUAGUAAAUGAUGUAACUUUUUAACAUCGAGAUGUGUUGUUCUCUUGCUUGAAUAAUCCAAGAAAAUGUUUGCUAUGCACUACUGACAACUUUGUAUAAAACAAUAUACAACAUUUUAACGUGUUGUUCUUCGUUCGUCCUAUUAGAGGAUGUUAAAUCCAGUGCAUCAAACAUUUGGUACGCCAACGAUAGUUUUUAGUAAACUGAUAUGCAUUGCCACCAGUACAGCACAUACCACGCAUCUGAGAUGAUGCCAUUCCUGUCAUUCUGUCAAAAGUGAAGAACUCUUUGGUUUUAUUUGAGAGUUAUGUUGCAUUGAUUUCAUAAGAAUUGUUCUACAUUAACACUUGGCAGCAUUUCAUUGGUAGUUGGACAAAAAAUAUUUUUCAACUACCCAAUCACAAUUUACCAACUUGCAUAACUCUUUAUUUGAAUAAUGGAACUGACAAAGAAAAUUAAGAAAUUUUCUAGGGAUGUUUUUCUUUUCCUUGUCAUGGGGCGUUUGGAUCUCUUACACAACUAGUAAAAAUAUUCCAAACAAAUUUUCAUGCUUUUAAAGGACCAAAAUUUAUAUGCGAUUUUAAUGGAAUUAAAGUUGAUCAUAUACCAGCUGACAUAGUAGAAGAAAUAUGAAUUGGAAAAGCCUGUUAGAGCAUCUCAAAGAGGUUUUAUGAAUCCAAGAUGUUUUCUGUUUUAGGGAGCCUAUGCAAAAAUAACGAAAAGAUCACAGACACAAGAUCUUUCACCAAUUUUAUUAUUUGAUCUUUUAGUUGGUUUAGUAGAAUUUUAAACUAUUUUCAUCAUUUGCAAAAUUCAAAUUUAUUGUGUAUUUUGUUGUUAAAAUUAAAUUUAACUAUUGUGUAAUUGAGUAAUUAUUCAUGUGGGAUUCAAAACCCGGGCCGUUUGUCCACUUAUUACUUGUACGUGACUUGUGAGCCCGCGGUACACUUUUUUAGCGAAAAACAUGCCGACGCCAUUUUUAUAAAUUUAGUAAUCAAAAUUCGACUAUCUCAAAAUUCAUUGAGCAAUCGAAUACGUUUUCUAAAGUUUGUUGAACAAUGAAAAACGUUUUCUCAUGUGACAAUUUGGUAAAGACAUGACGGGACUCCACAUGUGCAUUCCAUUAGCUACGACAAAUUUCGUUGGAAGUUUGAAACGGGUGUUAUGCCAAUAAGUAAUGUCCAACGUUUGGAUAGAUUUAAUGGUUAAAACUCGACAUUUUAAACUUUAAUUAGCAAUCGAAAAUACAUACACAAGUUCAGUAAAUAUUGAGAUAAUUAACUCUGCUAAACAUGGGCUAAAUAAAAGAGCUUUUAUUUUCUGUUGAAAAUUUGAGCUGUCACCCAUGAUUUAAAAAAAUUGUUGAAAGUAGCUUGUAUUUGCUACUUUCAGCACAAAAAAAAAAAAAAAAAAAAAAAGGAAGGAAAGAGAGAGAGAGAGAGAGAGAGGCAACCUUGCUACGUUACCAGCUAGAUUUUGCCACAUUUCUUGAUAUUGACAUUCUGUCAUUGGCCGGUUAAAAAGAAAAGGGACAAUUUUUGCACCAAUCACUUGCUACACUUCAUCUAUCAUUUGGAAUGUCUAGGGAUGGCAAUGGGCCGAAUCGGCCUUUAACUCACGAGCUCGGCUCGGGCUGAUGGCGAGCCUAGCUCGAGCUCGACUCGUUGCUUGGGGGAGCUCAGCCCAUGAGCUCGCGAGGCCGACCGUGUUAAGCAUAGGCGCGGAGAACACCCUUCUUUGGCAAUGCCCAAAAUUGCAAUGGAUUCCACCUUUACCGAGCCCACACGCAGCUCGCGAACUCGUGAUUUUUUUAAUAUUUUUUAAUUAUUAUUAUUAUUAUUUUUUUUUUUGUGUAAAUUUGCACAUUUUUUGACUUUUUUCUAUUCUUCUUCUUCUUCUUCUUCUUUUUUUUUUUGUAAAUUUACAUAUUUUUUGAUGAGCCCACAGCUUGUGGACUCGUCAAAAAUGGCUCGUGGGAUUGAGCCCCCUACUCGGCUCAAGCUCGAGCUCAUCAUUUGAUGAGCAUGAGCCACCCACGAGCCGAGCAUCCCCUCGACCCGUUUGACAUUCCUAUGAAUGUCAAAUUCAUUAGGCAAAGUGGCAUUAUCAACACAACUGGUUUAAUCGGUGUUGCGUUAGUCAAAUGGGAGGUUACAAUUAAUCAAUAAUAAUAAUAAUAAUAGUAAUAAUAAUAAAGUGUGGAUAAGUGAGAGAUUCGUUUUGGAUUUAAAUAUUCUUUUAACUCCUUUUUUUACUGUUGAUUUAAAUUUAGGUAAGAGUCUAAUUGUCAAAAAGGAUUAAUCGGGUUCUAGCCACUAAGAAUUUCAAAAAUUUAUUUUUGAAUCUUUUGCACUUUUUAAUUUUUUGUUAAUUUUUUGAUUUUUUAAUAAUUUAUUUGAGACUCAUUUGCAUUUAAAAAAAAUUCUAAUUUUUUUAAUAAUUUACUUAGGAUUCAUUUGAACUUUUUAAAAAGUAUGUGACUAUGGUUGCAAUAAUUUUUUAUUUUUGUUUUUUUGUUUAAAUAGGAGGGUAUAUUCAUAAUUUCAUGAUUUUUUUGUUGAGAAAUUGGAUGAAAAUCGAUAGAAAAUGAUGGUCCCAUUUAUACAGAUAUGGUAGAGGGGCCUUACAUUGGGCCUAGUGCCCAGGUGGUUUGGCCAAUAGUGGAAGGUAUGAUAGUAAGUGGACGAAAAGGGAAUUUUAGGAAAAAGAUCUUGGAGAUACCAUUGUUUCUUGUACAGAAGUUCCUAUAAAAAUGAUUUCCGACUGGCAUAGAAGUCUCUCGUGUGCCCCCUUGGGGGCUGGGGGGAGAAUUACCAUUCCUUUGCGUAAUCAAAGGUAUAAUUAAAGGUGAAAAUAUCAAAAAAUGAAAGGUGAUGUUUUUCACAAUAGUAGUGAAAGGAAUUAACAUUAUGUGUUAAUUACCAUUUUACUAAUUUAUUUUGAACUGGUUUGCAUUUUAUUUAAAAUGGUACUAUGAUUGCAAUGAGUUCCUUUUUUUCCCCUCUUUUUGUUUAAUUUAAAUUGAAAGAUAUAUUCGACACUUCGUAGCGUUUAAUUGAGAAAAUUGAUGAAAAAUACCUUUUGCGCAAUGAAAUGCGGAAAUGAUGGUAAAAAUGCCAAGAAAAUUGAAAGAUAAUGAUUUUUUCACAAUUAUAGUGAAAGUUAAGGACGAUAUAUGCUAAUAACAGUUUAGAAUACUGCUAAUUAUCAUUAUAAUAAUGGAACAUCGUGAUAUAACAAUUUAUGUGGAAUAAUGAUAUUGGAUAGUUCAAUUUUUACAAGAGAGAUGGGAGAUGUGGUCGAGAGAGAGAGAGAGAGAGAGAGAGAGAGAUAGUAGAUUAGUGUCUCUUGGUCUUGUGUAAUUUAAGUCUUUCAUAAUGAAUUAUUCCGUGUUCUUUUCAUAUAGACUUAUAGCAUAAUGAAUUAAGGUCUUUAUGUAAUUUUGUUAUACUAUUUUCUUUUAUUAAUUAUGCAAAUUUUAUUUAUAAAGCUUUGGUUUUAAAGCAUUAGGUAAAAAGUAUUUUCAAGAGACUCUCUAUUUUUGAAUAAUAUUUUCUAUUAUUUCGAGAUCAUUUAUAAAUUUAGAGAGUAAAAAUUUUAAAUACUCCAAAAUGCUCUUUAUUUUUAAUACUUAAUUUACUACUCUUAAUAUGUAUCUAUUAUUUUCACUAACUUCGCUUCAAAGUAUUAUAUUAAUCUCCUCCAUUUUCUUUGUAUAUAUUAUAUAUUUGGGUCAAUAUAUGUAACACUGAAAAUUGAAAUAUUUUGAUUGUAUUUAAUUAUAGAGAGUGAAUUUGAAUCUUGGAAGAUGAUUUGAAGAGUUGAUUUUUUAAAAUAUAGAGUAUUUCAUUUCUUGAAAAUGCUCUUAUUAUCCGUUCAUAAUUUUAGCCAAUUUCAUUUUGUUUUUGUGGUCCAACCCAGUGAAUUUGAAAUUCAUGUCCCAGACCCAUGUUGUUGCUAUUAAUUUAUUAACCAACUCCAGCAUGCUUGUAUUGCCACCAGCGACAAACAAUGCAUCCUAUUAGUUUGAAUCCAAAUAAUGUCAAUAUAGGGCUAAGUAGGUACUAGAACAAAACUUUAUUUUAAGGUACGCAUUUUAGAGUUUUUUUUUUUUUCAAACUAGAUAUCAAUAUUUUAAUUUUAUGUCAAUUAGAUAACUAAAUUUAAAUUUAAUUUCGAUUAAUGUAACUUUGUUCAAUUUCAUUAACAGUGAUGUGACCAUCAUUUAUUGAUGGUCAACACGUGGGGCCGUCAAUUGUUGAAGUGGAAUAAAUGUAAUAUGAGUGAAAUAAACUUUUUUUUUUUUUUUUUUUUUUUUUUUUUGGGGGUUUUCCAGCUCACGCGCACCUCGAUUAAUCCUAUGGGGCUCUGAAAUUUACACUGAAUACUCAUCUCAGUGGUCCUGAGAGGAUUCGAACUGAUGACCAUUGGGGAGCAAAUUCAAAGUCUGACCACUGAGCUUUCCCUCAGGAUUUGAGUGAAAUAAAUGACGAAAUAAUAUUAAUAACUGUUAGAUAACUAAUUUCUAUCUAUCUAGUAAAUAGAAUCAAAUGAACUUACCAAUUAUAUAUUUAAAUUAAAGUACACUUGUUCGAUGGGCAAAAUUAAACAAAGAGGAAUAAUGACAGACAUUUCACAUUUGAAUAGUUGAAUUGUGAUUGUGACACUAUCUACCUCAUAUGAUAGAAAUUUUGCUUAAAAUUACAUGUUUAAUUGUCAUGCUAAAGUGAGUACAGUAAACAUGUAAAAUUCAAGGAAAUAACUAUCGUUUAAUUUUCCACCACAAUUGAAAAUGACAUGAAGAGUGGGGGCCUUGAAGUUGUUUUUGAUUCGCAGGAAUACAAAAAAAUUCGUUGGAUAUGAAACUUCAGUCAUCAGUAUUAUUUGUUUAGGCUCACUGUUUCAACUUAAUUCUUUUCGUUUUCACAAGUCUUCGUCAAAAAAAUCCAAGUCAACUGUCGUGUUCAUCUUCACUUACGUUGCGUGUAAAUAAAUUAAUUGAAUUGACACAACCUCAGCAGAAAUUGAUUUCUCUAUUCUUCUUGGUUCUUCUGUUUGUUGUUGAGUUAGGCUGGCUAAUGGCGAAUCUAGAAAUUUGAAUCAGCACGAGCGGACGUCGACCGUAUUAAAUAGUGAUUUAAUGGAGAAUGUGUGGUUAAAAAUAAGGAUAAGUUUUGAAUUGUGUGUAAUAUUAUUUUAUUUAAAAAUGUGUGGUUAAAAAUACAAGAGAGAAAAAUAUAUUUUAAAAUAAAUGGGAAUCAAACAAGGUUUAAAAUUUAAAUACAAUAAUUUAUUUUGUUGAAUUUUUGUAAUUGCAUUAAAACCGCUUAAAUCUAAUAUAUAUAUUUUUUGUUUAAAUACUACCACAAAUCAAUAGUUGCCUUAGUGGUCACAUUCUCAACAAGUUGAACUAAACUUCGCAGGUUUGAAUCUCGUUGGCACCAGUUAUUAUUACAUUAAUUUUUGUAAAAAUAGUAUAAUUAAAAAUAUUUGUACUAUACAUUCAGUUGGCUAAAAAAAAUUUGAACCCGGGACCUCAAGGAUGUGUGUGCAAGCUCUAGCCAACCUGCCCUGAAGAAAUGUUGGAGAUAAAAGUAAAUUAUCAAUAAUAUAAUAUAAAUCAUUAACUGUCAACAACAAAAAAAAGGGCGAUCGACGGAUCCAGCACACGCGGCCAUGGGAGCUCGCCAGGUGCUGGAUCCACCACUGGCUGGCAUGGUUUUCUCAUGUAGCGCUGCUUCCAAUUUAGUUGUUUAUAUCUCUCUGUUGUUGGGUAAUUGCCUCAAAAGUCAUAAGUUGGAGGACUUUUAUUACAUAUAGUAAAAUGUAGUUAUUGUAUGGAAGACUUCUAAUUAAAGUUGAGAGCCUUGCAAAAUUUGUUCUCCAAUUUACGAUCGAUUUUGGAGUAUUGCACAUUAAGAAAUUCUUGUUGAGUUAAACGAGUCUUGUUUGAGUUUAAAUUGAACUCUUCUACUUGAUUAUUGAUCCUAUAAAUAAUGGAUGUACUUCAUUAUUUUAGGUGUGGCUAGAGAGUUGAUUUGACAGGAAAAUAUUGUGAGUCUAGUAUCUUGAUAUUUAUCUUACAUUGAGUAGAAAAGUAGGUGUAGUAAAGCUUGAGUAUGUUUAUUUUUCUUUGUAAUACUUGGGGAUUGGGUUGAUGAGUGAAAUUCUAUAUGAUUGUAACAAUUUUUCAUAUAGUGAAAUUCUAUAUGAUUGUUUAUUUUUCUUUGUAAUACUUGGGGAUUGUGUAUUAUAUUCUUUAUUUUUCAUGUUUGCUAAUAUUCUUUUGAACAACAAAAGAUCUUGCAGGUAAAUAGAAAUAAAGGGAAUCGGCAUGAAAUUCUCAACAAGUGGUAUCAUAGCAUCAAGUGGUUUGGAGUAUUGGAGCAAUAGAAAAAUAUGUCGUCGUUAAAAUAUAACAUGGAGAAAUUUGAUAAGAGAAUCAAUUUUGACUUGUAAUAAGUACAAGUGGAGGAUUUAUUGAUUCAAGCUGGACUAUAUAAGGCUUUGAAAGGAAACCCAACUAAGAGUUUUAGCAAGAUUGACAACUCCAUGAGGAAGAAAGUAACUUAUUGGAACUACCGUCAGACUGGCCACGUGAAGAGAAAUUGUCCAAAAGGUGGAGCAAGGUCGACUAACUGCUUGGGGAUCGAACAAUACGUCUUUCCUGAUGAAGGAGGAUGCGGAUGUGGUGUUGUAAAGUAAGAUGGGAAUAUCCUCAUAGCAUGUCGUCAGUUGCCAUAAUAGAGGAUGUGUUCUUACUGGUGCGGGUCAACAUAUAGGCACAUAGCAUUGACUGACAUUUGAUGCAAAGUGUGCAGGUAUGUGGUGGUAUUGUAAUAUCGAUGGCUGAUGAACUCUCUAGAAAAGUCAAUGGGAGAGUUGCACCAUAACUAUCAGCAGGGUUAUUUCGACAUGUAACCGAUAAAAUGCUUGAAGUUCACAAAUAAUUCUAAGUGGUUAUGCUCAUAGAGUGGAGUAUGGAACCGUUAAAGUGUGUCAAAGGCUUACCUAUUUUUCCAAAUAUUGUGAUUAAAAGUUGUAGAAGAGAUAACGAGAUUUUGACUCAUAUUCGGUAAGGUGUAGAUUGUUGGAUAAUUGCCUCAGAAGUCAAAAGUUGGAGGAUUUAUAUUGCAAAUAAUAAAAAUGUAGUUAUUGUAUGGAAGAUUUCUAAUUAAAAUUGAGAUCAGAAUCCUUGCAAAAUUUAGUCUUCAAUUUACAAUCAAUUUUGAAGUCUUGCACACGAAGAAAUCCUCAUUGAGUUAAAAGAGUAUUGUUUGAGUUUAAAUUAAACUCUUCUAUUUGGUUCUUGAUCCUAUAAAUAGUGGAUGUAUUUCAUUAUUUUGAAUGUAGCUAGAGAGUUUAUCUGAGAGAAAAAUAUUGUGAGCCUAGCAUCUUGAAACUUUUUGUACAUUGGGUAAAAAAGUAGGUAUAGUAAAACUCGACUUUUUUUUUUUUUUUUUUUAAUAUUUUGAAAUUUUAUAUGAUUGUAACAAUUUUUCAUAUAUUGAAAAGUUUUAAUAGUCUGUUUAAUUUGUGCGUUAUAUUCUUUAUUUUUCAUGUUUGCUAAUAUUCUCUUGAACAACUAAAGAUCAUGCGGGUAAAUAUAAAUAAAAAGAAUUGGUGUGAAAUUCCCAACAAGUGUUGGGCCGGAGACUUGUUGGGUGGUUUUGAAUCUCUCUCACUCCAAAAGUUACUUCAAGAGAUGAUGCUUUCCCUCACAAUUAUAAACUGAAUGCCAACUCAUCUAGAACUAAUGUGAUAUAACCUCAACAAUCUCCUCCUUACACAUCGGACUUUGUGGGAGACUAAACACAUCUCCUCCUCACACAAACCCGUAUCUCCAUGACUAUUGGAUUGAAGACUUAUUGAUAAAUCGGGCUCUGAUACCAGUGUUGGGUGGUAUUGAACCUCUCACACUCCAAAAACUAGCUCAAGAUGUGAGAUUUUUCCUCGUACUUAUAAACUGAAUACCAACUCAUCCACAACUAAUGUGGAACGACCUCAACAUCUGUUUCAUCUAUAUAUCCAUCAUUUGAUUGAUUCACAAUGUCCAAGGUAGUUCUAGUGUGGAAAUCUUGGCAAUUUGAAAUUUCCUCUGGCCAAUUCUUCAGGAUGUGGAUUGUUCACGGUUCACUGCAGUGCUCGGCUGAAUCCAAAAAUUCCCCUGGAUAAUUAUAGGCCCUAUGAGAUUCUGAAAAAGUCAUAUCCCAAUCAGUUAUUUAUUCGAAAUCAAUUUCUUCAUCGUGUUUUAUAUAGUAAUAAUUAUGAGGAAAGGUGCCACUUAUUUUUUGAUCCCCCUACGCUACUCCUUCUAUUUCGAUUUCAUUCUUCCCCAAUAUCACUUUGUUCGGAUGCACCAAAGAUAGGAACUACGACAAUGAGAUACCUAAUAUCCAAGAAAUUUAAUUCUUAAGUUACAACAACCAGAACCAUAGAACUUUAUAUUCUAAGACCUAGAAUCGAUUUGAAACAGAACCAAAGCGAACUAGCUGAUUUUACUUGGUUCUAGAUCGUUGGUCUUGGAUAAAAUUUCAUGCACUUAGGUAACAUAUUAUAUUACUUAUAUGGUAAUUACCUGUUUUAUAUGUUGGGUAACUUAUUGGGAGUAAUUAUGUUAUCGAUGUUAACUCCUAUCAUCAAUAUCAAUAUCAAUAUCAAUAUCAGAUUGCAGCCCCAAAAUGUGAGUACCACCAUUAUUGUCACUCUAAACCACCACCUUCUAAACAGUCAAAAUCAGCACCACCAUAUCCUCCAACCACUGCUACGCCAACAUAAAACCAUAACUAUCACGAUGGAAAGCUUUAGAAACACAAUAAUGAUUCCAAUAUGAAAAUAUUUGAUGAAUGGUAGUUGUGUUUGUUGCACGAAGUUUACGAUGAUAAAAUUGGAGAAGCGAUAAAUGUUGAGAAUGGUGAGUUUGGUGGCAAUUGGAUUGAGAUUCCAGUAACGGUGGCGGUAUAAGACAACAACAAUGUGGGAGCUUUUUGGUACAAUGGCGGAGAAGAUAACGAGAGGAGGUCGUUGAUUUGAGAAUUUUGAAUUGGGUGUGAUACGUUGCGACAGUGAUCCAACAUUAUUGGGGUGCUAGUUUGGAAUAAUGUUAUUUAUUAUUAUGAUGACGGAACAUCAAUGAUGUGGUAGUCUAUAUGAAAUAAUGGGAUUGGACAGUCUAAUUUUUAUGAAAGAGGAGAGAGGAGAUGUGGUCUCAAGAAAGAGAGAAAUGUGAGAGAUAAUGGGUUGUCGUAUCAUUGAUAUUCCAUCAUCAUGGUGAUAAAUAACAUUACUCGCUAGUACAGUGUUUUGUUGGAUAGGAAUUUGACAAGAAUGAAGGCAUGUUUGAAACUUUUUAAAUUAGAACUCUUUAUUUCUCAUAUUCAUUUUCAUUCACACAUUAAAAUAUUAUGUAGUAAACAAAAAAAAAAAUUCCUAUAUUUUAAUCACAUAUUUUUCAAAAAAUUACUAUUUGAAACAUCAUUUUCCUCCAAUUUCUAUUUAUAGUUUUCAUCAAACAGGGGCUUAGAAUAAGUUUAUAUAUAUAUAUAUAGUUACAGGUAAAAAUCUGUAAAACAUAAAAGGGAGUUAUUUUUUCAAUUUUCGCAAGAAAAGUGAGUCUCCAACCUUAGAACAUAUCUAAUGGACUUAAAGAUUAUAUUUUAAAAUUUAGAGAUCAUCUAUAAAUUUAGAGAUUAAAACUCCAACUUACUCUUUACUUUAAUACUUAAUACUUAAUUUACUACUUAAUAUGUAUUUAUUAUUUUUCACAUAUAUUUUAUUUUCGCUAGCUUCCCUUCAAAGUAUUUUAUUAUUUUCCUUCAUUUUCUUUGUAUAUACUACUUAAUUGGGUGCAUUGAAAUUGAAGUAUUUUGGAUUGGGAAAACUCAAACAAAGAGAAAUAAGGUCAGACAUUUCACAUUUGAAUAGUUGAUUUGUGAUUGUGACACUACCUACCUCAUACGAUGGAAAUUUGCUUAAAAUUACUUUUUUAAUUGCCGUACAGUAAAAAUGUAAAAUUCAAGGAAGUAACUAUCGUUUAAUUUUCCACCACAAUUGGAAAUGACACGAAGAGUGGGGCCUUGAAGUUGUUUCUGACUCGUAGGAAUACAAAAAAAUUCGUUGGAUACGAAACUUCGCUCAUCCGUGUUAUUUGUUUAGGCUGACUGUUUCAACUCAAUUCUUUUCGUUUUCACAAGUCUUCAUGAAAUAAAUCUAAGUCAACUGCCGUGUUCACUUUCACCCUGACUUACGUUGCGAGUGAAUAAAUUUAUUGAAUUUAGACAACCGCAGCAGAAUUUGAUUUCUCUAUUCUUCUUCUUCUUCUUCUUCUUCUUCUUCUUCUUCUUUCUGUUCGUUGUUGAGUUAGGCUGGCAUGGUUUUCUCCCGUAGGGCUGCUUCCAGUUUAGUUGUUUAUGUCUUUCUGUUUCAUAUAUAUAUCCUUCACUCGGUUGAUUCUCAAUGCCCAAGGCAGUUCCAAUGUGGAAAUCUUGGCAAUUUGGAGUUUCCUCUGGCCAAUUCUCCGGGAUGUGGAUUGUUACCGGUUGACUGCGGUGCUCUGCCGAAUCCAAUAAUUCACCUGGAUAAUUAUCCGUUUUCACCAUCCUAUGAGAUUCUGAAAAAGUCAUCUCCCAAUGAAUUAUUUAUUCGAAGUCCAUUUCUUGAACGUGUUUUACAUAAUAAGGAAAUAUGCAAUUUAUUUCUUCGUCCCCCUAUGCCACACUUUCCUUCUAUUUCGAUGUCGUUCUUCCCCAAUAUCACUCUCUUUAAAUGCGCAAAAUAUAUAAACUACGACAAUGAGAUACCUCAAGAUAUUUAUGGAAACUACGAUGGUUGUGAUUCCUUCAAUAUAUACUACCCCAAGUCGAAUGGAAGUCUUCCGCCCCCCAAAGGCUGUUCAGCUCUUCCCUUGCCAAGCAAUUUACAAUGUAACUCAGAUUCAUUGGACUUGUUCUACCGGUUAAGCGCUGAUUAUCAUCUAGAAUGGAAUGUGUCUGUAGAUUGUCUUAAUUGCCACAGAGGAGGAGGAAACUGUACAACUAAAACAGAUAAUGAAUUUCGAUGUGAAAAAGGUACCAUCAGCCUUUGAACAUGGGUGAUCGCAAGUCAUCCCUCUACAAAUGUUCUUUUGAUUUGUACUUUUGCCCGCAAUCCAGAACAGGGUUCAAGCGAUUUAAACUUUAAAACAUAUAGAAUUGUUUGAUUAUAUGUCACUGACAAUUUAUCACGUGAUCGCUUUAUGCCAAUCCUCACGAGUACAGUUGAUUAUAUCCUUCCCUUAUAUAGAUAUGUUCUUCAUGCCUUGUUGCGGUUUUCAUUUUUCUUUCUUCAAUUGAGCUUGAACUGACAUGUUUGCACGUUGACUAUAGUUACAAAGAAAAGGAGGGAUUUCAAGAUGAUUCUAGCCGCAGGUAAACGUGGUAAAUUUCAGUAACAUUUCUUUUGUUUUUUGAUUAAAAAACGUAGUUGUCUUCUUUCAUCACAGGUGUUUUAGCUGCAGCGGUAGUCCUCAUCUUCAUAAUCUUGUUCACUUUCACUAGGAGGAAUUACAUGCUGAAUUUGAAGGGGAAAACUCAAAACCAAAAGGACAUUGAACUCUUCCUGAAGAACAACGAGAAGCUUACACCAAAAAGAUACAACUAUUCUGAUCUUAAGAAAAUGACUAACUCAUUCAGUGACAAGUUAGGGAAAGGUGGCUUUGCUAGUGUUUAUAAGGGAAAGUUACCCGAUGCCCAUCUUGUAGCAGUAAAGAUUUUGGAAGAAUCAAAAGGCAAUGGAGAAGAAUUUAUCAAUGAGGUAGCAAGUAUCAGUAGAACUUCCCACGUUAAUGUUGUCACUCUCCUGGGAUUUUGCUUUGAGGGUUCCAAAAGAGCUCUCAUUUACGAGUUCAUGCCCAAUGGAUCCCUUGAGAAGUUCAUAUGCAGCAAUAUCUCCAAAGCAGAACGUCAAUUAGAAUGGGAAAAAUUGUUUCAAAUUGUAGUUGGCAUUGCUCAUGGAAUAGAAUACUUACACAAAGGAUGUAAUACACGGAUUCUGCACUUUGACAUAAAGCCUCAUAACAUUCUUCUUGAUAAAGACUUCAUCCCUAAAAUAUCGGAUUUUGGCUUGGCUAAACUUUGUCCCAACAGGUCCAGUAUAGUGUCAAUGUUAGGGACUAGAGGAACAAUAGGAUAUAUUGCUCCAGAAAUAGUUUAUAGAAAUGUUGGAGACAUUUCUUACAAGUCAGAUGUCUAUAGCUAUGGUAUGAUGGUUUUGGAAAUGGUUGGAGAGACAAAAAAUACUGAUGUUAGAGUUGAUCGUUCAAGUGAAAAAUAUUUUCCUGAUUGGAUCUAUGAGCACCUCGAACAGAAUUUUGAAUUUGAUUUUAACCGAGUUGUAAACGAAGAUGAAGUUUUGAAAAAGAAAAUGGUAAUAGUUAGCUUAUGGUGCAUACAAACUGAUCCUACAACUCGACCAUCAAUGAACAGGGUUAUAGAAAUGUUAGAAGGGAAUGUGGAAUCUCUUCAAAUCCCACCAAAACCCUACUUUUUACAGCCAAGAGCAGCAGCAAAUUUUUCAACUACUGAGUCGUCAGUCACUCUCUCCUAAGUUCA